Molecule: long non-coding RNA, 90079 nt
Filed under: Malus domestica (apple)
Lineage: Eukaryota; Viridiplantae; Streptophyta; Magnoliopsida; Rosales; Rosaceae
Description: long non-coding RNA (MDOM_LNC009063)
Source: RNAcentral
GGAGCGGCAUUUACCAAGACCCACUGAUCAUUGUGCUUGACUUCAAGGCCACACAUAUCAUUCUGAAUCAGGAGCGUCACCAGUCCAUGAUCUGUAUGAGGAGGAAUACCGAUUGCCAGGUCGGGCUGUGGGCAAGCCGGGUAGUAGUUCGCUGCAAGAAUUUGGCAGCCCCGAUCCCAGUUCAUGGCCUUGGUAAUGUAAUCGGCCUCCAGUCCCAAACUCUCCGAUAUUCCAUUCAAUAUUUCGGUUGCCACUGCACGGGUUCUUUUGCUGAACUCCAAUGAAACUUCACUGUACCCAGCAGGUUUGUAGAGUGAGUUGAAUUUAGGGUGUGCGAUGACCUUGAGAUAAUCCCUCCAGAGACGAACUUUGUCAAUUGCGACGUUGAAGCUGGUGCCGCACUUGAUUGGAUCCAACAGGUUCUUUGUAUGGAACUCCUUCUUCUCCUCUUCCGGCAGUUCAAAAAAUCGUCGGCACGCGUCGAUCAUUUCUUUCAUUAGGCUCUCUGGUACACCAUGGUUGAUCACCUAAAAGGCAUCAAGCACAUGAAAAUAUUAAUUCAUGUUUCAUUUUUAAGUUAAAAUUUGAAAACUUAUAACUAUUUCAAUUUUCAAUUUAUAUAUAUAUAUAUUUUAAAUAAAAAUUUGAAACGAAAUAGUUAUCAAACUAAUAAAAUAUUAGUUAAUUUUAUACAUGUUCAAGCAGACAUAAUUGAUAACAAGUGUGAAUAUACCUGAAAGAAGCCCCAUUCUUGGCAAGCUUUUCCUAGCUUCUGGAUCAUUUGUGCCCGUUCAUCUGGGGAGGCAGAGGUGAGAAGAGCAAAAUCAAUGAUGGGGAUUGAGUGUUCAGGGUCGUUUGCAUCUCCCUUAUCGUUGGGAUCCAUGAUGUAGGCGUACUCGGAAGGUACAGAAGUGAGAGCAUCUGAGUCGGCUAAGGUUUUGAUGCUUGCUACCUUGGGUUCAGAUGCAUCCACUGAAGUCACGGUAGGUGCCAUUGGUGGAGGGAGCGAGAAAGAAGCUGAGAAUUCUGGUCUUUGAUUUGUAUAUCCUGAAGGAAGGACGUGAGGGAGAGGAAAGUUGAUUGUUUGAGAGUUGUGGAGAAAUAUGAAAAAAGGAGUUGCUAUUUUAUAGAGCAAGAUAACUUAUGACUCUACCCCCACAAGCUGGUGGUUUUUGAAUAAGUUCGGCCAAAGCUGACCUAGAUUUCAAAUCUGUUGUCCUGCAACAAUAAAAUAUAUAUUAAUUAGUUGUUAACCUACAUGUAUAUGCAAUAGAUUAAUUCUUGGAAAACCAUAUUAUGUAAAUCAUAUUUAAAUUAUUUCUCUAAUAGAGAUGAGACAUACUUGUAUGAUUCGAUAGAUGGUUUAUUAUCGUCUACAUAGGAAAAUGUCAAAGGAACAUUUAAAUCAUGUGCUAUGUUACUAAUAGAAAUAAGUUCGUUAAUCAAGCACUUAAGUAACAAAAUAAUCAUUGACAAUCACGUCAUGUUUAUAUAUAUGGUCUCACUAGCAUUACUCGAUCUACAAAAUAUGAUUUUUUAGCAUUACCCUCUCUAAAAGAAGUAGAGUCCACCAUACAUGUAGGUCGCACUAUUUCAAAGAUUUCGAAGUGGUCUCCAAAAUAUUAGUGUAAGCACAAAAAUUCCUGCCACAAAUGAGAUAUUUACAUGCCUACAAUUAGCUCCCCAACAUUUUUCUAUGCAAUAAUCAUACUACUACUAGAUAUAGGAAAACCAAAAUUUGAGGGGAUUGCCUAUGAAUAUGUUAUAUAAUACAUUCAUUAUCUAAUAGUAUGAUAUGCAACUAAAAAGACAUGGUAUCAUAUUUAACCGUUAAAUGGUGAAAAUACUAAAUAAAUAUACAUGCUGUAAGUAAACUAAUGAAAUAGUGAAAAAAAAUGCUUUACUUUGUUUUAUAUUCCCAAAUGGAGGAGAGAUGGGAAGAGUAUAUGCAUGAAUGAAUAGUUGAUGAGAAAAUUAGAAAAAUGUAGGAAUGCGUUUGGCAUGGGGUUUAAAGAAAAUCCAAAGUCGCGUCCAGUUUGAGACUUUGACUACGGCAGACAAAGCCACUGAAGCAAGCACAACAAGCCGCCCACCACAGCCAAGUAAAAGAAUAUGACACGAAAUAUGGCACAAAAAAAUCAAAUACAAUCAUGCAUCGGCAUCUGUACGCAUCUACAAUUCCAAAUCUAAAUUUACCCCUUGGCCUUGGGAGUUUCUGCCGUUUGGAUGCCCACCGGUAGGUAACAGAUUCUUCAUGUCCCAAGCCUAAUAUUGGAAUCCCGUUUUAUGAAACCUCGUUAAUUGGGUGCAAUUAUUGACACACCAAAAAUUGAGAAUUUUAACGAAACGCUUCCGGUAUUGUUUAUUUUAACGAAAAAUCAUAUUUUUACACUAAAAAGUUAAUCCUGGUACUAUUCACUUUACCCUUUAUUUUGUCCUUAUCGUUAAAACUCAAAGUUUUCAAAUAAUUUUCAUUAGUUUUCCUUUAAAAAAUUUAUUGUGCUCUUUUUAUAAGUGUUUGUUUUACAAAUAAUAUUUUACAGUAUCCAUAUUAAAAGAAAAAGUUUGAACCUUGAACGAAAUUAGUUGAGGGGGAAGACCUAACUAUUAAGACAAUUCACUAUUUGCAAGUAUUUUUUUUUUCUAAAUAAGACAAUAAUUUUUUCUAAGAUGCCAAUAACAACGCCCAAUCAACUUUGAUGAUUCAAUUAGUCAACCAUUAAUUCAUGUUAGUUGGCUUGGUUUUCGAGAAGGUGACGUAUAUCCAAAUUCCAACUAUAUUAUACUUCUCCAUUUUGUUUUUAUUUUGAGUAAUGUUAAGGAGGUUACACGUUUAUAUUAUAUUUAGUAUAUCAUCUCAUAUAACAAGUGAUGCAUACAAUUAAUAUCCAAUGAGAUAAUUUUAUAUUGACUUGACGUGUACACAUCACUUGUCAUGGCACGAGAGAUUUUACAUAUUUUACUUUCUCGAACAUUAAACUUAGAACGAGAAUGAUGCAAUCCAUAUUUCUAUGAAACCUCUCUUUUGUUUGGUGAACCACAUAUAUGGCUAAAACCUUUUGAAUGUGAAUAUGCUUGAAAUUUCAUUUCUCAGAAUAAAACAAUACCUUAAAAUAAUAUUCUGGAGAGUAGGCUUUCAUAGUUUGAAAAACACAUGCGAAAAUACUACAAAUUAGUUCAAAAUGCACGCAAGACACUUUUGUAUAAAUUAAAUGUAACCCUAAGUUUAUAUUUCGUUCAAAGGACCUAUCCCUUCCAGAAUGUAAACCCCACACGAGUCAAAGUGACAUCAUUUGCACCCAUUUCAUCCUACCUUUUAACUAGAACUCUUGCUUUAAGUCUCUAUGGGAAUUGACUGGAGUAGGUUCUCUGGCGAAACAGACAAAAUGACCUUGUCAAAAUCUACCGUAGAAAAGCAGAGUAGAAUUUUCUCUACUUCUAGUCUUCUAUUCUCUUCCAUUUCCCUUACCCCCACUCAUACUUUCAUUUUUUUCUUUAUACCUCUAUAAAAAAUAUUCUGAGCUGCUGACGUGAUUGAAUCUCAACCUUUCAAAUACGAGAGGAGAGAAGGGGAAAUAAUCCUAGAAAAAGUGACUCCACCGGUGCUCCAAUCAUGUGAGUUGACUUGGCGCCAAUUCAAAAAAUCAUCUCCAUUGGUAGAAAAAUAUUAAGGCAAUUGGAACAAGUGUAGCAACCCCACCUGAGCUUGCACUUGCAAGCAAUUAGAGCAACUCCAGCGUUGCAAAGGCCCUUAGGGCAACUCACUAUUAAAUAACCUCCAGUAAAUAAUAACUUUCAUUAAUGAACAAUAACUAUCUUUUGCAUCUCCAAUCCUAAACUAAAUAGUCAUGGCAAUAGGCAAUAAAAUAUUAGUAUUUUUUAUUUUAUAAAAUAAUACAAAAUAAUUUUAUUUGUAAUUUCGAAUAAGAUUUUUAAUUGUUUUCGUUGCGCUACGUGUCAUUAUCCGAGAAGACAAUUUUUGGUGAUAGAUUUCGAUAAGAUAUCUAUUCAAUGUCGUCGUGCCACGUGUUGUUAUCUUUUCAGAAUCGUUGAGGAUAUAUUUUCAAUAAGAUUUUUAACCAAUCACGUCGCGCCACGUGUCACAAUUUGUUUACAAUCUUUGAGGAUAGACUUCAAUCAGAUUUUUAACGAAUGAUGGCAUGCCACGUGACAUUAUCUACAACCUAAUAUGAAAUUGUGGUGUAAGAUAGAAGAUAAUGAGUAGGUAUUUAUAGAAAAGUAAAAUAAUUUUUUUUUCGGAUUUUUCAUUAAUUUUAACAUUUUUAUUAACUUAAUUAAUCUCUGCAGUUGGACUAAAAAAAAUUUGAAAUCCAACCUUCCAGAUUGUGCCAUGUGGCACAACAGUAACAUUUCAAAAUUUAUUAAUGUGAAUUCUUUUUUUAUUUAUUUUUAAAGGCGAAUAAUGUGGAUCGUUGAUCUCAAAUCCAACGGCUGAUACUGUGGAAGGUUUCAAAUUUUUUUUACCAUUGGAAAUCCAACGGUGUAGAUAAAGUAAUCGUUGAAAUCCAACAGACAAGAAAAAGCCACGUGGCCACCAACAGGUAACAUUUCUGCCGUCUACGCCGUGGGCCCCAGUGCUUGAUGCAAAAAUAAUUAAAUAAUGGCUGACGCCACCCUGACGUCAGCGUUGCAUCACAUGACCCUCAAGCUCUCGGGCCACCAAUUCGCAUUGGGCCUUUCACUCAGGCCCCCCUCCCCAAUCGCACGCAUGGGCUGGAGGUUGUUGCUGGGGCUAUUAGGUCUUCAAAGUUGUCGGUCCAUCGGGCUUCAGCUCCUGCUGGAGUUGCUCUUAGAGCAAGGGCAGCAGCCCGUUGGGCUGUCCUACUUGUUCAAGCAUGGGCUUGGGCCUGUAGGCAACUGAAACUAACGUCUGUGCAGGUCCACCACGUGCAAUCCACUAAGGCAAAAACCUCGCACUCACCCGUUAGAUUUUUAAUGGUCUUCUCAUCGACCGUUGGAUUUUCAACAAUAAAAAAACUUGAAAAUUAUAGUUUGUGCCACGUCGCACAAUUUGGUGCAUCUAAUUUUUUUUUUUUGGAAAUCAACGACUAGGAUUAAUCCAAAGGUAAAAAUUCCACAAAAUGUCAAAAAAAAAAAAAAUACAAAAUUUUGUUUAGUAACACAUUAACACUUAAACAAACUCCAAAGUUCAACCAUCUUCUUUAUUCACCUUUUACCUUUAAUUAAUUAUGCUUGUUUGUACUACUAUGUUUUGCUUGGUUUUCGAGAUGCCAAAAUUCCAACUGUACUAUGAUUCUCCAAUUUGUAUUCAUUUUGAGUAAUGCUGAGGAGAUUACACAUUUUUACUACAUUUAAUGUAUUAUCUCAUAUGACAAAUAAUGCAUACAAACAAAAAUAAUGCAGUCCAUAUCUCUAUUAGGGCUGGGUUAGGUUUGAAACGGUUCGGUUUUUAGUCAAAAUCGAAACCGAACCGAAAUUUCGGUUCAGUUCGGUUCGGUUCAAAUUUUUUCGGUUCGGUUUUUUUCGAUUUUGAUUUUUUUCGGUUCGGUUUCAGUCCGGUUCGGUUUUUUCCAUGAUAUUUUUUUUUUAAUUUGGAACAAAUCUGCAACGAUUAAUUGCGAGCACUGAAGAUGCAGAAACUUAUUGGGUAUUGGUGCAAAUGAAUAUGAACUGGAACAAAUCUGCAAAUCUGCACUGGAAGAAAUCUGCAAAUGAAUACGAACUGGAACAAAUCUGCAAAUGAAUACGAAAAUUACAAUAUAAAAUCCCAAAUCCCAACAAAUCUGCAAAGAUUAUAACAUGCAAAAUCCCAACUAAUAAUUAAAAGAAAAACCCAUUUUAAUUCAGUAAAUCACAAUAUAAAAUCCCAACAAAUCUGCAAAUGAAUACGAAAAUUACAAUAUAAAAUCCCAACAAAUCUGCAAAGAUUAUAACAUGCAAAUCCCAACAAAUAAUGAAAAGAAAAACUCAUUUUAAUUCAGUAAAUCACAAUAUAAAAUUAUAAAUCAUAUUAGUUUUGAUUCGAAAAUUACCUAUGAGAGAUCGGAAAACCCGGAUUCGAAUCUUCUAAUUUAGAGGGGGUUUUGAUUCGAAAGGGGCGAGGGAAAAUCAUGGUUUGGAAGAAGGAAUCCGUGAGGAGGACAUGAGAAGACUGGAGAGAGAGUGAUUUGGAGGAAGAGAGGAAGGAGAGAGAGAGAGAGAGAGAGAGAGAGAGAGAGAGAGAGGCUGAGGAAGCAAAGGCAGAGAGAGGAAGCAGCGGAGGGGAGUGUUUGAAAUCUGAAAUGGGAAGUGAGACAAAGUGUGAGACGGCUAGGGUUUGUAAAGUUAAGAAAUUUUAUAAAGCAUUAAAUACAAGAAACCUAUAAAUAUUGUACUGGUACAAUUAUAACAACUCAAAGCCUACAGUCAAGUUGGCUUGCAGCAACUAAUCCUAAGCUGUAGGGAAGGGGUUCAAACCCCGGCGCCAACAUGUUUUUUUAGAAUUUAUAUAUGAUUUUUUUUUCGGUUCGGUUCGGUUUCCGAACCUCAAAAACCGAAACCGAACCAACCAGAUUCGGUUCGGUUCGGUUUGGCAGUUUCGGUUCGGUUUUUUCGACUUCGGUUCGGUUUGGUUUUCGGUUUUUUGAACCCACCCCUAAUCUCUAUAAAACCUCUCUUUUGUUUGGUGAACCAUGUACCUAACACCUUUUGAACGGGAAUGCGUACGUACUAAUUGAAUUCUUGAAAUUUCAUUUCGCGCAAUAAACAAAUGUAAUCCCACUGACAUCAUUUGCACCCAUUUCUCUAUGUUGGAACGUCAUCAUACCCUUUAAUUUUAACUCCUCUUAGUCUGUGUGAGUUGACAAGGGAAAGGUCCUCAGGAUAAUAAGGCAAAAUGAUCGUAUCAAAAUCGGCUAUAGAAUCCUUUUGACAAAAAAAAAAAAUAAAAAAAAAUAAAAAAAAAAAUUAAAAAAUAAAAAAUAAAAAUAAAAAUCUGCUAUAGAAUCAAUCGGCACUGACCUUCUUGGGAAAACACAUCCGCUACAUGUUCACACAGCAUUCAGCCUCACGCACCAGCUGCUUGAGGACGCGAAGGAUAGGCCGUUGGAUUUUCCACGUUAAAAAAAUGAAAAAUUAUAAGUUGUGCUAAGUUGCAUAAUGUGGUGUAUUUAAAAAUUAACCGCCAUAAUUAAUUCAAAGCAAAAAAUUUAGAAGAAAAUGCAAAAAAUUCCUAAAAGAUACAAAACUCUGUUCUAGAACACACUUAAAAUUAAACACACUAAAACAAACUGAUAAAAGUUCAACCAUCUUCUUCAUUCACAUUUGAUCUUUAAUUAAUGGGUAAAUUACAUUUUACCACCCCAGAUUUAAGGUUUAUUACAACCUCAUACAACAUCUUCAAAAAAUUUCACUUUCAUAUCUCAUGUACUAUUUUAUUUCAAUAUAAUGCAUCUGAUACAUUUUUCAUCAAUUGGACCGUUAAGAGUUGAUGUGGCUGUCACAUUUAUGCCACGUGACUGCCACAUUUAUGCCAUGUGGCUGACCAAUUAAUAAAAAUAUUAAAAUAAUUAAUUAAAAAACAAUAGAAACCCCCAUUUGUCUUCCUCGAGCACCCUCUUCUCCCAUCCCUCGUCACCAUGGUCUAAAAUAUCCAUAAUAUCCCGAUAUUUCCAUCGAAAUUUCCGUGUUUUUGGACUACCGAUAUUUUUUUGGACUAUCGAUAUUUCCGAUAUCAUCGAUAUUUUAGACCUUGCUAAGUCACUCAUGUAUCUUACCAUGCAAUGUAUAAAGUGUAAAAUAUUGUACUAAUUCAUUAUAUAUAAAUGAUUAUGGUGUGUUUAAACUUCUUUCAUUAAUUACUACAUAUUUUCUACACUCACAAUGUUUGCCAGCUCGCUAUAUAAUCAACUUAAAUCAGUUAUAUCUAUCAUGCAAUGCAUUUCCUUCCAAUUUUUUUGUAAUAAACUAAUAGAUAAUUGACUAAAUAAACAUCCUGUAAAGUUUCAAUAAAAUUUCCAAGUUUUUCUUACAAUUUCCGUGGUUUUUAUUCAAUUUUUAUCGAUAUCGAUAAUAUCCCGAUAUUUCGAUCGAAAUUUCCGUGUUUUUGGAUUAUCGAUAUUUCCGAUAUUAUCGAUAUUUAAUACCUUGCUCGUCACCAACCCUGUCCCCUAAUUUUUUCCCCCAAACAAAGCCCAUCACCUCCUCCUCUCCUCCCGUUGCAACAUUUCCUCCGUUAGCCCGAGGAGGUAUCUCAUCACUAGACCCUGAAUCGCUUAAGACCAACCUAGACCUCUUCUUGUCCUUCGGUUCAAAAACCUUCCGAGCACUCGAAGAACCAACAACACCACUCAACCCCUUAGGUUUCUUCCUCACAAUUAAGCAACCUGAAGAAUUUUUCUUCACCAAAACCCCAGAAGGGCCAACAGAUCUCACACCUUCGUCCAUCUACAUCAACCGCUAGAAACCAAAAAACCCUAAUUUUUCAAAACCCGCCCCUAAUUUUUCAAAACCCGCAGUCCAAUUGAAAGGGCAAAGGAAUAUUUCACAAAAAUCUUACCUCGCAGGAGAGUCUGGAACUCUGCCUAUUGAAGAUAUCUGAUCGCUGUCGCAAUUCUCCAAAUCAGAGAGAAAGGGGAAGGUUCAGACGGAGAAAGAGAGGGAGAGACAUAGAGAGAAGGGCUGGGUUUGGAUUGUAAAUAUAUGCAAUUGCAGGGCAGAUCAGAGAAGGGGUGGCUCGGGUGGGUGAUGGGGGAUGGGAGAAGGAGGUGCUCGAGGAAGACGAAUGGGGGUUUCUGUUUUGUUUUUUGUUUUUUGUUUUUUUUUGUUUUUUAGUUUUCUUUAAUUAAUUAUUUAAAAUGACAUGACUGCCACAUUUGCGCCAUAUGGCUAAACAAUUAAUUAAAAAAAAUUAAUUUUUUUUAUUAAUUGUUUAGGCACGUGGCUCAAAUGUGGCAGUCAUGUCAGCUCUUAACGAAUUAAUGGAUGGAAAAUAUAACAGAUGUAUUAUAUUGAAAUAAAAUAGUACAUGAGGUAUGAUAGUGAAAUUUUUUGAAGAUAUUGUAUGAGGUUGCAAUAGACCUCAAACUUGAGGUGGUAAAGUGUAAUUUACCCUCAAUUAAUUAUGCUUGUGUUGUAAUGUUAUGCUUUACUUUGUGUUUAAUUAAAUUAUUUGAGUUAAAUAGGGAAUUUUAUUUUUAAAGAACAAACUUGUUAAGUACAUACUCACAAGACGUUGGCGGGCCCUACAUCUGUUAGAGAAAUGUAGGUCCUGGCAAACAGGUUGUGUUUACCGUGUUCGUGGUGUUUUCGUGUAACACCUGUUAUCUUAACGAGUCGGGUCGUGUCGUAUCACACCAAUAUCUUAACAUGUUCUUAACAGGUCGGGCUAUUUAACCAGCAGGUAAAAUGACCCGUUAAGAUUUUUUUUUCUUUUAAAUUUGACAUACCACAUUGCCACAUAAAAUAUUACUUCGAAAACUAAUUCGAAACGAAAAACCCCAAAUUGAAGAAAUGAAACCAAUCUAAUUCGAAAACUAAUUCACAGCAAAACCUUAUCUUUUGAAAGUGAUUCGAAAUAAUCAACAAUUACCUUGAUUAGGGCUCCAGAUUCGCUCAAUCCAGAGAGAGAAUAGAGACAAAAGUAGUAGAUCGACUGGUGGUGGGUUACUAGGUCGUAUGUGGUGAGGGUGGUGUUGUGGAGGGAGACUAGAGAGGAUGGUCGUGGACUCGUAGCUAGGUGGAGUUGAGGUUCGAGACUGAGAUUCGAGAGUUUAGUUUGAAAAAGAAAGAGUCUCUGCUUCGAUUCGAGCAUUCGAGAAUAAGAGAGGAGUCUGAUUUAAGGCUGAGAAAAACAUUGGACGGCUGAGAUUUAAUCUUAGCCGAUCCAAUGGUCAUCAAUUUUCUAAUUUUUUUAAAUAUAUAGGAAAACUAAUGAAAAUGGCUUGAAAAUUUUGAAUUUUAAUCAAAAGGACAAAAAUGUGUUGUAAGUGAAUAGUACUAUGAGUGACUUUUUAGAGUAAAAUUGUCAUUUUUCGUUAAAGUGAACAGUACCAGGAGUGUUUUGUUAAAACUCCCUAUAUAUAUAUAUAUUAACUUUCAAUUCAGUUUAGGAUUAAAUCCUUUUGUUGUUAAUCUUAAUAUUUCUUUCUAGUGGUAUGAAAAUUUUAAAUUAAUAUUUUUCCUAUUAUGUAACGGGUUACCCACGUGUGUACCGACCCGUUAUUUAACAGAUGCUUAUCAGGUUACCGGAUAAUGACUCGAUUUGUUAUUGUGUCAACCUGAAAACCUGUUGAUUUCGUGUCGUGUAAAAAAUUGCUAGGCCUCGAGAAAUGUUAUAAAUAGAUGGUAAAUAUAUCAUUAUUUUUUUUUUGUUUUAUUUUGUCUUGUUGCGUGUUACACUUGGGACCCACGUCCCACUUUGAUAUCCUAUUCCCCUCGGACUUGGCUUCUCUGCCCUCCCAAUUCCCAGACACUCUCAUCCCCUCCUAUUUGUGCUGUCAUGGUUAAACCAUGUCAACAUUUUAUAUUACUAUUGCUUUUUGUCUUAUUAUUUCUAUAAAAAAAAUCAAUAUAAAAUGUUGACGUGGCUUAACCGUGACCGUACAAAAUAGGAAGGGAUGAGAAUGUAUGGAAACUGGGAGGGGCAGAGAAGCCGGGUCCAUUCCCCUCUCAUUUUUGUCUCACUUCAGUCAUCCCCCUCUCUAGUUUUGACUUUUCUUUUUUGUCUCCUACUUUCUCUCAUAUUUUGUCAUUGAGUCUCUCUCCUUAGUCUCAGUCUCUCUUAACGAGUUCGAUAUGUGAUGAGAAGGUCCCACUGUUUUACACAUUAAUAUUACUGUGAUGAUAUGUGUGCAAGAAACAUUGGACAACAACUCUACAAGCUGCUCUCAUAGAGAAAUUAGGCUCUUACAUGAGCAUAUAUUAUUUGAUGGAGAAAUUAGGCUCCCGUCCUUAAUUAUUGAUCUUCUUUGAUUAAAACCUUGUUAUUUUUUACUUUUUGAUCAAGGUCCUUGAAGUUUGUACACAUCAGCAUUUUAUUAUCAGCAUAUUUCCAUGUCAGCUUUUUAUUUUUAUUUUUAUUUGAAAUAGUUAAUUAGUGCUUUUUUUUUUAUCUGAGGCUGCAUUUUUAUUCUACGACUAUUAUGCCUCAAAUGCCUCCUAUGCUUACCAAAUUGAAUAUGACGCAUCAAUUCCACCAAAUAAUCCCGCUCACUUGAUUUCUUCUCUUUUUGAUUUUCGUAACUGCAAAUUCCACAAUAAUCUCACUAAGUUUUUCAAAUCCAUCAUUAUUAUCUUUGAUAUGAUGCUUCGAAUUCAAGUUUGGCCAAGAUUUGAAUCGAAGUCAUACUUUAUCUGCGAGCAUUCGAGCGAGCACAAUUUUUUGCAGAGUAACUUGAAGAAUCAAUGACAAUUCCGAGCUAAAAUUCGAGGUUUUUUUUUCUUUUAUAUUUUUUGAAUUUGCACCCAUAGUUCAUUUAUACUGAUUUGUCCGCAAUGGUGGAUUCUUGGUGUUAUAAUUUUCGAACCCAUAUUUACAAGUAGUGUAGUAUUGAUUUCACAAUUGGUUUUGCAUAUGUAAAAUGAUUAUUUUUCAAUAUUUUUUUGGCAUAUAUUGGGGAACUUCAAUGAGUUCAGCAUGUAUCUUGUGGUUUUGCAGUGUUUUUCUGGUGCAUACCAAGUGUUUGUCGAAAUGUUUGAAAGAGAAUUUCGUAUACGAAAAUUUUGUAUGCAUAGAAACUAUUUAUAAAAAUUCUUGAAUAUGUCUUUUUCUCUAUUGUGGUGGGCAUGGGUACAAUUCAAUUUCAUUGGAUACAUUUUUUAACAAUGGAUCAUGUGUUGAUGUGGUGGAAACUACUGAUGUUGUGGAAGUAUAGGUAGGGGUACAACAGAAAUAUAGACCAGAUAAGUCAAGGGAGGACCGGCUAUGGCCGAGAGUUUUUGUCAUCUAUUUUUCUGUUUGACAUAUACCGUAUUUGAGAGGUGGGGGGGGGGGUGGGGAAUUGGCUGUACAAACAGCAAAUAAUAAUGUUCGGUGGAAACUACUGAUGUUGUAGAAGUAUAGGUAGGGGUACAACAGAAAAACAGAGCAGAUAAGUCAAGGGAGGACCAGCUAAGGCCGAGAGUUUUUGCUAUCUAUUUUUCUGUUUAACAUAUACCGUAUUUGAGGGGUGGGGGGCGAGGUGGGGAAUUGGCGGUACAAACAACAAAUAAUAAUGUCCGGUGGAAAUUACUGAUGUUGUAGAAGAAUAGGUAGGGGUACAACAAAAAAACAAAGCAGAUAAGUCAAGGGAGGACCAGCUAAGGCCAAGAGUUUUUGCCAUUAUUUUUCUGUUUGACAUAUACCGUAUUUGAGAGGGGGGUGUGAGGGGAAUUGGCGGUACAAAUAACAAAUAAUAAUUGGACAUGGUUUCAUUCAUCUUUCUAGUUUUCCUUUUGGAAAUUUAUUGCACUUUUCAUGUCAAGCUAGAAUGCUUUGGGUUAAUGUUGUGUCCACUUUCUUUUAUCUUUUCAGAUGGAAGGUGCUAUAGUGGGGAGAUGCACUCAUCAGGGUACCAUUAUAUCUAUCCCAAUUUUUUGCCACAUUACAUUCUCUGAAGUGUACAAUGAGGUUUGCUCAAGGCUCAAUUUGACUCAUGGUUUAUUCGACUUUACAUAUGCUUUACCUAGAUAUUCUACUUGUCUAUUGCAAUAUAAUAUGGACGUGCGGAUGUUGUAUAUGUCGGUUGUCAACGAGAAAUAUUAUUGUGUUGAUAUAGUUAUCAACCAAAAGUCGUGCCGUGACAAUGAUCAUGUCAGCCGAAAUACCAAUGUUUCGCAAACAUUUAUAAUUGAAGGAAAUAUUCACAGCGAUGGGAAUGAGUAUUUAGGAAAUAUGCAACACCAGGAGGCAAGGUAUCUAUGUCAAACUCUUGGAAGACCUACAUUAAUCAUGUAAAUCAAGGAUUUGAAGGUGGAGUGGAAGAAUUCAGAGACAAAAAGAGAAGAAUUGGCAUAAGAAGACUUGAAUAUGUUGGACAAAAAGAGAAGAAUCAGCAUAAGAAGACUUGAAUCCCUAAGAAAGCAAGAACUUGGAAAACCUCUCAUUCCAAGCUCUAGGUGCUUGUUUGAGUCCAUAUAAAGAACUUUCCAAUUUACACACAUACUUAGGAUGUACAGGAUCCAAAAAACCUUGUGGUUGAGCCAUAUAAACUUCUUCAUCAAGAAAACUGUCGCACUCCGGACCCGGAGUCGGUAAUAAAAACUCGAACCCGAAUCUGAAACGUGAGUUAAAAGCUAAAUAAAUAAAAGGAAAUUGACACGAGUUGGAAAAAUAAACUCCUCUUAUUAAAAUAACUCCAAAAUCCUUACAGGAUGUACAAAAGUAAUAAAUUAAAAUCCUUAAAACUCUUAUCCAACACAGCUUCAGCUCGUCUAUCACCUGUCUUGCUAAAUAACAUCUAUCUUGCCAAAUAACUCAUCUAUAAAAUAAUAGGUGAGGGGUGAGCAACAACCACCGUCACUCAGUAAGUAGAAUAUGUAGUAUGCAAGUCAAGCAAUGCCUUUUUAUACACUAAAAAAAAUAGAAUAAUAAUAUCAAAGCCUUAACCACGUAAUUUCAUAUCACAUCAUCCCUUUACAUGUUCAUUACAUCCUUCAUAAAUUGUAACUCACCACGUGACCCCUACUGGCCUUUCCGCCCUAAUGUCCCCGUGUGCAGUUUACAUUUAUCCCUCGGAUUAAUGCAACACUAAAGUUCUCAUGCUCCAUGAACAUAUCCAAAUAAUCCACAUAUCACCAUAUUAAUAAUUCCAAAGGGAUUUCAACAAAUCCAACAUGCUUGACUUAAAAUAGAUAGAGAUUUAUAAAUAUAUAAAACCCACAAUAGUUUGUGGUUUUUAUUUAUCAGAAAAUAAGAAUAUUUUGAAACACAUUACAUAAACCACUCACCUCGAUAAUCCAAGCUUUGGCAAGACAACCUAACUAACAAUCUCCACACAACUAGCAUACUAACCUAAACUCUCUUUCUUGUCUCUCUGUAACCCGAUCUCUCUCCACACACACACACAUAUACACGGACAUACAUGCAUGGCUUCCUAGCAGCCAACAUAUGUUUCCUAAAGUGGUGAAUAAAAGAAUGAAAUGCAACCUCUAUUUAUAGUAGAAAGGGUCGGCUCCCUACAAUGUAAAAUAUAUUAUACGUAGGGAUAGAAAUGUAACUGACGAAUGGCCAGUUGACAAGUGGGUUUCAAGGUGUCGUUGUGCAUGGGGUAGAUGACUUAGGAUUAACACAUGUGGCUUUGCCAACAAUGGUGGAAGCUGGUGGUGUCAAUGGAAUCCCUCAAAACCUCACACCUCAUUGUAAAUAUAACAGUUGUCAAGAAAAUGAAGUGCUACGUGUUGGACUAUGAAGGAAGCCAUCUAAUUGUUGGACACCUCAAAGCAAAAUGGGAUAGACUUCAAUUGCAAGACUACACCUUGCUAAUUGUAAGAAACUAUCGACUAGAAGUUGACAGCAAAAUGCAAAAACUAAUAUGUAAUAUAUAUAUAUAUAUAUAUAUAUAUAUAUAUAUAUAUAUAUAUAUGGAAAAGAAAUACACAAUAUCAUAGUAGUUUCAAAAUACCAUACGUUCCAUAUUUUAAAAAUACGGGUUCUCACAAAAACCAUGAAGAAAUGCAUUUUUCACAUCCAAUUGGUUGAGUUUCCAGCCAUUUGUAGUAGCCAAGGACAAAACCAAUCGUACAGUUGUAAGCUUAACCACUGGACUAAAGGUUUCAUAAUAGUCGAGCCCAGCUUCCUGUGAAAACCCCUUAGCAACUAACCUAGCUUUAUACCGAGCUACAGAACCAUCGGCAUUCUUUUUGAUUUUGUAAAUCCACUUGCAGCCUACAAGGUUCUUGUUUGGAGGAAGAGGAACCAGUUUCUAGGUCUGUUGUUGAACCAAAGCUUGCAUUUCUUCCUUCAUAGCAGCCUGCCAUUCCACAGACUUGGAAGCUGCGGAAAAAGUUUGAGGUUCUGUGCUAGAGAGAUCACCACCAACUUUAGCCGAAAAAACUUUCUUUUUCACAAUACCAGAUUUCGAUCUGGUUUGCAUAGGAUGACUAUUAAGUGUGGACACUAGUACGAACUGUAAUGUAUCAACUUGAGAUGUAGAAGUGUUAGGAUGUAAUUCUGUAUGACUGAGAGACUGUGCAUCAGGUCCAGAAUGAGACACUUGUGUAGUUGAUCUGGGAGGAAGAGAUGCUUGAGGAGAGACAAGGUCACCCGUGUUAUUUGUUGAUGCUGAACUGGACUGAGUAACAGUAGGUGUUGAAUCUCUAGAACCCAUUAAUUGUGACAUUUGAGGUAAAGGUAUAGGUAUAACCAGAGGAUGUUCAAAAGUGUUAAGAUGUACAACAGCACUAGGAGUAGGAGAUGAUGCAUGACUGGAAGAAGAAUGUAAUAAUUUUGUACUAGGAAAUGAUGCAUGACUGGAAGAAGAAUGUAAUAAUUUUGUACUAGGAAAACUAUGUUCAUCAAACAAAACAUGUCUUGACACAAGAAGUUUAUGAGUGCUGAGAGAAAAACAAAUAUAACCCUUGUACUGUGAAACACACCCAACAAAUAUACAUUCUGUAGUUUUUGGAUCUAACUUAUUGCUCCUAUAAGGUCUCAUGGAAGGAUAGCAAGCACACCCAAAGACUCUCAAGUGUUCAAGUGUAGGUGGAGACUUAAACAGACAUUCAAAAGGAGAUUUCAUGUGAAUAAUAGGUGUAGGCAUCCUAUUGAUUAGAUAGGCAGUAGUGGCACAAGCAUGAAACCAAAAAUAAGAAGGCAUGGAUGCUUUUUGAAAUAAAGUAAUAGCAGUUUCCAACAGAUGCCUAUUUUCCUCUCAGCCAACCCAUUUUGUUCUGGGGUAUAAGGACAAGACAUUUGAUGAACAAUACCCUUAUCCCUAAGAAAUGCUUUGAAAGCUAAACCCACAUAUUCACCCCCACCAUCACUUUGAAGUGUUUUAAUAGUUGUAUGAAACUGAAUUUUAACAUAGGCAACAAACUGAGCAAAAACAGAUAGAACUGCAGCUUUAUUGAUAAUAAGGAAAACCCAUGUAUAUCUCGUAAUUUCAUCCACAAAGGACACAUAAUACCUAAACCCUUCUGAAGAUAUAAUUGGAGCAGGACCCCAUACAUUAGAAUGUAUUUCUUCAAAAGGAAGAACAUAUUUUGAAGCAACACUAGGGAAAGGUAAUUUGGAAAACUUGCCUUGCAAGCAAGAGAUACAUGUGGUUGAAUCUUUAUUACAGGGAAUAGAAAUGGAGGAAUUCCUAGGUGCUGCAGUAGUAAUAGCAUUCGAAUGAUGCCCUAACCUACAAUGCCAAAAUUCAAAGGACACAUUUUGACCCAAAAAUGCAGCUGGAGUAGGCAUUUGUGAUUUGGAAGACUUGAGAAUUGGAAUUGGGUAGACUGCGUUGUUACUCAGUCCGUGAUAUAACACUUUCCUGGUGACCUUGUCCUGUAUACAAAUAGAGAACUCAUCAACAAUACAGCGACAUGUGUUGUCUUUACACAAUUGGUACAUAGAAAGCAAAUCUUGAGACAAUUUAGGAACAUGUAAUACAGAAUUAAGCUGAAAUGUAUGCAAUUUGGUGGGGAAAACAGUGUUGCUAAUAUGAGUAAUACUUAAACCUUCACCACCAGCACCAAUGAUUGUCUCAGUUGAUGGAUAAGGAACUGCAGAUUGAAGAUUAGCAAUAUCUGAAGUCAUAUGGUUGGUUGCACCAGAAUCAACCAGCCAAAAAUCUUGGUGAGGUGCACUUGGAGACAAAUUGGCCCAGGCUUGCAUAUCAACAGGCUGAAAUGAGUGAUAUUGAAGAGGUUGCUGCACUAGUGAUCUAGAGGAAUAAUAACCAGAUGGAACUCCAAUAGAGGAAGAUGGAUGUACAUGAAACUAUUGAGAGGAAGAACUAGCCAUAGGAAACUGUGAGGAAGUGACUGAAAAAUGUUGUGAAGAAGAAACAUUCUUGUCAAAACAAGUAGCUGCAGCAUGUCCUUUUCUGUGACAGAUUUGACACCUAUUCUGAAAACAGUUGAGAGCCGAAUGACCUUUCUUGUCACAAAUUUGACAAAUUUGAAAAGGAUUAUAGGCUGAACCAGAGUGAGAUUGAAUAGGAAAGAAACUCUGAGAAUUAUUUGCACCAUACAGAGACUGUGGUGCAGAUUGAGAACUUGAGUAAAACCGUUUGCCCUUGCCUUUAGACUUGAAAUUAUUAUUACCUCUGAAGUUGUUAAAUAAACAAGAGGCAUAUUGAGAAGGGAAAACACACGGUGGAUUAUCAGGCAUAGUUAUCUGAAUAGGUACUGGAUGUGGAAAUCCAGGCAUUGACAAAGUUGAAAAUCCUGACAUAGACAUCUGGGAAUGAGGCAAAGAAGUCCCAAUGUGCAUUCCAGCAUGUCCCGAAGACUGACCUUGAUCAUAUGUAACUCGACCCUGAGCAUACAUAGCAGACAUUAAAGGAAUUUGCUUGUGAACUUCAUCUAGUGUAGAUUCUUCAGCCUUCAAUUGAGAUAUGAGUUCUUUCAAGGACACCAAACUUUCCCUGCCACGAAUUACAACUUUGAUGGUGUGGUAUUUAGAUGGUAAACCCCGUAAAGCCAUAAUAACAAUAUCUUCAUCAGAAAUAGUCACUCCAAUAGCAACCAAUUGAUCUUUAGAAUCCUUGAUCCGCUAAAGAUAUUGAUCAAUUGACUCAUGCCCUUUUUUAAUAUUUUGUAAGUCAAUUUUCAUCUGCACAAUGCUAGUACGAGUGACACUAGCAAAUCGUUCAUGAAGAUUAUCCCACAUUUCCUUGGAACUCUAGCAGCCAAUGAUGCAGGACAAUGCAGAAGUGGAUAAAGUAGCAGCAAUAAGAGUCAUGAGAGCUUUAUCAUGAAUCUUCCAUAUUUUAUAUGCAUCAGAGAUGACUGGAGUAAUGUCAACAGUACCAGCCACAUAAUUAUUAUCCUCAAAUUUCUUAGGACAAGAAAUUGAGCCAUCAACAAAACCAAUUAUACCAUUUCCUUCCAGAAGAAGAUCCAUUUGGAAAUUCCAGGUAACAUAGUUAGAGUUAUCUAAUUUCACUGUCACAAUGUUGCCUACACUCAUAAUUAAUGAGGAAAUUGGCAAUUGAGUAAGAGCCAACUGAUUAGGGUUCACCAUUGUGUAUAGCCAAGAUUACUUCACUACACAUAACACUUCAAAAUCGCCAAAUAAAAAAAACACAUAAAGCAUCACUAGGAUUCAAAAACCACAACCACCAGAUUGAAGGGAAAAAUAAUGAGAUUCUAGAAUGGGAUUUCAAAUAGACUAUCAUGCAUAUACAAAUCAAAUUGAAUAUACGAAAGCAGCAGAAGCAUUUAUAACAUAUUAUCAAAGCUAUAGUCAUGCAAAUCCCCUUCAAGGUUCAUAGGUUUAUAUAGACAAAAGAAACCUAGUCAACACUUGACUAAAUAUCUCACCCUUUCCACCUUAAAGUGGCCGGCCUCAAAACAUUUUAAAGAAUCAAGAACAAAGUGAAGGUUAGUCUUAUACCUCUUGAUCUAGACUUGAGACCAAGGAUGGACCACCUCCAAGCCCUUUGCUCCUUGAAAUCCUUGAGCCUAGCUUCCCUCCUUGCCUCCUCCACUUUGAUAAAAUGAGUGCUCCUAGGUUCUCUUCAAGUUUCCAAAGUAGGAAACCUCUAAAGAUCCUCACCCAUUAGUGUAGUGAGAAGGAUGAAGGAAUAACCAAAAGGGUGUAAGAGAUGUUAGUAAAAACCCCCUUUGGUGGCCGGCCUUUGUGUAGUUUAGAGAGCUAUUUUUCUUUUGCCUCUUUGUUGUUUUUAACACACAAAAACCCUAAUGAACAAUAUCUUAUAAAGUUCCUUAUAUAGACAAAAGAAACCUAGUCAACACUUGACUAAAUAUCUCACCCUUUCCACCUUAAAGUGGCCGGCCUCUUUGUUGUUUGUUUGGGCUUUGGGCUUUUAUUAUUUCAAGUCAUCCAAUGCUUGAAUAAAAGCCCAAUGGAUUUAGGCCCAAUGGGCCCAAUUAAACCCGAACGUUUCUUAAGCCCAAAACGAUCUUUAUCGCUUUUAUGAUUUCUUUAGACUUUCUAAAUUAAUCACAACAAUCAAUUAAUCCAAUUAAUUAUUUCCAUCAUCCAUUAGUUACUCACUACAAUAGUGUUGUGGCGAACAAUCUUUUAGGUUCUAAUUAGCAAGGCAGUGAGGUGAUUGGCAUCAAUCCAAUUGCUUAUAUUUAAUUCAAUCACUUAGUGAAUUAAAACUUCAUUUUAAUUCACCUUUCUUCUUUGACGACUACAUUUAAUCAUCUAGAAGAACUCACAAGCUAUGAGUGACAUCUAACCAUAUGUCAUAGCUACCCAAACUAAUGUAGAAGUUUAUUCGAAGAACCUAGUCAGUUGGAAUUAUAAUGUAAUUCAAUCCUUCUCUAAUUCAAUACUCUCAAUCACAUCAUUAGGGUAUGGAUAUAUCAUGUCAAACCCCUAAUGUGAUUAUUCCUUCUUAUAUGAUCCAAUUGAGUCGUAUAGGAACGCUUUCCUUUAUUACGCUCGAUACUUCGGCCGAAGAUUCCCGAAUCAUAUCUUAGAGUAUUCUUCCUCUCUUAUCGAGGAUUAGAGAUUCCUUGUUGCGCAUACACUUGCCUUCAUGACUAAGUGGCUUAACCACAACUAUGCCGUUGACAUUCUGAUAGAGUGACGUUGACAUAAUCAAAGAUUAAGUACUUAACCACAAGACAACGGCGAUGCCUCAGGUCAAAGGACUACUUACAUUAUUCCAACCAUUAGAGUUACUUGCUUGACAUGUGAGUAGACCUCCAUGCAAGUACUCUCUUUCGAUUGUGUUCAGUGAACUCAUUCCCUUAAUGAGCACCUACAUACUUGUCUUAGUGUCACAACACGAAUGGGAUGAGACUUUCCAUCCUUCCAAUUGAAGCGGACACAGUAUGUACCGGUCUAAGCAUUGUCAGUAUCCCUCCGACAAUCCAACGACCAGGAACCUUUUGGACAUAAUGGUUAUGUGAAGAAGGUCUCUGUAGUCUAACUUCAUUAGAUUACUUCUUCAAUCGAUCCAUUGUCCAUGGAUUCACUAUUCAGGACAUAUAUUGUUUAUUGAGAUAGUCCUAAUUAGUUUCUUUGCCAUUUGAUGUAUAAGAAUCAUCCAUACAUCGAUUCAUUUGUCCUGAAAGAUUUCUUCCAAAGAUUGACUUUCAGGGCAUAUUUCCAACACAGAUAGCCGCAAAUCUUUGAACAUGCACAAUAUUGCAGAAAGAACACAACAAUUCGAAAGAAGCACAAGUACGAAAUCGAAUCAGAAAGUAGAGAAUCACAAUUAACAGAUGCAAGAGAGAGGAAGAAACACCUUGCAAGCGACAACAACGAACGCAGAAGUAACCAUCGGCUUCUACCAUGACUGUACACCAAAAUCCGCAAAUCUUAGGGUUUGAGCACCAACUUCGAUCGAACACCACUGACUUCAAUCGAAACACCACCGACGUCAAUCACCACUAACAACACAGCACGGAGCGACAAAAAAAGCAAGAGAUGAGCGGAAGCAACCAGGUCGUCAAUCGAUGACGGUGGCCAUGAUAGGCGAUGAUACCAUGUCAACUAUGAAGAAUUGUAGGAAGCAAUUGUAGAGUGAGAAAGUUAACAAACAGGAGAGAGAUACUGAAUAUUCUUUUUCUCAUUAAAAACCCGAUAAUUACACUUCAAUGUGGUAUAUAUAGUCUAUACCAGAGAACAACAAUUCUAACUAACUUUAUAAAACAAUCAAUUACAAUAUAAUACAUGUCACAUAUCCAACCAUUCUAUCAAUACAUCUGUCAUCCUAACAGCGACCUUAGGUUCAGAUGCAUUCACUGAAGUCAUUGUAGGUGCCAUUGGUGGAGGGAGAUUGAAAGAAGCUGAGAAUUCUAGUCUUUAAUUUGUAUGUCUAGAAGGAAAGUUAAUUGUUUGAGUGGUGUGGAGAAAUAUGGAAAAGGGAGUUGGUAUUUAUAGAGCAGGAUGGCAAGAUAAUAUAUGACCGACUUUAGUCGUGAGAAGUAUUUACAACGCAAGCACCCUUAUGGUCUUAACCCCAUAAGGUGGAGGUUUUUGAAUAAGUUGGCUAACGAUGACCUAAGUUUCAAAUUUGUUGUCCAGCUGCAACAAUAAAAUAUAUAUUAGUUUGUUGUUAACCACCAUGUAUAUGGAAAAUAUUAAUUCUUUAAAGACCAUGUAACUACAUUUAAAUUAUUUCUCUAAUAGAGAUGAGACACACUUGUUAGCCUUAUUAGGUUAUACAAUUAAGACACAAACGAAAGAGUGACUGACCUAAUUCCAAUGGCGGCCAUGGAAGUUGAAACCAAAAGUAGUAGAGCACGGCAACACCAGGAUCUUCUAUAAGCUACAACUACUCUAUGGGAAGCAUUGUAUUGUGUUAUCUAAGGCUUAUAGGGACCGGUGUUUAUAUAUAUAGGCUAAAAGAUAGGGUUUCCAUCCAUAAAGGAAAUCUAAACUUACUUUCUUAGCCUCUAAGUUAAGUAUCAUAAUUAUAAUCAAUUAGGGAUUCCAUCAAUCCUAUUUCCAAUAUAAGACACAUGAUAUAUGAUUAAUAUCUUUAAGAGAUCGAAUCAUAAUCAACAUUAUUUCUCCAAUAUGACAUUCCUAUUACAUGUAGUAGACCAGUUAAAGGUUGAUUUGUAUUGGAUAAAUCCAACAUUCUCCCACUUGGUCUACAAAAUGUAAUAUUCAUGUUUAUACUUGAGAUUGGAUACUAAUGUCUCUUUAGUGGCCAUGUAAUAGUGAUUACAUCUCGUCCUUAAUGCAGUUUCUGUCAAAUGCAUUUCUCAACAUGGAACUAACAAGGUUGUAGGGUUGACACAAUCUAGAACCUUCAUAAUCACACAUGCUAAGAUCCUCAUUCACAUGAAACACAAAUUAUGAUCAAGAGAUGAAACUUUAAAUAAACUUUAAGUUAACCAAAAUGUCUUACUUUAUAUCAUCUCAGGUCCAUCUUAUUGUAACACACAGGUUACACUUUUACACUUCUUCGAAGCCUUAAAUCUGCCAAUGCAGAUAUCCUUCAUCUAAUGAAACCACCAUAACCUGUAGGCGUGAAUACAUCUCAAAACAAUCUCACUUCACUUUCAUUAGACCAAUAACAAGCACACAGACAAUGUUUGAAGCCAACGGACACAACUAAAAGUACCAAAUAGGCACAUGUCCAAGUAAAAUACCCAGAAGCUUCGUAAAACAAACUAAUCCAACACUUAUAAGUAGAUGAAUUAACAUGUUUUUGACAUUGAUCUAUGCACUUUACCAGUUACUUUAAUGGUGAUUUCCAACACCUGCGAGCAGAUUGAAAUCCUCACAACUGACGCAUAGACCAUGCCAUGCCAUUUAGUAUGCAGUUUGAUAACAACUUGAUAUCCAACAUAUGUUUCAUCAGAUAAAUGACUAGCACACAAAAAAUGUGACUUAAUGAAUCUAGCUGAAGAUUAAACUGAAUACAUGGAUUCUAUAUAUACCUUAUAGGUCAUCUGCAAAUGUAAGGCAUUACUAACACAAAACUCAACCUCCCACUGAUCUGCAACAUCAUUACUUAAUUUGCUAGUCAAUACUUAAAUCAUAUUUUUGAAAAUAUGCCUUUGGGAAUAGCCUUACUUGGUCAAUGAAUGCAUAUUAACUCAAUGAAAGGUACAACUAAGCAUGGAAGCAUUCACUGCUGUUACACAAAAACAUGCAUCUAACAACCAUCUUAUAUGUAUUAAUAAGUCCACAUUUAUGCUAAGUCCUUGUGAGCCUCAAAACAAAUGAUCAACCAAGAAAUCCAAAUGAUUGCAAGUAAUAGAAAAAUGUACGCAUAUACCAAGUAUCCAUUCGUGCAACUUAAACAUAUUAUAGAUAUUCGAGUAACACAAAUUCAUGGAAGAUAGAAUAACGCUUUAAUAGAUUCAUGCAAGUCCACUUAAUGCUCACAAUUUUAGAACAACUCCCACUAAGUUUUCAGAGUUUAUACUUGCAAAUAAGUUAACGAGUGUAAAGCCCAAUUUUUUUCACUAAUUCUCCCACUUGGGUAAACACUCUUUCAAGUAUGUACCUAAAUAAAAUUGCCUUAUAUUUUAGACGUAAUAAAAUAGACAUUACAAUCAACAUAAAGUUGUCAAACAGAAUUUUCAGCAACAAGUUACACUUUAUUUAGAAUUAAUCAUAAUUAAUUUAUAAGCUUGAUUGAUACCAAAUUUAUACUGAUCAAAAUAGACAUACAAAUCUUCAUAAGACAAAAAUAUGGAGCUGUUUUGGGUCAAAGUAGUAGUCUAAAGUGACGUCUCAAAAAGAUCAACACAAUAUGUCAGUAAAAACUGUCUAUAUGAGCAUGGGUUACUAGUAAAUUCACCAUAAUUAACAUACAUGGCAGAAAAUUACGAAAAUUUGCAGACACAUAGUAGACAUCUAUAUGUUGAACAUAUCCAAAAUUCAGUUAACUUGGUGACCAUUAGACGUGUCAUUCAUCCAAUUUAAUUCAAGUCACGUAAUCUGCCAGAAACAAUUAUGUUCAUCUAUCAUGAAUUUAUGCAUCCAUAACAAAUUCAAUUUCAUAUCAUUUCAAUUUCAAUGUCCAAAAGAAACUUUAGUAGUCAAAUUUCAUCGUCUCAACCGACAUCAUAAUUCAAAUUGAAAAGAUUUACAAGCAUAAGAUUUAAACAAUGCGUACCUUAGCAAUCCUUGAUUAACCUUCAUGGGUCCAAUACUUUGCAUCAACAAGUCUCAUGAAGAGACACAAAAUACGUCAUGAUGCAACUGAUUUCUAUGCCUUAAAACCACAACCUAUUAAGGCCAAAAGCCUCACGCGCCCACGAUGAAUAGGGGGGGGGCUUUGGCCAAAGAACCUCCGAUGCCAAAGUUAGAAUUUUAGAGAGAAAAAGUGUUUAGAGUGUUUAGGAUUUUUUGUAAGAGAAUUGGAAUUGGCUUUUUGGUGAGAAAUGAGAGUAUAUUUAUAGGGAUAGGAGGUGGCUAGGGUUUUUUGGGUUUGAUUUAGGUUUAAUUAGCCAAUUUAUUUUGCUAUUAAACAUAAAAUGAAUGUUUUGGUGGUUUUUUGUAUAAUUGGCUAAUCAAUGUCACAAAAAAGGAAAAUUAUGGUGAAAAAAGAAGGAAAUGGCCGGCUCCCUUUGGAGAAGGGAUAACCGGCCUUUAGGGUGAUUUUUGGGCUUAAUUUGGUGAUGUAAUUAGCCUUUAAUAUAUUGAUUAUAUUAAUUGGUUGAGGAUGUUAUGGAAUGUUUGAAAUAAAUGGCUAAUUGAAUAAGGAAAAAAUGAGGUAAAAACAUAUAUGGAAUAAAAUAGGUUUUGAAUUGUUACCCAUUUUGGGUACUCCUGACUUGGUUGAUGGAUGAUUCUCCACUGCUCGGGUGUAGGAAACCCAGUAUGCCUCGAGGGUAUUUUUGUCCUCUUUUGUCCAAAAGUCCAUGUGUCGCCUAGUGAAUAUUUUUGGCUCCACAAAUGCCCCCACACCUGUUGGGCUGCUCGCAGAAAAGGGCAGCAGGUGUAGAGAUCUUCUUGCUUUAGGAAACUUAAGACUGCUUCCUAUUUUGAUGUAUAUUCUCUCUUUAAUAGGAAAUUAGAUCCUUCUAGGAAAGGGAAAUAAAUUUCUCUCAAAGCCUAUUUAAAUCCACCUUAAGUGGGUUAUUAAAUCAACUUUGGAGAGCGAUUUAUUCUACCCUACAAGAGAGAGAUGGCUUAGAGGAUAUUUGUUCCCCCUCCUCUAGCAAUCUUCUACAUCUUGCCCAUGCAAAGGACCGUAUUUCGUUGAUUUCUUCGUCUUCUUCGUGGAUGGUGCUACCGCGGGGCAGCCGUCGGGGUGGUGCGGCACGUCGGCUGGCAUGGGCCAGGAGUCGACUCGGUAUGGGCCGAUGAGGUAUUGUGGUAGGGACCACUGCUUUAAGCUGCUCGACUUGGCUAGAACCAAGGGCAGCUUGUGUGGCUGGGGCCUCGGAUUGUGGCACUGGGGCGCAGUGCUAGGCAAGUCAUAUGGCUUAUGUCCUUUUAGGCUUUUGGACAUGACGCGAGUUAGGCCGGUGAUUGAGAGAAAUGAAGAGGUUGCAGUCCUCAUGAGCUGCUAGAAUGUUGGGUUGAACUUCCCUGCUAGGUACCACGAAUGACAUUGGUUAUUUUAACUUUUUUCGUCAGGAGAAACGUGGGCUGCUCCCAAAAGAGGAGGUGAAUAGGAUCAAAGUGGAUGUACUGGCUCGUCCAAUCACCAUUGUGGAUCCCGCUGCAACUGAAGGUGGGAAAAUGGAUAUUCUCUGCUUGCUCAAGAGAUGCCGGCUGAGAAAAAACCAAAGACUUCUUUCGCUGCUCGAGCUGGUUCGCCGACUACUUCCAGGCUUGUGAUUGACUUGACUUUUUCCAAGGGGACAAAAAAUGAGGCUUCUAGAUCUGAGCAUGUGGCGCCUGCCAUGUCAAGAAUGGCUAGUACGAUUGCUGAUAGGAUUGUUCGGCAUAAAGGUCUUGUCAUGCCCUUAGUGCCGAAUUUUGUACCAAGACGUCUGUUGGGAGCUAAGUCCAGUUCACCUUUGGAGAGGCUUGCUAUUAUGAAAAGCGAUAAGGUGGACUCUACUGCUAAAGUGGCGUCAAGGCCCAUUCCUUAGCUGCUGAGACUGAUUCGCCUGUUGGGAAUGAGGAGACUGCUCGCGUAGGCAGCUGUGAGAAAUCCACUAAACCUGCUUCUGAGGAGGCUGCUGAGAUCUAUGUGCUUUUGAAACCAGAUCUCUUGAAAACAUGGAUGCUUGUGCCAAGUUUGUUGAUGACGUCAGAAAGGUUGUUUGCCCAAGCUCGUUUGCGAAGCAUACGACCCAAUAUAGAAGGACCGCUCUGCUUGUUAUGAUGCAAAUAUAGCAAGGCUGCUAAGGAGAUGGCAAAUACUAUGGCAGAUUCUAAGCUCGUUGCUUUGAAGGGGUCUAAUAUUUCUGCCCCCACUUCUCUCAGAUUCAAGAUCUUAAGUUUGCAGUUUCUGAGCUUCGUUUCGCUGCUUAUGCUAAGAAAUGAGUGGAUGAGCUGCAGCGCGUCCGUGUUAGUCUGCUUAAGAAGAAUGAGCAGCUGAAGGGUGAGAAGGAUGGGCUUGAGGUUUUAAGACCUUCUCUAUUUCUCCGGAAGACUUGCUUGCUUUUACUUUUAAGGCUUCCAUUGGUGAAGUAGUUGGAGAAGUUAGUGCCCAGGCUGGGGCAGCCGGGGGUGAAGCGCCGGAUGAUGCCGCUGCUAAGAGCGUUACGGCUGCUGAAGGUGUGGCGACCGAGUAGUCGUGGGAUGUCCAAGCUGCUGUAGUGUAAUAUUCUAAGUAGCCUUUAGGAUUUUCUUUGUUUUUCCUUAUAGCUCUUGUUUUGCUUGAACUCCUUCGGCCUUUGCUAGUUAUUUAUAAACAUGUUUUCCUUCGUUUUUCUUCAUCUUCGCUUCUUUUGUUCAUGCCCUAACCUUUAGACUUGAUAGACCAGUGGCAGGCAUGCUACUUUUUUAUAAGCAGACAAGCUCGCGUAGCCUAUGCAGCCGUAGAUGUUGGUGUAGAACUUUGCAAAGUUGUUAGCCAUAGGGUUGGCAGCCGGAUGCCUUACUUACAGAAGCAGAUAAGUCCGCGUAACCACUAGGCUGUUAACCUUGACUUUCUUCAAUUCCGUAGGUUGCGUAGCAAGUAUCACAACACUUUAGGACUUGGUGUAGGUUGUUCCGCGCUUGACAGAGGUGAAGCUUAUCGACUACGUAGCAUGUCGGCAGUGGAUAAAACUUCGUAUAUGCGCGCUAGCUUGUUUAACCUUUCACAAGAAUGUGCGGUUGUAUAAGUCUAGCGCUGCUUUACAGCUCGAAGGGCAAGCCGUAGGCAGUCUUCCGGAAUCCGUAGGCUACCUUAGUGCACUCGGUAGCAGCUUUAGGGUUCCAGGGCAGCCGUCUAUAGGGCGUACUACGUAAUGUGCCCCCUCCGUCUCUAGGGCCCGAUUCCCCACGGAUUAGGCCAAGAGACCCAAAAUCCUUCAGUUAGCUAAGCCUUGAAAAAGACCAUUGUGGCUACUUCUAGGAAUCCCGGCGCAAGCCAUCGUGCAUCUAGUUACACUAGGGCAGCCAGGCUCAUCCACGUCUGGAUAUUCGGAGUGUAAAGUUUAUCCUCCCAUCUUGGAGAGCUAACCCAUAUGGGUGUCGGGGAAUUGGUUUACCCUCUCGCACUGGAGAGCAUGGUUGGUCCCUCGGGGGGCACAAUUCUUGCGAUGAGUCCCUAAGAAGGGCGCAGUCUUCUUUUGAAAUGCAUAAGUGAUUAGUUGUUGUAAGCAUGCAGCCGAGCCAAGUUGUGAUUACUUCUAAAUUCCUCAUUGAAAAACAAGUGAAACGAACGAGAAUUUAGCUGUAAGGUAGGAAUUGCAUAACAACUGGAUAGUCCUCAGCUUGUGAGGUGGUGCCCGUCGAGCUUUUUGAGUCUUCGGGCUUUGAUGUAGUGGGAGGUCACACACAGUACUUCUUCAGAUUGUAGGCGCUCCACUACUUUUCGAUCAUUUUAUCGUUUCAUGGUGGCGAGGGUGUAAUUACUCUUGCCGCCUACUCUGCUGAUUUUGUACGGACCUUCUCUAUGGGCAAUGAUGAAGGCUUUUCUUAGGACUAGAUCUCUGGGCUGGAAUUGCUGCUGGUAACCUGCGAUGCGAGUGAAGUCUACUCGCACUUCUCCUCUGCCAGAUUUAAGCUUGUGGCCAUCUCAUUUCGGUUGCUCGUCUUUUGGUGGUGCGAUAUGCCCAUAGACAUCUAGGGAGUUCAUCUGGCCAUUUUCUUUUCUUAUUGGUGGAGGAUUUCUUGUGACAGUCGAGGAUCAUCUUGGUGGAUACUUUGGCCCGCCUAUUGCCUUAAGAAUAUCUUGGCGUAGACAUGUGCUGCUUGAUGCCAUAUUUUUGGAAGAACUUCGCCAAAUCUUUGCCCAUGAAUUACGGGCCGUUGUCGGUGACGAUGGAUUAAAGGAUGCCAUAUUGACAAAUGAUGUUCCUCUAUAUGAAACGCUCUAUGUCCGUCUGAAUCGUGGUCAUCAUGGACUUUGCUUCUACCUAUUUGGUGAAGUAGUCGGUUGCCACGAUCGUCAUGCCUUUGCCCCCAGUAGUCUGGCUGGUGAUUAGCUGGGAAUCGGAAUAAAUUGAAAGCUUUUCACCGCCAAGUCUUUUGUCAUUCGAAAGCCUGCUAGUAGGGCUUCAUACUCUGCUUCGUUGUUAGAUGCUUUGAAGCUUAGAGUGAUCGCCUACUCGAGCAUUAAAACGUCUGGGGUGGUAAGAACCACGGCUGCUCACGAGCUUUUGUAGUUGGAUGCGCUAUCGACAUGCAAACGCCAGAAAUCUCCAUUGAGGGAGCAGGUGUGGCUAAAGUGUGCUCAGCUGCCUUCGGGACGCCAUUGGGCCGUUCUGUUGCAUUGUCAAGGCUAGGCUUGAAGGCGCGGUAGGGAGCCGUGGAGCUGGGGCCAUGUUACAUGUAGCAGGAGAUGCUCAACUUCUGGUAUUAGGCCACUCUAGAGUUGAAUCUUCUGGGGCGACGAGGACAAAACUUGCUUCUGAGUGUUCCUUCUAGUGUUCGUCUACCAUUGACGUGUCUUUUGGGCCGAGUUGUUAUGUUCGUCAGAAAACUUUGCAUCAGCCAGGGUCUAUGCCUUUAUCGUCGCAGGUUUGGAUUCGGCGGAAUAAUGCGUCAUGAUGAUGACUGCGUGCAUUUGAAGGUAAAACUUAAGCUUUUGGGUUACAACAACUAUCGCCAAAGUUAGCUUUUGAAUUUUUAAUAGCAUCGAGAAGAGCUUUUGAACUGUAGAAUACAGGUAACUGUAGAAUAUAGGUAGUCAGGCCCCAGCUCUUCUCGCAUGAUGGUAGAGCUUAUUGCUACUUUAGAUACCGUCAACAUGCGAAUAAGUCCUCCGUUGCUACUAUGGAGGUGAUGUCGGGUACUUCUUCAAGUCCUUGAAUGUGCAUUGGCGAUCCUCAUCCCAGAGUGCAUGCUUCUCUGCCAAAGCAAAAGAGUCUGCCAAAGUUAGAUCUUCUUUCAUGAUCAAUUUUCCGAGUAGAGGGUGGUCUGCUGGAAGUCCUUUUUGGAAGGCUGCUCUAGCUAUCGAGUCGUUGCAUCCGACUAUUUUUGCCUUCUCUACUUUGAACCUCCUCACAUAGUCGCGAAGCGACUUCUUUGGGUUCUUCUUGACGUCGAACAAAUGGUCAGACUUCUUUUUGAUCGAGCGAUAUGAUGAAUAUUCUCUGGUGAAAACCAAAGAAAGUUCGUAGAAAUUUCGGAUGGAUUGUGGCGGCAGGGUGUAAAACCAAUCUUGCGCCUCGUCUUGUAGAGUGGUGGCGAAUAUCUUGCACAUAAGAUCAUCGUUGUUUGGAUAAAGGAUCAUUGCGCUUCGGUAGCGCUUCAAGUGUCUCUCCGGGUCUUCAUCCCCUUUGAAAGAUGUGGAAUGUGGCAUGCUGAAAUCGCGUGGAGGCUCUGCCUGCUCGAUCUCGUCCGUGAAGGGUGACCUUCUUAUGUUGGUCAUGUUCCGUCGUAGUGCCUCGUCGGUGACCUCGUUACGUUGGAAAUCAUGCAAUCGUUUGGUCAAAAGUCUUUCUACUUCAUCCUGAAUUUGCCUUUGUUGGGGUAGCGGAGCUCUCGGCUGCCCACAGCCAUGACUUGUUGGUCUAGGCUGCUCUUCCAUGUGUUUGGCUCGUCUAUGCCGCGGAUGCAGUGCAUAUGGUGCGUUCCUAGCAGGCCAACGAGUUCUUCGCAGGUUGCUGGUUGAACUUGAGCUGGAUUGAGUGACUGCUUUUCUCCGUCCGUCGGGCUGCCUACUCCGAUGUGAGGUGGAUGAUGCUCCUUGCGGGUUUAGCCGCAAAUGAACACUUCGCCUGGAAGGCUGCUCAUAUUGGCUAUUGGAGUGUGACCCUAACCAUGAAUGUAUGCUCGUUUGUGGGCCUAGUCGAGAGUGCACGCUCCUCCAUGCUCUAAGAUGGGAGUAUACGCUAUCUCGGGGGCCCAAUCAGGAGUGUAUACUGCCUGAACGCUCCGUUCGUUGCUGGUCGAGUGGCUGCUUACCGGGACGCUGCUGGAGAGGUUCUUUGUCUGCCCUUGUCCUACUUCGGAACAUCUCGUCUGGGGCACGUUGCAUCUCGGUGCGUUGCAAGAGCCGGUUCACCAAGGUCGUCUGCUGUGCGAGGACGCUUGUCAACUCUAUGACCUGUCGUGACAAGUGUUGUUCUCCAUUUGGGUUGGAAGAGCUUGGAAGGAAUGUGCCUCCUUGGGCAAUGGAAGAGUGGUAGACUCCGGGCACGAGAUUUGAGUUGGGAAAUGUCAAAUUCGUGAAAAAAUAUGGUGAGAAUGCCCCCGGCUCGAUGGUAGGUCCGGAUGGUUGAGAUAGUCUUGGGCCGACUUGGGCUGCUUGGAAAACCACUGGAGCAGGAUGGGCCGUGAGAGUGGGCUGCUCGACGGAAGCAGGCUGGACCACGGGAGUGGGCUGCUCGUCGGGAGCAGGCUCGGUCACGAGAGCAGGCUGCUUGGCAGGAGCAGGCUGGGCCACGGGAAUGGGCUACUCGACGGAAGCAGGCUGGGCCACGGGAGUGGGCUGCUGGACGGAAGCAGGCUGGACCACGGGAGUGGGCUGCUCGUCGGGAGCAGGUUGGGUCACGAGAGCAGGCUGCUUGGCGGGAGCAGGCUGGGCUGGGAGAGCAAGUUGCUUGGCGGGGGCAGGCUGUUUAGUAUGUGAUGCAUGCGAAUGCGAGGCUUGGGCCCAGGCCUAUGCAAACUUGGAUGGCACGACUUGGGCUGUGGCCUUGGUGCCGUAAGCCUUGGAUGACACUGCUCGAGCCGUGGUGAAGGCUCCAUGGACCUCUCCACGGGUGGCUACUGAGGUAGCCACCGUGGUGGUUCCCAUGGUGGAAACUCGUGGUGGUGGUGCUGCUCCACUUAUUGUCGCAUUUAGCCUCACGGAUCUCCGCAAUCCCAUUUCUUGAACAUUAGAAUUUUCACUUGUGGAAAUUUCUAAAUUUCUAGCCAUUAUAUUUUGCUUAUACGUUUUAUCAAAGAACCUUUGCAAGUAAAAAAAUUCUAAUAAUAAGAAUGUAUGAAAAAUUUUCAAAUGGACUAGAAAAUAAAGAAAAAACCUUUUUGUGCGAGAGUCUUCUACGAGUAUGGAUUUCAACUCUCAAUGAAAGCACCAAUUUGUGGAUGCAAAUUUUCUCCUCUUCGAUCUUGGACGAUUUUGCACCUACAAAACAACUAGCACCUUAGGUUAAGGCCAAAAGCCUCACGCGCCCACGAUGAAAUGGGGGGGGGGGCUUUGGCCGAAGAACCUCCGAUGCCAAAGUUAGAAUUUUAGAGAGAAAAAGUGUUUAGAGUGUUUAGGAUUUUUUGUAAGAGAAUUGGAAUUGGCUUUUUGGUGAGAAAUGAGAGUAUAUUUAUAGGGAUAGGAGGUGGCUAGGGUUUUUUGGGUUUGAUUUAGGUUUAAUUAGCCAAUUUAUUUUGCUAUUAAACAUAAAAUGAAUGUUUUGGUGGUUUUUUGUAUAAUUGGCUAAUCAAUGUCACAAAAAAGGAAAAUUAUGGUGAAAAAAGAAGGAAAUGGCCGGCUCCCUUUGGAGAAGGGAUAACCGGCCUUUAGGGUGAUUUUUAUGCUUAAUUUGGUGAUGUAAUUAGCCUUUAAUAUAUUGAUUAUAUUAAUUGGUUGAGGAUGUUAUGGAAUGUUUGAAAUAAAUGGCUAAUUGAAUAAGGAAAAAAUGAGGUAAAAACAUAUAUGGAAUGAAAUAGGUUUUGAAUUGUUACCCAUUUUGGGUACUCCUGACUUGGUUGAUGGAUGAUUCUCCACUGCUCGCGUGUAGGAAACCCAGUCUGCCUCGAGGGUAUUUUUGUCCUCUUUUGUCCAAAAGUCCACGUGUCGCCUAGUGAAUAUUUUUUGCUCCACACCAGGAACUUCUAUAAACUCCUAGCCGAAUACAACUACUAUAUGGGAAGCAUUGUGUUGUGUUAUCUAGGGCUUAUAGGGACUGGUGUUUAUAUAUAUAGGCUAAAAGCUAGGUUUCCAUCCAUAAAGGAAACCUAAACUUACUUUCUUAGCCUCUAAGUUAAGUAUCAUAAUUAUAGUCAAUUAAGGAUUCCAUCAAUCCUAUUUCCAAUAUAAGACACAUGAUAUAGGAUUAAUAUCUUUAAGAGAUCGAAUCACAAUCAACAUUAUUUCUCCAAUAUUACAUUCCUAUUAUAUGUAGUAGACCACUUAAAGGUUGAUUUAUAUUGGAUAAAUCCAACAACACUUGUAUUAAAGACCCUAUAUCUAUUCAAGAGAGGUUUAUUGUGGUCUUCAAAGAAAAAUGUCAUAGGGAUAUUUAGACCAUAUUUGUAAAUGAUAUGAUAUGUGAACAAUAAAAAUAAGUUCGUUAAUCAAACACUUAAGUAAUAAAAUAAUCAUUGACAUUGACAACCACAUCAUGUUUAUAUAUAUGGUCUCUUUAGCAUUACUCAAUCUACAAACUGUGGUCUUCUUAGCAUCACCCUCUUUGUAAUAGAAGUAGAGUCCACCAUAUGUAGUAGGUUGCACUUCUAUUAUAAAGAUGAGAUAAAUGUGGUCUCUAAAAUAUUAGCUCCCCAGCAUAUUUCUAUGCAAUAAUCAUAGUCCCACUAGAACAUAGGAAAACCAAAAUUUAACAAUAGGGAACUGCCUAUAGAUAUGUUAUAUAAUACUACUACAAAAUUUGACCAUUAAUUGGUGAACAUACUAAGUAAAUUUACAUGCUGUAAGUAGUUAAACUAAUAAAAUAGUGAAAAUAUGCUUUAUUUUGUUUUAUAUUCCUAAAGAUGGAGGGGAGAUGGGGAAAGUAGAUGCAUGAAUGUAUAGUUGAUGAGAAAAUUAGAAAAAUGUAGGAAAGCAUUUGGUAUGGGGUUUAAGGAAAUCCAGUGUCGCGUCCAGUUUGAGACUUUGGCUACGGCAGAUAAGCCACUGAAGGUAGCACUACAUCUUCAUGUGCCCCACCCAUUAACCAACCAAUGUGUUCCCUCGACGACGUGAAUAAUUCGUCUCACAACAAGCCGGUCACCACAGCCAAGUAAAAGAAUAUGAAACGAAAUAUGGCACAAACUAACAAACACAAUCGCGCAUCGUCAUCUGGACGCAUCUACAAUUCCAAAUCUAAAUUACCCACCAGUAGGGAACAGAUUCUUUAUGUGCCCAGUAAUAUUGGAAUCCCGUUUUAUAAAACCUAGUUAAUUGGGUGCAAUUAUUAACACUUUAAAAAUUGUUGUGCACUUUUUAUAAGGUUUUUUAUUUUUUUUAUUUUUUUUUAUUAUUAUUUUUUUUACAAAUAACAUUUUACAGUAUUCAUAUUAAAGGGAAAAGUUUAAACUUUGGACGAAAUUGGUUGAGAAGGAAGACCUAACUAUUAAGAGCAUCACUAAUGAAGGCCUUAUCCUCCUUUUCUUUUAGGGCUACUAUAAAUGUAGCACUAGUGAGAAAUUUCAUCCCAAUGAAACAAGAAAAUUGGUCUACAUCCACCACAUGGGCUAGUAUCUUCCUUGAAUAGUAAAAAAUUAGACUAUAUGAAACUUAGGAUGAGAAUGAUGCAAUCCAUAUCUAUAUGAAACCUCUCUUUUGUUUGGUGAACCAUAUAUAUGCCUAAAACCUUUUGAAUGUGAAUGUGUACGGAAAUUUGACUUUUACCUUUCGUUCAAAGGAAUUAUCCCUUCCAGAAUGUAACCCCACACAAGUCAAAGUGACAUCAUUUGCACCCAUUUCUCUAGUAGCAACGUCAUCAUACCUUUUAACUUUUUUUGUCCUGCUUUAAGUCUCUAUGUGGGUUGACUGGAAAAGGUAACGAAUCAGACAAAAUAACCGCGAAUACGCCAAUAGAAAAAGCAAGUCCAUUAGGAGAGAUUUUUUCAGUAUUGACAAGAACAUGGGAUGAUAUUCUACUAGUGCACCAAAUGCCAGUCAUGUGUGUGGGUUGACUUGCCUCCAACUCAAAAAAUUCAUCUUCACCAGUGGCAGGUUUAGAAAAUAUUAUUUAGGAGGGGGGAGGGGGUAGGGAGACGAGAGGAGGGUUUCAGUAAAAAGAGAGCACGCAGCGCAAAAAAUCUUUUAGACAUAAAUACGUGCAAAUUACCUUUUCAUCAAGUCUUGGAAGACUUGAAGUCAUUUGCAGAGGUAUAUUGCACACCUAUUAAUGUCUUAAUUGCAUGGGUAACUAUAUGUUCCAAGGCUGCUCCCAUAUGAAUGAUUAAUUAAGGAACACUUAUCGUUAACACACUAACAAAUUGAUUGAUAUCAUUGGAUUUCGUUAAUAUGUUUGUUCAAGAAUGAGAUGCUUUGUUCAUUCUUUGAGAUUACCAUUUCAUUUACUUUGCAUUUUUGGAUAGUCUUUUACUUCAUUCUUAUUUUCAUCCCACAAUUGUAAUCACAACCAACAAGCAAAUUAGAGGUAAACAAUUUUAGGACUAGACUGUAAACCAAAACUUUCGACCAACUAUAAUUAUAAAGAAGUAUAAAAUACUAAUAAUAGGAUUUGAAAGGUGCGGCAAAGCAACACAACUGCUGAGCAAAACAUCCACUAUGCUAUGCCCAAAUCUAAGCAUGCCUUGUAGCCCAGCAGUCCAAGCUCCUCUCUAAGGCAUUUUAUCAAGCAGUUGGAGGACAUAUAUGAAGGGCGACUCUAAUCUUAAAAAAGACAGCAUCCAAGUCAUCCAUGAAAAUUCAAUGGAGUUCGGAAGAUCAGCUGACCCCCUUGCCCCUAAGUUAGUUCGCCCCUGAUCUCCACCGGUUCAAAAUCAUUGAGACAAUUAAAGCAAGGGAAGCAGCCCAACUUGUUCAAGCUUGACCUUGCACGUACAGACAAUUGGAGCAAGGGUAGCAGCUCAUUUGGCUGCCCUGCCUGUUCAAGCAUAAACUUGCGCCUGCAGGCAAUUGAAGUUGAUGUCAGCAUGGAUCCACCACGUGCAACCCACUGAGGCAAAAGCCUCGCCUUUAGCCGUUAGAUUUCCAACAGUCUUCUUGUCUGGACAGUUGGAUUUCCAACAUUAAAAAAAUUGAAAAUUAUAUGUUGUGCCAUGUCUUGGAAAUCAACAAACAUGAUUAAUCCAAAGGUAAAACAAUCCAACAAAUUCUGAAAAAUUCCAAAAUAAAAACACAAAAUUUUGUUUAAGAACACAUUUAAACAAACUCACAAAAUUCAGCCAUCUUUUUCCUUCACUUUUUAUCUCUAAUUAUUAUGCUUGUUUGUAAUGCUAUUUUUUGCUUUGUAUUUAAAAUUAAAUUAUCGGAGUUAAUUAUGGAAUUUUAUUUUCAAAAUAUAAACUUGCUAAGUACACACUUACAAGGCAUACAAAAUGAAAAUAUAUUUGUCACAGCCCGUCCCGGAGGUACUUUUGGCGGGAAUGUGAAAGGACAAAAAUGCCCUUGUCAGGUAUCAAGGUAUGGGUGAUUACCUAUGCUUUGAUACACGUGAUUGCCAGCACACCUGGAUCCUCCGGAUCGGGGUGUGUCAAUAUUUGUGAAUAGUAAUCGCCCUUACCCUUCCUCUUCUCAAAUGAGUGUACUUGCACAAAUUUAAUUAUUGUUUAGAGAGAACAGUAAGGGUAAUUUCACUGUGCUUGUCCUUGACCUCCUAAAAUAGAUGGACAUGUUCUAACAUCACUCGACCUGCUUAUAUUGGUGUGUGUUCCUUUUAUUAGAGAGGUGGCACAAAUGUAGUCUAUCAAAUGUAAUCUCUCUUGCAUCAUUCUUUGUUAGAAAAUGUAGUAAAAUCUCGCUAUACCAUGACACUCUAGAUAAGGAUAACAAUGAUUUAUGUAGUAAUGUUUUAGAAGAUUUUAUGUUACCUAGUUUAGAGCUUCUUCUAUCCGGGUGUGUUGACUAUUCUCUCUGCUGAGGCAUGAUCCUUUAGAUUUCUAAUAAAUUGUUUUGCUGAUAAAAAGACGAUCUUUAUUGACAGCAGAUUCGUAAAAAUAUAUUGUCCUGGACAUUCAUACUUUGCAAUUUAGGCAAUCCAAGAUAUAAUAUAUUGGUCCAGGUUACAUUUUGAUUUGGGUGUUUUAGCCUUGAGGCAAUCCAAUUUUUUUAAUUUUUAUAAAUUAAGUUUCUUCCUGAAUUCUAAUAUACUCCAAUGUUUAGAUGAAAAGAUCCUCCAAGACUUAUAUUCACAAUUUUUACAAUUAACUUUGAAUUUGAAAAUUGGAAUGUGGUCAACAGAUUGAACUGGGACUUCAAUAGAUUGAUUUCGAUUAUUUAAGAAAUAAUUUAUUUUUUAGUAUCACUGUUCAAAAUUUUCCUUUUUAGAUUUUAUUUAUUUUUGUUUUUGGGUUUGCUAAUAAAGCUUUAAAUAUAAAAAAUUAUAUUUAAAGCUAACACAUGGCAAGCUAUGAUAUAUGUCUGCCACUACCAAUCAACUUAGGAUUGGUUUGGUAUUGCUGUGCUUUGAAAAAAAGCUGCUUCUGCUGUGCUGUGAGAAUAAGCGGCUGUAAAAUAAAGCUGUAGAGUGUUUGAUAAACUUUUUUGUAAAAAGGCUUUUGAAAAAAAAAAGCAGUAUUAUAAUGUUUGGUAAACUUUUAUGUAAAAUAGAUGUGAAAAAAACCGGUUUUUCAAAGCUGAGUUUUGCAGCUUCUUGUUUUUGGCUUGUUUUCACCCAAAACUGUGAAAAAAAAGCUGAAGCUGAAUGUUUACCAAACACAAAAAAGCUCCCAGCUUUUUUUGAUACCAGCUUUUUUCAGAAUCAUCUCAGUACCAAACCAGGCCUUAAUCUAGAGGCAAGUUAAGCUUCACACAAGUUUUUCUUGUUCUCCUCACCUUAAUAAUAAUAAUUUAAAAAAAAAGAAAAAAAAAACUAAUAUGCUCCAAUAUUGACGUAAUAUUUUUUAUCCAUAGAUUUUCCAUUAAAAGUGACUAAGUCAAAAAAUAAUUUUUGUAAUUACAUAUCUGUUAAGUAUAACUUCUUUGUAAUAAUAAAAAUAAUUUGAUCUUGCAAGUGACCUUUUACCACAGUAGUAAAAAAGAGUUAAGUCAUUGCAUGAUGGUGUGGAUUCGAAGUUCGUCGGCGGCUAAUCUAACAUCUAACCUAACAAAAUUUAUGGUUUGACAAAAAAAAAAUUUGGUCCUAAGAUCAAUAAGAUAUUUCACUGUCUUUCUUCGAGUGUGAAACUGUCAUACUAUUAUAAUUUUAAUACAUUAUAUUAAUGAGGUCUCCCAUCUAACAAUGUUAUGCGAUGCAGAAAUGAUACUAUAACCAUAUAUUUGCGUUAAUAAAGAUAAGACUCAUAUAUGUGAAUAAGUCUUAAUUUUAUUAGUGAAAUAGUACAUAAGAUGGUACGAAUAUUUAAUAACGGUAGAAUUACUCAUGUUGGCGUCAGGUUUCUAGUUCUAGAAAUUUUUUAAUAUUAGUAUCCCAGUGUAAUAAUGACACACGUAAGUAAAGAGGAAGAAGUUGAAACGGUAUAACAUGCUACUGUGAACAAGUCAACAAUAUACAGCUUCUAAAUCAUGUUGGGUCAAAUUUCUGCCACUCUCCACAUGUAACAAAUGCUUGAGUAUAGUAGUAUAAAAAGAAAAAGAAGAAAAAAAAAAAAACGAAUGUUACCCGAACUCCAUGCAUAACUGUCAUUGGAAUUAUAACUUUUUGUUAGCCGGCGUAGCUCAACCGCACCCUAUCAUUGACUGCUGAAAAGGCCACCAUAUAUUGCUUAAAAAAUAUAAAAAUUUGCUAAUUUGGUCCAUGAAUUCUUACGCAUGAAAAUUCAGUUUUUAAAUUCAUUAAAAAUUAUCAAAUUCAUCUUUAUUGUUGAUUCAAAUUAUUUUAUUCAUUUUUUCGUUAAUUUAAAUCAUGUGACUUGUAUUUGAUACAUUUUAAAAGGUAGAUUAACAUUUUUAAUGGGUUUAAGAACUUUUCCUUUUUCUACUCCAUCUCAAUGUAUAUUCUUCAUUUCUUGGCUCCAAUUAACAACUAAAUUCUCUUCCUUAACCAUAACAAUAGGCUAUGCUAUGUCAUGAACGAGAAAUAGUAUAUACUAGCAAAAAUGCCUGCGCGCUGCUGCGAAUGUUUAAAAUAUUUUGAUAAUAUGUACAUACAGAAAAUAGAAUUUAUUGAAGUUAGAUUUAUAUACCUAAGAUAGAGAUUGGCAGUGUGCAAUUCCUCACUGUUAUAAAGAUAGAGAUGCUAUGAAAGCUAUAUUCAUGUACAGAAGUUCAUAGUAUCAAAAUUGUUCAAAUACGAAAAAAAAACAUGUUCAUAUCAGAAGCUUGGCACCGCACAUCUGCUCAGUGUUUAUGAUUUUUCCUGGUCAAUCUUCUGGUCUUGCUUGUUUGGGAAUGACCAUCUUUUUCUUGGUCAUCUUGUUAUUUUUUGCUUUGUCCAGAAUUUUUCUCUUGCUAUAUAUUAAGAAUUGUAAUCAAUAAGAAUUCAAAAUAAAAAACUAAAAGUUUUCAAUCUAUUUAACCACUGAAUUGAUGGAGGAGCGAAAGAGAGAAACAAAAAAAAAGGGCCAUUAUUCAAUUAUAUGGAGAAUUACUUGAUACGUACAAAAGAUUUGAAAAUUAAACUAACAUUAAAAAAAGAAAAGAAAAAAGAGAUGAGAUGGAGUGGAAACCACAUACCAACAUCAAGCUUAAAAUUGUAGUGCUAUCUGCAAUUAGUCUUAUCAGGAGCUUCUACACUGGUUGAUGUCUCGGUCUUUUACUUAGCUGUAUGUACAUUGUAGACUUGGGUAGAUGAGAAGCAGAAGAAAAUAAAAAUAUAAGUUAAAGUUACAACUUAACUAUCUAUGUUGAUUCAUGUCCAACACAUAAUAAGAAUAAUAAGAAUAGCGAAUCAUUUUUCAUCUCGUGCACUGAUUUGUCAUUGUCACUCAAAUUCACAAAUUCAUUUACUCCAAAUUUCUUAGUUAUGACCAAGGAAAGAAUGUUUAAGCAAAAAUAUGUUUAUAUGUUUUCCCACCAAAUUACCUGUUAAACCUGUUUGUACCAUACUUGACCAAUCUCGAAACUACCGAGCACCAGUCAACGUUAUACCGUUAAGGACCCGGAAGAGUUUCCCUCCAACCAAGAGGCCAAUCACGGUGCGACACGUGUCGACAUCAGAAGCCAAUCAUAGCUCAACAUCGGAAGCCAAUCAUAACACGACACGUGUCAAUGUCAGAACAAAGCUUUUGUUGGCACCAUAAAUUGGUUUUGCUUCACACUGUCUUGAUCAAGAGUGUGUGAAGCUUUUGAGAAUUGUGGUUGCCCUCCAUUGAUGAAGCUCUUGUUGGCACCAUAAAUUGGUUUUGCUUCACACACUCUUGAUCAAGACAAUGUGAAGCAAAACCAAUUUAUGGUGCCAACAAAAGUUUCAUCAACGGAGGGCAACUACAAUUCUCAAACUCUUCACACACUCUUAAUUAAGACAGUGUGAAGCAAAAUCAAUUUAUGGUGCCAACAAAAGCUUCAUUAAUGGAGGACAACUACAAAUGCCAAAAGCUUCACACACUCUUGAUCAAGAUAGUGUGAAGCAAAAUCAAUUCAUGGUACCCAACAAAGUUUCAACUCCAAAGCUUCACCUACAAAGCUUCAACACAAAAGCUUCACCUACAAAGCUUCAACUCCAAAGCUUCACCUACAAAGCUUCAAUUCCAAAGCUUCACCUACAAAGCUUCAACUCCAAAGCUUCACCUACAAAAGCUUCAACUCAAAAGCUUCACCUACAAAAGCUUCAACUCCAAAGCUUCACCUACAAAAGCUUAAACUCUAAAGCUUCAACACAAAAACUUCACCUACAAAGCUUCAACACAAAAGCUUCACCUACAAAAGCUUCACCUACAAGGCUUCAACUCCAAAGUUUCACCUACAAAGCUUCAACUCCAAAGCUUCACCUACAAAGCUUCAACACCUAAGCUUCACCUACAAAGCUUCAACACAAAAGCUUCACCUACAAAAGCUUCAACAUAAAAGUCUCACCUACAAAAGCUUCACCUACAAAAGCUUCCACACAAAAGCUUCAUCUACAAAAGCUUCAACAUAAAAGCUUCACCUACAAAAGCAUCACACACUCUUGAUCAAGAUAGUGUGAAGCAAAAUCAAUUCAUGAUACCCAACAAAGCUUCAACCUCAAAGUUUCACGUACAAAGCUUCAACACCAAAGCUUCACCUGCAAAGCUUAAAAAAAUUAUAUACAUACAUACAUAUAUAUAUAUAUAUAUAUAUAUUUUUUUUUUUCGAAAAUUCAGAAAUAAAAAAAAAAAUCGGAAAUUCGAAAAAAAAGAAAAGAAAAUGAGGCCUUUUUCUUUAGGCCUAACAACUUUCAUAACAAAUAUAUAUGAAGGAGGAGUUUUGGGCUACCACUUAGAAAGGAAAAUGGUGAAGUUUUGUUACUUUGGAAACUUGGCUAGUAGCAAGACACCUCCUUCGUCAAAUCCCUCGACCGGAGACUUGGGGGACUCCUACCAUAUGUUACUGCAUUUUGAUACUCGGAAGUCUCAUGACCACUCAGUGACUUAGAUUUUUCAAGUCUCCAACCAAGAAGUUUUCCUCACUCGGAAAAUUAAUGGAGCACUACCUCAACCUACAUGCUUCACUCACAAAGCUUUAACAUACAAGCUUCAACAAAAGAAAAAAUUCAAAGAAAUUAGUGAAGAAGGCUUUGGUGUAUUUAACACAAUACGUUGAAAUGAAACAAAGCUUAUUUAUUGAUAUCUCUGAUAAGUUACAAAUAUGUACAUAUACAUGAAUCAAAAUAAACAAACAAGAGGGAGCCUUCACAAAGGUUGCUCAUGAGAAGUCUUAGCAGUCGGCAGAGCCCUAGAAAGAGAAGGAACCGGAGGGUGAUCAUUCGGAGCCUCAGUACUGGGCAGAACCCCAGAAGGAGGAGGUAUCAGAGGUUGAUCAUUUAGAGCUUCAUUACGCGGUACAGCCCCAGAAGAUGAAGGCAAUAAAUGCCUUUGGAACAAACCUAUAAACCUCUGAUGAUCAAGUAAAUUCUGACCAUUAGAUUCCUGCAACUGGUCAAGCUUCCUUUUCAUGUUUGUAGCAUAGUCAUGUGCGAGCCUGUUUAACUGUUUAUUCUCAUGCUUGAGCCUCUGAUCUCUUGUUUGAGACUUAUCACUUCAGCCGCCAAUGAUUCAACUUGACGGGUUCGAGCAAAUAGGCGUUGGGCCAUAUUAGACACAGAACUUGCACACUGAACACUGAGAGCCAGAGAAUCCUUAUCAGCCAACUCAUCAGACCGUUUGGAAAGUAGUCUGUUAUCUUUAGGAGUAAGAAAGUUCUUGGCCACCACCGCAGCGGACAUAUCAUUCUUCAUCACAGAGUCCCCAACGGUAAGAGGACCAGUAGGGGAUAAGAAGGAUGGACGCCAUAUGUUGUCUUGAGGAGGCAUGGCUGCCUCUUCACCAAAGUUCAAGUCAAAAUGACGAUCAGAUGGGCCAGACAUUUUCAGAAAUUAUGAAGGAGAAAUGAAGUCCAAUAAAUCUCUGAAGUACGAAAAUAAGGGGAAAAUUCCUACAAGCAAUAACUCUUUGAACGUACUUCUUGCACACAAUUGGUGCCCCUAUAAAAGAAAGGGCAACAUGGCCGUUUGUUCAAAAAUCGAAGAGGCACCAUUCUCCGGAUUUCGAGAAGCGGAUUUUUCUGAGUAAAAUAUGUCGACAAUCCCUACAUGCAACAUCAGCUUCUCGGGUACCACUGAUAACUUUGGCAAAGAUCUCUGACAAAGUUUAGACACAUAAAUUUUGAAGGUCCAGCUACCCUACCAUUACCCACAAGGGUAACGGAACAACAUCACUGCUUGAUAACUGGAAAGUCUUUAUGUGUGUCAACCUCAGUGCUCAUUGGCAUGGCAACUUGGCAAAAAUGCCCAACCUUUACUCACAUCGAGAAAACACUCAUAACAGGAUUACUUUCUCAAAAAUCGAAGAGGCACCGCUCCCCGAAUCUCGAGAGCCACGCUCCCACCAGGAUUACUUUCUUAAAAUUCGAAGAGGCACAGCUAUCUGAAUCUCGAGAGUCAGACUCCUACCAGGAUCGCUUUCUCAAAAAUCAAAGAGGCACCGUUCUCUAAAUCUGGAGAGCCAGAUCCCCAAUAGGAUUGCUUGUUCAAAAAUCGAAGAGGCAACACUCUCCAAAUCUCAAGAGCCAGAUCCCCAAUAGGAUUGCUUGUUCGAAAACCGAAGAGGCACCGUUCUCCGAACUUCAAGAGCCAGAUUUCCUUGGAUAAAAUUUGUCUGCAAUCUUCACACGUAACAUCAGCUUUCCAAAUACCACAGACCAUUUUUUCAAAGUGCUCUGACAAAGUUAAAACACGUGAAGCUUGCAGCUCCCACUACAUUGCUAUGACCAAGAAGGGUAAAUGAAUAGCAUUACUACUUGUUGUUGAGGGAACUCCUAUAUAUGUCUACCGCCACCCUCCACGAACAGGAAAACCUGCAAAAAUGCUCAACCAUUCCUCGUAUCUGAUAGGGCACUCCCAACGAAGCCUCUCGAAAUACUCAGCUUCCUUUCCCUCGAUAAUACCUCUGCAAACAAGCCACACCAGAGCAAGAGUAUCUCAUAUCAUCAGGGUUCAAAGUAAAAGUAUCCCAUAUCAUGCUUUUUCCCUAUCUUUUCCUUUGCCCUUGCUUUUACCUGCAAGACAAGGAGAAAGAAAGCAAUCAGUCGGCACCUGAAAUCAAACUUCCGAUCUAGAACUGAUUGCCCGGAACCUUUGCCUGGGUCCUCACCUAGCAUUACUCUCAAGUACUCAUCAUCAACUGUUGUCAAGGUCAUGAAUCCUUUCGGUAAAUACUUCAUAACAGUUGAUACGAUAUAGGCUCUUUACAUUGAAGCUGCCAAGCAUGGAUGAGUCGCUGAGAAGUAGUUCUCUGAAGGACCAUUCAAAUGAAAAGGUUGUGCACCACUUCUACGAUGUAAAAGAUUGAAGCAGAAGGUUCAACGAUGAGCUAGAACAGAUCACUAUAGCACGACGCCCUACCUGCAGAACCGCAUAAUCCAGACGGAAGAGUCUAAGUCAAAUCCAAGCUCGGCAUCGCUGCCUUAUCCGAAGAGCUCAAGAAACUUCAACAACCUUUCGCUGGCAACGUCGCCAAAGAGCAAAGCCUCGCCAUACCACAUCCACUACUUUGUCAACAACAAAACUAUCCCAUUUUAUCAAGGUCGAACGAACUCUUGAUUUGAUGGACUUGUUUUGACCCUCAAAUUCAUGAGUCAGCCUUAUACUCUGGAGGCAACUAGAAAACCCUCCAACCCAGUUCAAGAAUAAGCUUGUGGAAAGUUACUUCUUCAAAAGAAAAAGUUUCUCAUAUCAUCUAUUCUCCUUUUUCUUCUCUUUAUCCUUCAUGCUGCCUGCAAGAUAGGGAGAAUGAGAACAAUCAGCCAGAACUCGAAAUCAAACUUCUGAUCUAGGACUGAUUGCUUGGAGCUCUGAUUGCUUACCUUGUCUGUCACCUCUUUCGACAGAUCUCCUGGCUCGGCGACUUGGGGGACUCCUACUAAAUGGUUUGUAUCGCGCUUGACCAAGCCUAAAACUACAAGUAAGGUUCAAGUGAAAUUGAUACAUUACCUUGUGCAUCUCCACCGGUUAAAGAUACCACCCCUGGAUGGAGGAAGAGUACUUCCAGAGAAGAUGACACAUCUACCUAUGCGAUAGAUAAGGCAAGUGAAGAUGAUACCACACUUCAGUACUUAGAAGUUUUGUGAUUACUCAGCGGCUUGGAUCUUGCAAGUCCAUAACCGAGGAACUUCCCUCACUCGGGAACUUAGGGGAGUAUUGUUUGUACCAUACUUGACCAAUCCUGAAACUACAGAGCACCGACAACAUUAUACCGUCAAGGACCCAGAAGAGUUUCCCUCCAACCAGAAGGCCAAUCACAGUGCAACAUGUGUCGACAUUAGUAGCCAAUCAUAGCAUGACACGUGUAAACAUCGGAAGCCAAUCACAACACGACACGUGUCAAUGUCAGAACAAAGCUAAAAACUCUCGUCUAUAAAAGGAGAUCAUUCUCCCACAAUAUUGCCUAAUGUCAUUUGUAUUAAAUCAUUCGCUAGUACUCACUAAAGGAAGGCUUGAACCUAUGACUUGUGUAAACCCUUCACAAUUAAUGAGAACUCCUAUACUCCGUGGACGUAACCAAUCUGGGUGAACCACAUACAUCUUGUGUUUUCCUCCAUGUCUUUAUCCAUUUACAUACUUAUCCACACUAGUGACCAGAGCAAUCUAGCGAAGGUCACAAACUUAACAAUUUAUGUUGUACCAAAGUCCUCAUUGAUUUUGUGCAUCAACAAAACCAAAUCCAAACGUCAAAAAUAAAAAAUAAAUACCUUCGUCAAACCUCUUGGGCUUCAAGUCCACCGACUCCACCCCAAUACUCUGUGGCGCCUUAGAAAUUCUUCCACCUUUAGUAGCCUAGAUCAUGCAUGUAUCAGUAUAAAUACAGAAAAGAAAAUAAAUGCAAUUUAUUAGAACAAAGAAUUUGGGAUCAACAAAGUUUGUCCAAACUUACAGCGAGGCCAAUAAACAGCAACUGAGGACAAUUUUUCAUUUCGCUACAUUGAGAGGGGAACCCAAACCUAAUAUUAAAAAAACAAAAUAUUCAGUAUAAUGCAAACGAUUCAAUAUGUAGUAUCAAUUGAGGAUGCAUAAUUCAAGGCUUUAAAGCAUUGAGUACGACACCAAACUUGUUGGUAUGGCACAACUAAGGAUGCAAACUUUGUCCAACUGAGCAAAGGGCUUGAUUUUGGAAAGACGGCCAUAAUGAACAACAAUGUAUUCACUUGAAGUAAAUGUGCCUGGAAAACUCUACUCGUAGUUUACAAAUCUGUAAUUCUCAAAGCUUAAUCAUAUAAAAUCAUAUAUAUAUAUAUAUAUAUAUUAUGUAUGUUGUAGAUAUUAUUGCUGACCUUCGGCAGAAGUAGAGUUCAGUGUGAUAAACUGAGGUAUAUUUGACCUUUACCCUCAUUUCCAUGGCCUUAGGUGGAGCAACCUUCACCCUCUCCAUCACCAACAGCUUCCUGACUUCCCAUCAGUGUGAUAAACUGAGUAUUAAAUCUCUAUAAAGACAUGCAAAAUGAAGAACAAUGGACAUAGCAGGCAAAGAUGCUAAUUGGUGUUCAUAAAAAAGAUAUUUUAGUUUUAAUUACCUUGUAUUUGAGAAGAGGUUCAGAACUCUCUUCAAUUUCUUUUGGUUCUGGUUUGGCUUCAGGCCUAGCCUCCAUUGUCGCCAUCGACAGAAGACGAGCUCUUAGGAAUAGAAGUGGACAUGAAUGGAGCUUGAUAUGAUCUAAUUAUGAAAACAUAUACCAAUCAAACAUAAAAUUUAAGGUGCAUGGACGAAUUUCUCCUACGAAAUGAUCUAAAUAUGUUGAGAAGAAUAUACAUUUUUACAUAUUUUCUCGACAACCAAACAACAUAUUUUGUCACCGGUGUUUAGACAGAAACAAGUCGUCGAAAUUUGAAGACCAAAGCCCUAAUACCUUAACACAUAAGAUCGAUUCAAUUAAGUGUGAGAGAAUUUGUAGAAUUUUAUAUGUUAGUUUGAGGGUUUGAGUUUGUUUUCUUAUUUUAUGCAAAGAAAACUUCAAUCAAAUGCCAAAUAACUCACUAUCUUACCUAAUGACAAAUAAGUGAGAGAGCUUUUGGGUAAAAGGGUCAGAGAUGGUUUGAAGCUGGAAUUUGCUGAUGCUAGGGUGAGUCAAGAUGUUGUUGCAGUCUGGUUGUCAGCCGACGACCAAGAUUUCUUCAUGGGUUUUCCUUCCAAAUGGGUUUGUAGUGCGGCUAUGGUUGAGAUUUGUUGAGGAUGAAGCGGUUAGUGAGUGAGAGAGAAACUGCGAUUGUGAAAGAACGCAGAGGUGUGGAAAAUGAUGAUUAUGAAGGGAAUUGAGAGGCGAGAUUGAUCGCACUUGUUGGAAUCGAAGGCAAGAUCGUGACCGGGAUGCAGGGAAGCAUGUGAGGGGAAGUUAGGAGAGAAAAUGGAAACAAAAGGGCAAAACGGCAAUGAAAGACACGUAACGAUGAAAGACAUCUAGAACAAUCAAAGCCAAAGCAAAGAGGAUGAAAGACACGUAGAACCAAAAGGACAAAACAGUCAUAUUACUGUAGAAACUCAGCAUUAAAACGAAGAGGAAGAAAAAAAUAAAGGGCAAAUUCGUCAAAUCACUAUUAAUGAACAGUAACUGAAACUGAGUUUUAGUAUAUAUAAUUUGUAUGACGUUAGGAAAUUUGACAAAUGACCUAUACAACCAAAAAAAUACUAGAGAGCACAUAUUUAUCAAGAUUUUAAGAGACACUAGAUGCUAGUCAGUGACAGACUAAGACCUAGUGCCUAGGCGGCUAGGCGGGAGCUUAGGCAGACUAGGUGGAUUAAGUAAAUUUAUUAUAGCUCGUAUAAAUAAGUGUAUGUUUAUACUUAAAAAAUACAUAAUUGUAUUGUGAUACAUAAAUUAUAAAGUAUUAGAACAUAUUGAAAAUAUGGGGAACAAGCAUAUGAUAAAUGUUUAUCCAAGUAUUCAAUAAGUGUCUUACAAUUUAUUGAAAAAUAAAAAUAAAAUACAAAUUAAUAGUUAUCUAUUUUCUGUCUAGGUGAGAGUUGUGAUCUAGCCGGGUAUCUAGGCGGACUUAGGCGGGCGCCUAAGCAGAUCUAUGCGCCAUUUCUUAAUAUUCAAUGCCUAGAGAUUACUCGAGCUGUGAUCAGCCGCUUAGCACCUAUGCGGGGCCUAGUUGGAAAUUUUUAGAAUAGUAUACCAUUUGAUAUGAUAAGUUAUGAUAAAUAUAUAUAUAUAGAGAGAGAGAGAGAGAGAGAGAGAGAGAGAGAGAGUGAUCUAGUAUAUAGCACUAGGGGUGGAAAAAAAAUCCCGAAAAUCCCGAACCAAACCGAAAAAAUUCCAAUCCCAAACCAAAAAUUUCUCAAACCGAAUUUCCCAAAAUUUCGGUACGGGAUUCGGGGUUGGCUUCUUGAUAUUUCGGGAAUUCCAUACUGAUCCGAAAAUAUAUAAUAUUAAUUAUUAUAUAUAUUUAUACAUAUAUUAUUCUUUUAUAAUUGAUGCUAGUAGUUUCUAAUUCAUGCUUUGCAACCUGGAAUGCCAUACACCUUGCAUAUCAUUCAUGUUUUGUUUGAUAUUCAUUUGGAUUUUAUUAUUGCUGUUGCCAUGGCUGAUGAUUUUAGAAGGCUUGAUUCUUUUGUCUCUCAACAGAUUGCAAAAAGGGUUUAAUUAAUUUGAAUUUUGACUCUGAUAAAAAUAGUCAAGCAUGCCAGUGUUCGAUUAAAUGGUAGUGUGAAUGAAAUGACAUUCCUAGUUCAUGAAUGUGUUCUUAAAUUAAAUAUUUGAAGAACAAUUCAUAAUUUCAUAUUUCAAUUUGGGAUUCCCGAUUUGUCCCAAAAUCCAGAAAAAUUUCGGGAUUCCCAAAAAUUUGGUUUGUGAUUGGUCUUCAAAUUCUCGUCCCGAAAAAUUUUGGUUGCGAUUCAGGAUACUAGUUUCGGUAUGGUAUCCCAUACCGAACCACCCCUAUAUAGCACCAUAACUAAAGGACAUCCCAAUAUAGAUUCAAAAGCAAAGGACAGACUGAUUAGGGUACCAUAUAUUUUAGUGGUUUUUUUUAGAGAAGUGUUAUUGGCAUUUUAAAUCUCAUUCUACACUCCUCACAAAUGUAUUUUUCUUUCAUAAUAUAGAAAGUUUGGAGUGUAGAAUGAGAUUUUUGGAGUGCUAAUAACAAUUCCCUUAUUUUAAUUUAGGUAAAAUAUCUAAUCGUGUCAGUUUAUCAUAUAUCGUGUGUCUAGUUUUCGUUAUGUACUAUUUAUAUUCAAUUUUGAAGUAAAAGUUUAAAAUGAUUUCUAACCGCACGAUGUACGAUGAACGAACAUAAUUGAUUGAUUCUCCAGAUAUCCCCACAAAGAGGAUCCAAAGAGGAUCCUAUUCCGGUGGCACUGAUAAUUGUUUCUUUAUAAAUUUUCGCAUAUGAAGAAAUAGUUGUCGGUGCCACCAAUAUUCAACUUAAUUACAAUACUACUACCGCACACAAACUUUAACGUAAUCACGAUAUUGCCUUGUAAUUGAAAAAUGUUCGUUUUUAUUUUUGAACCAAUUGAAAAAUGUUCGUUAGGUGUUUUCCUUUUUAUCUUUAUCAAAAAGGUGUACAAAUAUGAUCGGCUAAAUAUGGUCUACCAAUUAUUUUUCUUUUCCUAGUAAAUGUGGAUGGGAUAAGACUUGCGUUCCCAAUGGGGAAUACACAUAUCCUACUUCUUUCAAAUAAAUUAUAUUCGACAUAUAAAUUUCAUAAUUUGAACCAUUCACUUUUUUAAUCUUCAUUUGAAGAUCAUUCUUAUAAAAAAUCAUCUAAAUCAGAGAUCUUUUAGUCAUCUAAAUCUAUGAAACAAAUCGACAAUAUGAGUACCAAAGAACCACUACAAGAAAAAUGAGCUUUGGGUACAAAACAAAGGGCACAAUUGAGAAUUUUGUGUCUGUUUGACCACCAAAAAGCUUAAACAGUUCCCAUUUCAUAGAGGACACCAUCUAUUGUGCCCAAUGUUAAAAAAGGAAGACACAAAAUAGUAAUGGGCACGGUUUCCGUGCCGAGUGGGGUCAGAUGACAUUUUUUUACUGAAGAUCGGCACAAAAAACAUUUUGUGUCUAUAAAAAUUAUUUGUCAGAGGCACUGUAUGUUCUCUCUCGUUUGUCUUUACCUCCUCUAGCACACCAAUAAUUAAAAUUUAUAAAAUUGUGGUAAAUAAUGGUAUGAAGCUAUUUAUUAUUGUGCAAUGUUUUAGCCUCAAAAUAAGUUAGCAAUAAUAUUGUUCAAAUUCGUUUUUCGCGAGAGCCGAAUCUCAUAUCUCUCACUUACAAGUAAAGAAGAAUACCACUACACCGUAGUAUUAAGUGGCGUGUUUUAGAUUUACAAUGGAUCAUUUCCAACUACAAUAAAUGUUUGUUAGAUUCGUAUCUUUUUUAAUUGCAUUUUAGAUUGGUAUCUUCCUGCAAGUUUGUUUUUUAUGCUUGGUGAUAUGGUUUUUGGUUUUAUAGUAAAUGUUUAUUUUUUUACUGCAUUAAAAGUCCUUCAUGCAAUGACACAUAACCAACAAUUGUGCCCUUAGGGUCGGUCUCCGUGCAAAAGCAAGUUGAUCUUCAGAUAGACAAAUAAGUGUAGAUUCCUUUUUAUGACACUAAUGAUAGAAAUUGUGUCCACUAAAUAUUAAUAAAUAAUAAAUCAGUCUACUUUUCAUUGGGUCUUCAGAUAGACAAUAUAUUUUAAUAAUUAUAAAAUCCUUUUUAUGACACUGAUGUUAUAAAUUGUGUCCAGUAAAUAUUAAUAAAUAAUAAAUCACUCUAUAGCAAAACAAUAUGUUGGCACAAUUAUGGAUUUGUGCCUGUAUUCUAGUAUAAAGCGUCCACACUCCUUUACUAAUUUGUCUAUGGAAAAUAGAAGGUCACUUCAUACACUUGUGUUUAUUUUGAAUAUGAUCAAGUUCUACAUCAUUGAGAAUGAGGGACAUGCGACGUAGCGGAGUUAGAAUUGGAACCGAAUCUCCAACAUCACAUUCGUCUAUUGCUUCAAACAUUACAACAGCAAAUUCCACAACGAAUCAUAUUUAUAAAUAUCAGUAAUCAUAUUUUUUUUAGCACAAAAAAUCGUCACUAUUUAUAUAUAUCAGUAAUCAUAUUUUUUUAUUAAUUUACAAACACAUGAAAAGAAUUUUCAUGCUCUUUGAUUUAGGAUUAUUUAAAUCAUUUAAUCUUAAAGACAUAAUGUUCGUGUCUUCCCUUAAAGUCUGGACAGUCAUAUUUAAGUAUUAGUUUUUAUCGAUCCCAUAACCCACUCGGUUUCAAAAGCAGCGUCACCCACACUCACUCAGCCUAUUCAAACUUUCCUCCCUCAGAUGCAUUCUCACCCGUCUUUCUCCAACCCCUUUUCUCUCACUACCUUCCCCAGAUCAAAUCGUGGAGGCUCUUAAGUUCCAUCAUCGCUAGAAAACCUUGGUAGGAACCCUCCGCAUACGAUCUCCACAAGAACGGAUCUCGGAGCAGCAGGGGGUUGGGAUCGGUAGAGAGUUUGGAAUCAGAAUCGGAGGAGGUAAUCACAGUUUUGGUAACUGCAAGGUCAUCGAGGGGCUGUUUCUAGGGUUGGAGUGGGAGGCAUUCGAACUUAUCUUCAUCCCAAUACACGAAGCUGGUGAAGGAAGGUUUGGGAAGAUGGAUGCAUAGUGAGUCCGAAUCGGGAAUCGGGUCUAGUAGGGAGAGAUCAGAAGGUGAGUCGAGUUGGGAGGUGGUGGUGAGGAAAAGGCAGGUGCAAGUCGGAAGAUGGAGUGAGGAGUAGUCGUCGUUGUCCUCAUUUAUUUCGUCACCGUAGCCUUCGAAUUGGGAGUCGGCGACUUGGAGGGAGGAGGGAAAGAAUGAGAGGUAAGAGAAGAGGAAGAAGAUGAUAAGUGUUUCAUCUUUAUCUCCUUUCAUUUUUAAAGUACGAUUGUAUGCUUGUAAACAUGUGUUGGUUGUUCAGGUGCCAUGGAUAUACAAUAUUAUUUCUUUUAGUAAUCGCGUGUUUUUAAGAGAAGCUGUUUUCUCUUAGGAUUUGAUGUUAUUUUGAAUUGUUUUGAUUAGUUCUGAAAGCUUUUAAAUAUCUCUGGUGUUGUAGAUCAGAUAUCCCUUCAUUUGUGGAGUUAUGCGAUCGAGGUCCUACAUGGUGUAUACAACUAGACAAUUUGUAAUCAAGUUUAAUUUUCCAUGGGUGCAAAAGUUCUUUGUAAAAGCAGACUUUAGUGUAAUUUAAUUGGCCAAUUUAAUCUCUCUUUCUAUUCUUUUUCAGCUUCGAAAAGUAAAUGAUGAACAUAAGACUGGAAUUCGAAAAACUGAACAUGAUCUUCAAGUUGCAGAGGUUUGUUGUCCGUUUAUUUGCUACCUGAAACUAUCAAUUGCUAUAUGGUAUUAAUUUUUUUGAUAUCUCAGGAAGAAAUGGUGAAGAGAAGUUUGGGAUUUCUUCGAUAUUUGAUGAUUUGAUUGGGGUAAGGAAAUGGUAAUGCUAUAAUUUUCUAAUGUCUGCUGUUGUUGGCAACGUUGUUGUUAUCACUUUAGGUUUAAUUCUUGUGUCUUUACCUCUUUUAGUGAGACUAGUCAAUUAGUAAAUUUAUCAAUUGCCUAAAGGUGGAUUCUGUUAUGGCCCCGUCUCUUAUUAAUCAUAUGCAAGCUUUUAAGCUUGAAUAACAGUAAAGCGUAUCAUGUUCUUGUUACCAUUUACAAGUACUUUAAAAUUAAGUUCACCAUACCGCCAAUAGUUAAAUCCUAUUGUGACCCAUGAUCAGGUCCAUGGAAGAUGGCUUCCACAUACAUUUGGAGUUCAUGUAGACUAUUUUUCAGGUAAAUCCUCGCAAAUUAGUUGGAUAACAAUGUCAGUCUAAUUUCAUGACAAAGUAUUUAUGUGCAAACGUACAUUGUGACUUUAUUGGAAUGCGCUUGGAAGACCAGCCUUCAAUCUGGAAAUUGAAAAGGUGUGUCUGUGAUAUUCCAAACUUUAUUCGUUAAACUUCUCCAAUAAAGAUGUUCACUUGCCAGGUGAAUAAACUGGAAUAGCCAAGUAUUCAUUUAUUUAUUUGUCCUCAGGCCUUAAAAAUGAAAGCUCGUGGUGAGGGUUGGGCUAGGAUCAUCGUCGAAAGAAUCAGGACGGUAUGUUAUCCCCAACUCUUAUUCAUAUAAUACAAAAUACAAAGUGAGACAUGAGUUGUGUUUUAUGGGAUUAAGUGGCAAAAUUUGAGUUUCAAAACUCGAGUUCUGAAGAGGAGCAUAAAGCAGCAAAAGCCUAUCUUACUAAUAAAUUCUGAAGUCAUUAGACUUAGCUUUGGUGUUUGACAUCUUCCUCUUUUCUGAACAAUUAGUGUACAGUCAACUUUUCUAUUUGAGAUAUUGAACCAAGUUGGUAACCUUUCUAAUUCUUCCUCUUUUAAUUUGAAGAACUGGAUCCCAAGGUUGAAGAAACAGUCUUUGGAAUUUAAGGCCUAUCUUGAACCAAACAUCUGAUUAGUCACAGCAAAAACUGUUGAUGUAUAUCGUUCAUCAAAGAGUUCUAUAUGACCAGUUGUUUUCAAGGCACAAAAUAUGGCAGAUCCUUACAUUCAGGUGAGCCCUUCAAGAGAACUUUUUAAAUAUAUGGAUUUGGUGGAUGGAAUUCUUUCUUAUGGCAUUUCUGUGUUAUGGCAGGAAGCUAAGAAAUAUACCGAGCCAUACAUUGAUCGGGUUGCAAUGGUGACAAAAACACAUUUAGAUAAAUUACAAGAAAGAAAAUGCCAAUGCAAUUCUCCUUGUUGCAAGCCAGGUGAGACGUAUGUACAUCUAUCCUCUCAAAACCUUGCACAUUUCUUUUCCUUUCUAAAGUUUACUUUCUCUGACCACUAUGAAAUAUGUUUGCCCUCCAACUCAUGAACUUCCCAUCCUUGGUGAAAAUGUGGCUUGGUCUGCGAUCUCUUGUAGGCCAAAAUGACAUUAUUUAGGAUAAUUAUCAACUUUUGUUGUUGUAAGUAGCAACUUACUACAAAAAGUAUCAACUUUUGUCUUGCUUAUCCACUUAUUGAUGUCCAGAAUUUCAAGGUACGGUGAUGUUCUUAUAGUGGAAAAAACUUAUAUUUCAAUUGCAUAUUGUUGGAGGUUCUAUUAUUAUGUAUUAAGAUUAUCUUGUUUUACAUUACUAUAAUCAUUAAAUUAUUGAGUUUACUAAUGUUGUUGUGUAGGAAGAUAGGGAAAAACUAUUUGAAGGAAUACUUAAACAGAAAUGGAAGAUCUUCUCUUGAUGAUCAUCUUCAUUAAUUCGUUUAUGGAGCAGCAGAGAUUCGAUGAGGUGCAAGGCUUGCUGGGGAAGAUGCAUCUGUCCAAAAAUGUCUGCUUUCAAGUUCUUUUUGCAUUAGAGAUGAAAUAUGUAACAUUACAAUAUAUGUUUGUGAGAUUGAGAAUGUAUUGUAGGCUUUCUACAUUUUAUGAAGAAAAAAACCUCAAUUUCAGUUUCAAUUUUUCAAAUUAUGAUUUUUUUUAAUAUUUAAUUCAUGCAGGCACAAUUACAUUUUUAGUGCCAACAUGACUGGAAAUGGUAGUCUGACAACUUUGUCAGAACAUAGGCACAAAACACCCUUUAUUUGUUCUGACAUCAUGAGCACAGAACUCAGCAUUGUGCCCUCUGAGCAAUGGUGACGCCCAUAGAGGGCACAUACACAAAGAUAGUAGCUGCACUGUUGCUAUUGGUCUAUGACCACAAUUGUUUGUGCUUUUUGGCCUCAAAGGGCACAAAUAAUUUAUUGUGCGCAGUGCUCAUUUUUUUUGUAGUGAACAUAAGGAAAACUAAUGUAAAAACUUCAAAACUUUGAAUCUUAACUAAAAGCCACCUAAUAACUUCAUUUAAUGAUUAUUAAAAAAAUAACUUUAUUUAAUGAUAAGAACUAAAAAUAAAAAAAAAUAAAAAAAGAAAAAAAAUAGCCAACUGAAAGCGCGUGCAAGAUUAAAAAAAAAAAAAACCGAAACCGGAGAGACUGCAAUACAGAAACUCCAAACACAAAUUAAAUUAUGCAAGAAUAUUUUGCAGCGCAAUGUUUGUACUAAUAGUUCAAAGGAGGUAAGGAAGAUAAUUGCCGCGUCUCAGCAGUGUUGAUAUACAUAUUUGUUAUCAUUUCCUAAAUUUUCUGAUGAACUGAUGGAUGUUGGUUUUAGUUAUUUGAUUGGCAGUGGUAAUUGUGAAGUGCUAUCAUCUUCUUGUGUUCAGAAAAAUCUAGAGAUCCGUCAUCGAAAGUGUCAUGCAUGUGGAACUCCGUUUGGUAUAGAAAGCUAAAAAUUGAAGAGAUUCAGAGAAAAUUUGAUGACAAUUGAAGACAAUUAGAAUAAAAGAUGUUUGAAAGGUGACAAAGUGCCGAGAAAAUUCAGGAAGAGUACAUAAAAGAAUGGUUGUUAGACUUUCUGGAGAGAUACCAUAUUUGGUUUAAGAUAUAGUCAGUGCAUGCCAACUUGUGUUCAGUUUCAAAAGUAUUGCCCGUGUUCAGUUUCAAAAAUAGUGUAGUACUCGUAUUUAGUUUUAGAGAUAAUUAGUGUUCAGUUUCUGAAAUAUUGCUUUUCUUAUUUUACUUUUUUUUUUUUUUUUUUUUUUUGGAAGAAAGGUAAAUCCAUUACCAAUACCACAUAAUUACAAUAAAGGAGCUCCAAACUACAAUAUACACACAUUCAAAAUAUGGACCACCAAAGAAGACUUUUGAGCCCAAACAAAACACCGAAACACCCAACAGCUUCCAACCAACGCCGCCAUUGGCAUGCCGCUUUCCACCCAACAGAAACCAACAUCCCAUGCAAACCUCUGAACAGCAGCCAUACACAGCCCCAAACAUGGAUGAAAAGAAGACUCCAAAAUCCAUCAGAGAGCACAUCAUCAUUCGCGACCACGCAACGAAAGAAACCCACUAGCAUUGGUGCCAUCAAAGACACCCUAAAGGAAGGAGGUGGUGUAAACACCCAAGCCGGAGCUCUACACACCUUCCGAGAGAUUAGCAAGAUCGCGUUGAAAUUGCAAGAAUUGCAAUGAGAAAAAACGGGUGACAAACCGAAAUGUUGGAUCAAUGAAUAAUGGAGCUGAUUGGAAAUGAUAUGGAGUGGAUUAGUGGAAAUCAGGUAGGUGGAAGGAAGGGGGGGGAUGAAAAAAGGGACUGGGCACAAUGAAAUCAUAUGCAGAAGGGAUUGGGGAAAAGAACGAUCGAACCAAAAGGCAAGGGAAAACAAAAGCUGUGGGAGAAGCAAAGAAAACAAAAGAAGAAAAAUGAGGAGAAGAUGACUGCCACCAACCUUAGCCAUAGCUAGGGCUGGAGACUAGAAGGAGGAUGAGGUCCUAUUGUCUUUAAUAUCUAUCAGAUAGGUCCUAUAUCAUGUUUAUGAUUUUAAUUACCAAUGAUCGACAUAAAUUUUACAACUUAAACAGCAUGAGAGGUUAAAAUAAUAAAAUUAAAAGUCAAGCAACUUACCUAAGAGGAGAUAAAGCAGAUGGUACACAGUUUCUCAAUGCUUUCCAACUAAACAUUAUAGUUCUCUCUACUGCCAACUGAAAAGAUAUAAGUUAAUAACACAAUUAGAAUUGAAACUUACAAGAGGUCAUGGUUAAAAUAGUUGGGAGAUAGAGAGAAAGAUACAACAAUUCGUGAUGUUGGUGGAAUGGAAAGAUACAUCAAUUCAUGACUUUAGACAAAUGGGUAAUUUUUGUGUAGGUUAAGUGGUUUAAGCACAAACCUAAUAUAGAUAAGUAAAUUAGAAAUAAAAUUGUGAGAAGAAUGAAUAUUGCAAAAGUAGCAGCCUCAUCUCCACAAAAGCUGCAGAAAAACAGUUUUAGCCAACCAAGAUUAAGCCUGAUUUUGAACACCCAUAACUAUACCAAAUUAUGCAAACAAACAUGAGAUUCAAAGCUGUUUUGAGUACAUUAAAAGCAUCUACAAUUUGUAAGAAACGGGGUUCUAAGUUGAAAGUUAUGCAAGAUACAAAAUAGAGCCUCGAAACCGGAAACCCAGUAUUUGCUGCUGUCUGGCAGCUUCAUGACUCAAGUUUGUACAUGGUUUUGACAUAUCAAAACUCAACGGAAUUAUGUGAAAUCAAAUGGGCUUUGAUCAUGGACAUGUUUAGUUUCAAAACACAUGAUAAUGGAUCAAAAGGAAUCCAUAAGGACAUAGAAAUCGAAAGCCAAAGUAGGCUACUUGAAACAUAGUUUUUCUUCGCAGAAAACAUAAGUUCCCUGCAACUUAGAACCCAAACUCUUCUAAUUAUAACUUCAGAAUACUUCCAUACAAUCCCAAAAUCAUGUCUAUAACUUUGAUUUCAAUCAUACUCACAAUUAACAAAAAUUGACUUUUUAAGCCAAACCCUAAAACAUGAUUUUUUGAUCAACACACCCGAUGUAUAAAAUUAAAAGUAAUAAGAAAUAUUGAUACAAAGAAGCUAUGGAAAUAAUGAAGAAAGCUGAGAAUUUUUACCCUUGUUGCAGGUCGACAAAAGGAACCAUCCUUUUGCUAUGAUUCUCUUUGCUGCUUCAAAUGUAGUCUUCUAUACUUCCCUUGACCUCUCUAAAAAAUCGGAUAUAGUUUUCUCUCCUCGUUAUCCUUCUUCUACCUCUUUUUCUUUCUUUUUCUUUUCCCUGUUCUCUUCCCCUCCUUAUUCAGGCCUCCUCAUUUUUCCACCCGCCCUCGCAUGUAGAGAUUCUCCCUUUUUCUUUAUUAUUAUUAUUAUUAUUAUUAUCCCCUUUUCCAUACAAUCAUAAAAAAAAGUCAACAUAGGUUCAAAAAUCGGACCGAACCAUUCAUACCGAUUCCAAUUUUCAUGUUAGUAGAAUUGCUUAGAACCGAAUCGGGCCAUGAAUAUAAAUAAUUAAUUAAAUUUAAUAGGUGUAUACGGGUGUCACUAAAUGAGUGGUGAAAACCAAACUGGUUUUACCUAAUAGGACUGCAUGUGAUCAUAUCUCAAAUAGGUCUUUCACUUGCACGGUUCACCUAUUGAGACAAUGCACUUAUUUGAAAAAAGGAGGUCGUUUUCUCUCCUAGAUUCCCAAAUUUAACAUUCAGGUUUCGAUUUCAUUUUUUUUAUUUUUUAUUUUGAUAGAGUGAUCUUAAGGUGUUUAGUUACAUCCUAUUUGUUUCUUUCCCUUUUCCUAGGACUUUUUUUUAAUCUCUUGAUAAGUCUCUCUUGGGCUUAAAUAUUGUAUUCAUACUAACAUUUUUACUGCAUAGUGGAUGAUUUGUAUGUGUGGAUGUACAUUUGUAUCAUGAAUGUUAUAUGACAUUUGAACUGUGUUUCUUUUUUUGUUUGCUUAGUGUCAGAAAUAUUUGCAUUUUGAUUUUGUAUUUGAAAUGAUAUGUUUUGUUUGUAACAUUGUUUAACCAUUUUAGAAGUGGUAUUUGAAUGCAAGCAUGCAAAAAACAAGAGAAUAAAAAAAAGUAAACUUUGAAUACCAUUUUGAUUUGGUAUUCAAAUGACUUAGUAUUGGGCACCGUAAACAGACAUGGACCGAACCGAAAUCAGUGUGGAUCAAACCAUAUGAUUUUAGUAACAAAUUUAAGUGGAACCACACUGAAUCAAAUCGUUAAUAUUUCUCGGUUCCGGUUCCGUUUUGAGGAUGGAACCACACUGAACCACACCAUGCUCACCCCUACCCACUUUCUCUCAUUCUCUGUCAUUGAGUCUCUCUUCUUUUUCUCAAAUGUAAUGUUAGGGAGACCAAAUUUUUUAUAUCAAAUUUGUAAACCAAAUGAUGUGGUUGUGGAUAAUUGGAUUAUUGAUUAAGUGUCCAAUGACGUGCUUGUUUCUUAUUAGUGACACAUAAUUUAUUUUACAAAUUUGAUUUAAAAUUUUGUUCUCUGUAACAUUUUCAUUCUCUGAGCCUCUCUCAAUGAGUCCGAUAAGUGAUGAGAAGGUCCCACUGUUUUACGCAUUAAUAUUACUGUGAUGAUAUGAGAAGGUCCCACUAAUUUACACAAGACAAAGAUCCGAACAGCAAGAAACAUUGGACAACAACUCUGCAAGCUGCUCUGAUAAAGAAUCAAAGCUCUUACAGGAGCAUAUAUUUUCUUCAAUUGUCCUUGACCCGCAGGUGAUCCAAGCAAGGCAUCAUGUAGGCAGCGGGGCUUGCCUGAAGUUCCAUGAAUUUCUCAUACGUCAUUCCAAUGUACUUCGCUUUUUCACCUUCCUUUUCUAGCAACUCCGGGAUCGGUACAGCGGGCGUGUCGAGUGCCGGUCCAUGUGGUACGGCGAUCGAUAUCCUAGUAGCUGUGUUGUUCACAGUUGCUCGAUGCCAUAUGCUCUUGUACUUGUCGUUUGUUAGAAUUUGCAUUUGAUCACCAACGUUAACAAUAAAAGCGCCCGGAGCGGCAUUUACCAAGACCCACUGAUCAUUGUGCUUGACUUCAAGGCCACACAUAUCAUUCUGAAUCAGGAGCGUCACCAGUCCAUGAUCUGUAUGAGGAGGAAUACCGAUUGCCAGGUCGGGCUGUGGGCAAGCCGGGUAGUAGUUUGCUGCCAGAAUUUGGCAGCCCCGAUCCCAGUUCAUGGCCUUGGUAAUGUAAUCGGCCUCCAGUCCCAAACUCUCCGAUAUUCCAUUCAAUAUUUCGGUUGCCACUGCACGGGUUCUUUUGCUGAACUCCAAUGAAACUUCACUGUACCCAGCAGGUUUGUAGAGUGAGUUGAAUUUGGGGUGUGCGAUGACCUUGAGAUAAUCCCUCCAGAGACGAACUUUGUCAAUUGCGACGUUGAAGCUGGUGCCGCACUUGAUUGGGUCCAACAGGUUCUUUGUAUGGAACUCCUUCUUCUCCUCUUCCGGCAGUUCAAAAAAUCUUCGGCACGCGUCGAUCAUUUCUUUCAUUAGGCUCUCUGGUACAUCAUGGUUGAUCACCUAAAAGGCAUCAAGCACAUGAAAAUAUUAAUUCAUGUUUCAUUUUUAAAGUUAAAAUUUGAAAACUUAUAACUAUUUCAAUUUUCAAUUUAUAUAUAUAUAUUUUUUUUAAAUAAAAAUUUGAAACGAAAUAGUUAUCAAACUAAUAAAAUAUUAGUUAAUUUUAUACAUGUUCAAGCAUACAUAAUUAAUAACAAGUGUGAACAUACCUGAAAGAAGCCCCAUUCUUGGCAAGCUUUUCCUAGCUUCUGGAUCAUUUGUGCCCGUUCAUCAGGGGAGGCAGAGGUGAGAAGAGCAAAAUCAAUGAUGGGGAUUGAGUGUUCAGGGUCGUUUGCAUCUCCCUUAUCGUUGGGAUCCAUGAUGUAGGCGUACUCGGAAGGUACAGAAGUGAGAGCAUGUGAGUCGGCUAAGGUUUUGAUGCUAGCUACCUUGGGUUCAGAUGCAUCCACUGAAGUCACGGUAGGUGCCAUUGGUGGAGGGAGAGAGAAAGAAGCUGAGAAUUCUGGUCUUUGAUUUGUAUGUCCUGAAGGAAGGACGUGAGGGAGAGGAAAGUUAAUUGUUUGAGUGUUGUGGAGAAAUAUGAAAAAAGGAGUUGCUAUUUUAUAGAGCAAGAUAACUUAUGACUAUAUCCCCACAAGCUGGUGGUUUUUGAAUAAGUUUGGCCAACGCUGACCUAGGUUUCAAAUCUGUUGUCCUGCAACAAUAAAAUAUAUAUUAAUUAGUUGUUAACCUACAUGUAUAUGCAAUAGAUGAAUUCUUGGAAGACCAUAUUAUGUAAAUCAGAUUUAAAUUAUUUCUCUAAUAGAGAUGAAAUAUACUUGUAUUGAAGACCCUAUAUCUAUUCGAUAGAUGAUUUAUUAUCGUCUACAAAGAAAAAUAUCAGAUGAACAUUUAAAUCAUGUGAUAUGUUACUAAUAGAAAUAAGUUUGUUUUAUUUUGUUUUAUAUUCCCAAGUAGAGGUUCCCAAGUGGAGGAGAGAUGGGAAAAGUAUUUGCAUGAAUGGAUAGUUGAUGAGAAAAUUAGAAAAAUGUAGGAAUGCAUUUGGCAUGGGGAUUAAGGAAAAUCCAAAUUCGCUUCCAGUUUGAGACUUUGACUACGGCAGACAAAGCCACUGAAGGGAGCACAACAAGCCGCCCACCACAGCCAAGUAAAAGAAUAUGACACGAAAUAUGGCACAAAAAAUCAAACACAAUCAUGCAACGGCAUCUGUACGUACGCGUCUACAAUUCCAAAUCUAAAUUACCCCUUGGCCUUUGGGAGUUUCUGCCGUUUGGAUGCCCACCAGUAGGUAACAGAUUCUUCAUGUCCCAAGCCUAAUAUUGCAAUCCCAUUUCAUGAAACCUCGUUAAUUGGGUACAAUUAUUAACACUUUAAAAAUUUUAUUAUGCUCUUUUUAUAAGUGUUUGUUUUACAAAUAAUAUUUUACAGUAUCCAUAUUAAAAGAAAAUGUGUGAACUUUGAACAAAAUUGGUUGAGGAGGAAGAUCUAACUAGGGGUGGGUUCGGUACGGUUACCGUACCAAAACUCUCGUACCAGUUACCGUACCAAAUUUUUGGUUUGGUAAAAUCUAGUACCAUACCAAACUUUCGGUAUACCGAAGUUCGGUAUUGCCAAAUGUUCGGUUGGCAUGGUAUGACAAUGGUAAUUGCCACUUUAUUUUGAGACAAAAUCUGUUUUUGCUUUGUUCAAUAUUUCAUAUUUUGUGCCUCUGUAAUAAGACAAAGAUAUAUAAGCCAAAUGCAUAGACGAAAGAAAAUUCUCAUAACAAGUGCCCAAAUGGAUUUCGGAUUUCCACAUUCAAAUGGAUUUACAGCCGCAUGAAAUGUUGAUGAAUUACUUGAAAAUUAUAAGCCUGAAACAAAGAAUGGAAACAUAAAGCAGUACUAUAGGUCUACAAGGACAAUGUGUAGCCUAAAUUCCUCACCUUAGCAAUACCGGUUGAUUAUUCAACAGAAGCAUAAAGCACCACUAUGGCACUACCACAAGACUCACCUCUUUAACUUAAACCUCACCUUAGCUGCUGAUAUCUUAUAAAUUGUAGCCUAAAUUAAUCUAUUAUUCAUCAUUCACAAUUCACACAUACAAUAAUUCAAAUGAUGCAUCAAGAUUCAUAAUGAAAAUUAAGCUUACAAUCCAAAUAGAAGUUACAAACCAAAACAAAUAGAAGUUAACAAUCCAAAUAGAAGUUAAAUUUUCAAACUAAAUGAAAAUCGAAACUAAACUUCAAAAGGUAAAAUUCAUUGAUCAAUUCUUCAAGUUUAAGAUGUUGAAGCUUUUGGAGGAGGCAUUGAACUUCUAGAAUAUUAUAAAUAUAUAUUAUAAUUUAUGAACUUCUUGAAGACAUCUGAUCGCCAUCGCAAUUCUCUGAAUCGGAGAGAAAGAGGAAGGUUCAGAUGAAGAGAGAGAGAGGGAGAAACAUAAAGAGAAAGGGUUGGGUUUGGAUUGUAAAUAUAUGCAAUUGCAGGGUGGAUCGGAGAGAGAGGAGUGGAUUGGAGAAGGGAUGGGUGAUGGGUUGGCAAGGGGUGGGUGUUGGGGGAUGGGAGAAGGGGGUGCUCGGGGAAGACAAAGGGGGGUUUUUGUUUUUUUUACUUUUCUUUAAUUAAUUUUUUUAUUAAUUGUUUAGCCAUGUAGCACAAAUGUGGCAGCCACGUGGUGUAAAUGUGGAAACCACUUCAGCUCUUAACGGACCAAUGGAUGGAAAACCCCAAAUGUAGGUAUUGGCAAACGGGUCAUGUUUAGCGUGUUCGUGGCAUUUUCAUGUAACACUUGUUAUCUUAACGGGUCAGGUCAAGUCGUGUCGUAUCACACCCAUUAUCUUAAUAGGUUCUUAACAAGUCGGGUCAUUUUACCUAGCAAGUAAAUGACUCGACCCGUUAUGACCUGUUAAGAUUUUUUUUUUCUUCUAAAUUUGACAUACCACAUUGCCACAUAAAAUAUUACUUCGAAAACUAAUUCGAAACGAAAAACCCCAAAUUGAAGAAACUAAACCAAUCUAAUUCGAAAAUUAAUUCACAGCAAAACUGUCAUGCCCCGACCCGUGAAUAAAGACUAUUCACCAGCUAGGGUGUGAGCCAUAUCUUAGCUAUAGAAAUAAAUUCUACAACCAAGAUAUGGUGGGAAAAUUAAAAUAAAAUUAUUUGGAGUUGAUUACACAAUACAUCCUAUAACACUAGUUAACAACUUUUGCAUACUAAAUGCUUGAGUUUACUACUUAAAUUUAUUGAAUACGCAACGGAAUAACUAUAGUGCACCAUUUAAUUCACAAUAAAAAGUACCAACCAAAUAAUAAUUAAAUUGUAACAAUUCUUUCAAAUGCAUAAAAUAUAUGCAAGUGAGAUGCAUGAAUGUACUCACUCCCUUCUAAUUCCGUCAACACAUACCUAAGACAUCCAAGCAUGCACGUCCCAUACCAUGCUUAUACCACUUGGCUCCAAAUACCUUAGAAUAUGAGUUAACUCAUGUUCAUCCCUUAAACCCAAUUUUUUCUAAUUAAAUUCUCAGUUUCCACUUUAUUAAACAAGCACUUCCCCUGACGCCUGACAUAUACAAGAUUUCAUUAUUUUAUAAUCAACCAAUUUGUAUACUCAAGCCCUGCACCCUACGCCUGACAUAUACAAGUUCAUUAUUUUAUAUUCAAGGCAAACUUCAGCCCUUAAAUAUCCUCACAACUCAAACAUUUUACACAAGUGAGCACUUGACACAACAUAACUCAUUUUCUUGCUUUGCAAUGCAUAUGUAUAUGUCAUGUGCACAUAGAUAUCAAUACUCACAUUUUAUCUAACAAGUUUGUAAGCUUCAACAUAAAUCAAAGUGAUUAGUAACAAGAGUAGUAUAAUCAUAAUAUUAAUAACAAAACAAUAAUCUUUAAUAUAAAUGAUAAGCAAUAUGUUACCAUUUCCUCAUUUUGUCGAUCCUCCUUUUCCAUUAUGUGUCUAUUUAAUAACUCAAUGUUUAAAUGGUUUGUUCAACUCAAAUUUAUUGCAAUUAGACAAAGGAACACGAAGAUUUAAGUGUGUUUGUACCAUACUUGACCAAUCCCGAAACUACCGAGCACCGGUCAACGUUAUACCGUCAAGGACCCAGAAGAGUUUCCCUCCAACCAGGAGGCCAAUCACAGCGCGACACGUGUUGACAUCAGAAGCCAAUCAUAGCGUGACACGUGUCAACAUCGGAAGCCAAUCACAACACGACACGUGUCAAUGUCAGAACAAAACUAGAAACUCUCUUCUAUAAAAGAAGAUCAUUCUCCCAGAAUAUUGCCUAAUGUCAUUUGUAUUAAUUCAUUCACUAGAACUCACUAAAGGAGAGCUUGAACCUAUGUACUUGUGUAAACCCUUCACAAUUAAUGAGAACUCCUCUACUCUGUGGACGUAGCCAAUCUGGGUGAACCACGUAAUCUUGUGUUUGCUUCCCUGUCCCUAUCCAUUUACAUACUUAUCCACACUAGUAAUCGGAGUAAUGUAGUGAAGGUCACAAACUUAACACUUUUUGUUGUACCAAAGUCCUUACUGAUUUUGUGCAUCAACAUUUGGCGCCGUCUGUGGGAACGACACUUAUUCUCACUAUCUUCAGCUUUGUUAAGCUGGUUUCCACCAUUCGUACACUUUAUUUUGACCAGGCAUCCCUUUCCAACAUCGGGAGCGAAGGAAGUCACAUCACACAGAAUGACACCCCUCUUGCACCUGGUGCGAAGCAACGAAAGAAGGAACAAAAGAAGUUUGUUUUUCAGGCUAAAGUUGAUGAGCUGGGGGCUCAGAACAACAAGAUAACGAUGAAGAAUGAGAUCCUCCAAUAGCAGUAUGAGAAGGUUUUCGAGUUGCUCCAUGAGGCUAGAUAUACUAAAACACACGAGCUCAUCACUCUUGUGGAAGUCAACCAUCAACUGGGUGCCCCCCAACACAGAGGGUUAUUUGCCCUCAACAUAGGUAUUCCUGUUGAGGCUCAUCGAAAUGGCGACCAACAUAAGACUUCUCUCAACCCAGCUGCUUCGACCCCGAAGCAGGAGGAGUGGAAGGAUCGAAAGUUGUCUUUCGCGACUGUCGAUACUUCCUAUAGCAACGUUGAGACAAUCUUAUCCAUGUAAGCUCAAAGAUCAAUGACCCAAGGGUUUUUGAAAGACUCGGUCCCUUCCCAUGUCCUAGGCCGACUACCAAUUUGGGGAAGAGGCAACAAGUCUUAGAGAAACACAAAGGUAUAGGGGACUCAGAGAUGUUUCGACAGACAUACCUUGGAAGUCAGUACGGCGAGUCAAGGGAAAAGUCACAUGCUCUUAAUCGAACAUUCCUACUUCAACGAGGAGAUGGAGAUUUACGAAAGAAAGCUCCAGUGGUACAUGACUCCACUCAGGACCCUCUUGUCCUAUAACUCCUUAAGAAAGUAAACAAGUUGAAAGCCGAACGACAAGCUGAGAUACCUAAUUGGAACCAACCUAGGCGUAGCCUUUCGUGAUCAUAUUGAAGCUUUGACACGUGAAGGAAAAAUUAAUCAAUUCCACCUUCACCCUCCAAAGGGUAACCGUAACCAACGCUAGGUGAAUGUGAUAUAUUCCAUAAGUGGCGACACACCCAUAUCUAAAUCUUCCAACAGAGCCAUGAAAAAUAGCGAACGAGCUUUAAGGUCUGGCUACCAAGUGUUUCAUAUGGAAAACAUUAGGGGAGGCUAGUAUCAAAAGCCUAAUUGGGAUCUAAUAUGUUUCUACCCUGAAGAAGAAAGAGGUAUCAUCUACCCUCACAACGACCCACUGAUCGUGGAAGCUCACAUAGCCAACUUUGAAGUAUAACGAAUCCUGGUAGACAUAGGGGCUUCGGUUAAUAUCAUGUUUGUUGAAGCUUUCAGGGCACUUAAUGUAGCUGAACACUUGCUUGAUUGCUCGAUUUCUCCUCUGAUAAGCUUCUCCGGUGAUAUCGUGCAACCUUUAGGGAGCAUACACUUACCUUUCACCAUUGGUACAGGCCCUUACACAGCUACCAUACCCCUAACUUCCUGGUGGUUGAUUGCCCAAUGGCAUAUGUAUUAAUGAUCUCAAGGCCAUGGUAUCCACAUGUAUGUUGUUGAUGAAAUUUCCAACCACCUAUGGCAAUGGUUACAUCAUAGGAGAUCAACUUAGUGCACGAUCAUGUUAUAACAUUUCGGUCAAGCAACAUCACUUUUAUGUGCCCAAGGAAACCCUUUCUAUACAUGACUAAGUCACAAAGACCAUCCCGGACGAAGCCAACUUGGAUCUUCACAAUGACAACAGUCAACCCGACGAUCCUCGAGACAACUCUUUCACUCAGCAAGCACAACCUGCUGAAGAGUUGGAAAAGGUUUUUAUCUCAAAAGAUUAUCCAGAUCGCAUGGUGAAGAUUGACACCACUUUGUCACCACCCAUUCGGUUGGCAUUGAUCUCUUUUUUGCAAAAGAACUCUAAGGUCUUCACCUGGUCAUAUGAGGACAUGCCAGGCAUCUCUUCCGAUAUCAUAUGUCAUCGCUUGAGUAUUGACCCCAAGACCAAGCCGGUGAGACAGAACCGAAGAUCUUAUGACGCUGAACAAUACGAAGCAAUGAAGGCAGAAGUUGAAAAACUCAAAGGCAUAGGCUUCGUCCGCAAAGUCAACUACCCAACAUGGGUAGCAAAUGCAAGAGCGACUUAUCAGAGACUAGUCAAUUCAAUGUUCGCCGAACAUAUUGGGAAGAACAUGGAAGUUUAUGUUAAUGAUAUGCUAGUCAAGAGCAAACAUGCUAACCAACACAUCACCAACCUAUCUGAAACUUUCACCAUUCUGAAGAGUUAUCGAAUGAGGUUGAACCCCAACAAAUGUGCCUUCGGCGUAAGCUCUGACAAAUUCUUAGGCUUCAUGAUAAGCCAACGAGGCAUUGAGGCUAAUCCCGAGAAGAUCAAAGCAAUCCUCGACAUGGAAGAACCAGUAACUUCAAAAGACAUCCAGAGCCUUAUUGGCAAGGUGGCAGCCUUAACUAGGUUCAUCUCUAAGGCCACAGACAGAUGUACUCCUUUCUUCAAAUCACUUAAGGGAAGUAAGAAGUACAUUACAUGGACUGAUGAAUGUACUGAGGCAUUCAAGAACCUCCAGGACUACAUGAGUAAAGCCCCUCUACUCUCCAAACCUAAGGUUGGUGACACUCUCAUUAUCUAUAUAUCGGUAUUGGCUUCAGCAGUAAGUUCCGUUCUCAUUCUAAAUUAUGGUAAUGUCGAACAGCCUGUCUACUACGCUAGCAAGGCCUUACAAGAUGCGGAGACACGAUACUCUAACAUUGAGAAAUUGGCUCUAGCAUUGGUCAUGUCUGCUCGAAAACUUCGCCCUUACUUCCAAGUACACUCCAUCAUCGUGCUUACCAAUCAUCAUCUUCAACAGAUACUCCAAAGUCCUGACACUUCAGGGAGAAUGAUCAAAUGGGCGAUAACAUUGGUUGAGUUUGACAUCUCUUACCAACUAAAGCCAGCUGAGAAGGGCCAAGUAAUGGCAGACUUCAUCGCCUACUUCACAUAUCCUGUUGACAUUGUUUCUACGCCUAAAGAAGUGGUUUCAUUACCCUCGGAAGCUUAGAAAAUAGAACCAACAGCCCCAGCAUGGAGUCUAUACGUUAAUGGCUCGUCUAACCAACAGGGUUGUGAAGCAGGACUAGUCCUUAUGACCCCUGACAAAGUGGCAAUGGAGUAUGCUCUUCGUUUCAAAUUCAAGGCAUCGAAUAAUGAGGCUGAAUAUGAAGCCCUUAUAGCAGGCUUACCUUUAGCCAAACACCUUGGGGUUAAAUGAAUUGAUAUCUUCAGUGACUCCCAAUUGGUCGUUAACCAGGUCACCAACAACUUUGACGCUAAGGAUAGCUCCAUGGCAGCAUAUCUGGCACAAACACAAUUGUUGCUCAAACACUUCCACUACCAGAUCAUCCAAAUUCCUCAAGCAGCAAACAGUCAUGCAAACGCUUUGGCUCGCCUCGCUUCAGCAGUGGAAGACAAAAUUAGGAGAAAAAUUCAGGUCGAAUUGUUGGCAGCACCAAGCAUCAUGGCCGCGGAAGUGUGCAACUUACAACAGGGGGAUAGUUGGAUUACCCCAAUUUAUAAAUUCCUUGCACAUGGUACCCUCCCAAACGAUAAAGUCCAAGCUAGGCAGAUUCGAUACAAGACUACCCGUUACUUGAUCAUUAAUGACAAACUCUACAAACGGGGUUUUAACCUACCAUACCUAAGAUGCCUUAUGCCUGCAGAGGCGGAAAUUGUACUUCGGGAAAUACAUGAUGGAGUCUGCGGAGAUCAUGCUGGUUCUCGAUCCCUAGCACACAAGGCUUUUCGCCAAGGAUAUUAUUGGCCAACACUCCACCAAGAUGCCAUCACAAUAUCUCGCUCAUGUGAUAAGUGUCAACGCUACACAAUUAUUCCUCACUCCCCUCCCGAGCUGCUAACUCCUAUAAUCAGCCCUUAGCCCUUCGCCCAAUGGGGACUUGAUUUGAUCGGCCUAAUACCUGCAGGGAAGGGUUCGCUAUGAAAUCGUUGCAGUUGACUACUUCACAAAGUGGGCUGAAGUAGAACCCUUGGCAAUCAUUACUGAGGUAAAAAUAGAAGACUUUGUAUGGAAGAACAUCCUUUGCAGAUUCGGCAUUCCCAAUGCGAUAGUCACUGACAACGGGCGACAAUUCAACAACAAUAUGUUCAGGAUGUUCUGCUCUAAGUUCAACAUCAACUUAUGUUUUGCCUCCCCAGCUCAUCCCUAGUCUAAUGGACAAGUCGAAGCUAUCAACAAAAUAAUCAAGCGAACUUUGAAAACCAGCUUAGAUAAGGCUAAAGGUUGUUGGCCAGAAUUUGUACCCCAAGUUCUUUGGUCAUACCGCACUUCGUAUCGGACAUCAGCAAGAGAAACCCCAUUCUCACUUGUCUUUGGUACAGAGGCAGUUGUCCUAGUUGAGCUUGAACAAGCAAUGUUCCGAGUUCAAAACUACGUGCAAAGUGAAAAUGACAAACAACUUACCCAAAACUUAGAUCUAGUCGAGGAACACAGAAACCAGGCUCACUUGAGGAAUGUCGCCUACAAGCAGUGCAUCUCCAACUACUAUGACUCAAGGGUUAAACCUUGCUCUUUCAAAGUAGGGGAUUGGGUAUUGAAGAAAAGAUUACUCUGCGACAGAGUCCCAAGUGAAGGAACACUUAGUCCAAACUGGGAUGGACCGUUUGAAGUUGUUGGCAUCAAUCGCCCUGGCUCCUACAAGUUUAGAAGCUCCGAUGGCAAGACCCUUGGCCAUCCAUGGAACGCUGAUCACUUGAAGUACUAUUACAAAUAAACUCACAUUUUACAAGUGUUAAGCUUCAACCGUUCGACAUCCUAUGUAACGAAGACUAUUUGGCAUGAAUUCAAUAAAGAGGUGAUUUAGACAACUCGGUAUUAAUCCUCUUACAUUCCUAGCAAUGAAACACUCGGGUUCAAAGCUUCAACAUGAAUGCUUCCAACAUGAAACAAAGUCUAAAUAUAUGUCAACAAGACUAUACAAAUAAACGAAUAGCUUCACAAUAUAUUCGUUCAAUCGUACAUUUCAACACAUUCAUACAUAAGCCAACUGUGCUUCGAAAGGGUUCAACAUACUUUAUGUCAUUUGACACUUACUACAAUGUGCCUCGACACCUUGCCCUUAUUCUCACCAACCAAGUGAUGAAAUGUGAAGAAGGAACUCAUCUUCAUGCCACCAACCAAGUGAUGUAAUGUACAACCCGUACUCUCCUUCAUGCCACCAACCAGGUGAUGAAAUUUACAACCCGUACUUUCCUUCAUGCCACUAACCAAGUGAUGAAAUGUACAACCCGUACUCUAAUAUCAUUUGGCAACUUGCCACUCAUGCCACCAACCAGGUGAAGAAAGAACUCAUCUUCAUGCCACCAACCAGGUGAUGAAAUGUACAACCCGUACUCUAAUAUCAUUUGGCAACUUGCCAUUCAUGCCACCAACCAGGUGAAGAAGGAACUCAUCUUCAUGCCACCAACCAGGUGAUGAAAUGUGAUGAAAGGUGAUGAAGGAACUCAAAGGUGAUGAAGGAACUCACCUUCGUACCACCAACCAAGUGAUGAAAGCAACUCACCAUUCAUUCCACCUACCAAAAGACGAGUGGUACAACUUGUACAUGUGAACUCCUAGCAUUCACAAAUAAUCAAAAACCCUCAAGCUUGACAACUCAAAUAGGGGAACACUUAUGCCCAACAAGAGUUAUAGUCACCAACAAAGUCUUAUUGCAAGCCAACAACAACAACUUCAGUGCAUGGCAUACGAAGAUCAAGCUAUUCAACCCUCUUGCAUCUGCUUCAGACAUUUCUCCUCUGUAACAAUGCAAACACUACAACUCGUAGAAAGCUUCACACACUCUUGAUCAAGACAGUGUGAAGCAAAACCAAUUUAUGGUGCCAACAAGAGCUUCAUCAAAGGAGUUCAACCACAAUUCUCAAAAGCUUCACACACUCUUGAUCAAGACAGUGUGAAGCAAAACCAAUUUAUGGUGUCAACAAAAGCUUCAUCAAUGAAGGGCAACUACAACUCGUAGAAAGCUUCACACACUCUUGAUCAAGACUAUUCGAAGCAAAUUCAAUUUAUAUGAUUCAUCCAAACCUUCGACUACUACAAGGUGUGGCUUGCAUCACAAUCUCUUACUCAACAGUGUGGAAGCAAAAUUUGUAUAUGUUAUCUCUCCCACAUUUUCAAAUUUCUAGUCCCCCCCCCCAAAAAAAAAGAAAUUGGGAAAUUCAACAAAUUUCUAGUUUUCCCAAAAAAAAAAAAAAAAAAAUGGGAAAUUCAACAAAGCUUCAUCAAUGGAGGACAACUACAAAUUCUCAAAAGCUUCACACUAUCUUGAUCAAGAUAGUGUGAAGCAAAAUCAAUUCAUGGUACCCAACAAAGCUUCACCUACAAAGCUUCAACACAAAAGCUUCACCAACAAAAGCUUCAACAAAUGGAGGGCAACUACAAAUUCUCAAAAGCUUCACACUAUCUUGAUCAAGAUAGUGUGAAGCAAGAUCAAUUCAUGGUACCCAACAAAAGCUUCAACUCCAAAGCUUCACCUAUAAAGCUUCAACUCCAAAGCUUCACCUACAAAAUCUUCAACACAAAGCUUCACCCACAAAAGCUUCACCUACAAAAGCUUCACCCACAAAAGCUUCACCUACAAAGCUUCAACACAAAAGCUUCACCUAUAAAAGCUUCACACUCUUGAUCAAGAUAGUGUGAAGCAAAAUCAAUUCAUAGUAUCCAACAAAGCUUAUAUAUAUAUAUAUAUAUAUAUAUAUAUAUAUAUAUAUAUAUAUAUAUAUAUAUAUUUUCAGAAAUUCGAAAAUUCGAAAAUUUCAAAAAAAAAAAAAAGCCUAGGCCUCAUUUUCUUUAGGCCUAACAACUUUCAUAACAAAUAUAUAUGAAGGAGGAGUUUUGGGCUACCACUUAGAAAGGAAAUGCCUCAUUCAUCAACUCCCUCGACUGAAGACUUGGGGGACUCCUACUAGAUGCUACUGCACCUUGAUACUCGGAAGUCUCACGACCACUCAAUAACUUGGAUUUUUCAAGUCUCCAACCAAAAAGUUUUCCUCACUCAGGAAAUUAAGGGAGCACUACCUCAACAUACAUGUUUCACUCACAAAGCUUCAAUAUACAAGCUUCAACAAAAGAAAAAAUUCAAAAAACUUAGUGAAGAAGACUAUGGUGUAUUUAACACAAUACGUUGAAAUGAAGCAAAACUUAUUUAUUGAUAUCUCCGAUAAGUUACACAUAUGUACAUAUACAUGAGUCAAAAUAAACAAACAAGAGGGAGCAUUCACAAAGGUUGCUCAGGAGAAGUCUCAGCAGUCAGCAGAGCCCUAGAAAAAUAAGGCACCAAAGGGUGAUCAUUCGGAGCCUCCGUACGGGACAGAACCCCAGAAGGAGAAGGCAUUAGAGGUUGAUCAUUUGAAGUUUCAUUACGAGAUACAGCCCCAGAAGACGAAAGCAAUAAAUGCCUUUAGAACAAACCCACAAACCUCUGAUGAUCAAGUAAAAUCUGACCAUCAGAUUCCUGCAUCUGGUCAAGCUUCCUCUUCAUGUUUGUAGCAUAGUCAUAUGCGAGCCUGUACAACUGUUUAUUCUCAUGCUUGAGCCCUAUAAUCUCCUAUUUGAGACUUAUCACUUCAGUAGCCAAUGAUUCAACUUGGCAGGUUUGAGAAAAUAGGCGUUGGGUCAUAUUAGACACAGAACCUGCACACUGAACACUAAGAGCCAGAUAAUCAUUAACAGCCAACUCAUUAGACCGUUUGGAAAGUAGUUUGUUAUCUUUGGAAGUGAGAAGGUUCCUGGCCACCACUGCAGCGGUCAUAUCAUUCUUCAUCACAGAGUUCCCAACAGUAAGAUGACCAAUAGGGGAUAAGAAGGAUGGGCGCCAUAUGUUGUCUUGAGGAGGCAUGGUUGCCUCUACACCAAAGUUCAAGUCAAAACAAUGAUCGGAUGGGCCAGACAUUUUCAGAAAUGAUGAAGGAGAAAUGAGGUCCAAUAAAUCUCUGAAGUAGGAAAAUAAGGGGAAAAUUCUUACAAGCAAUAACUCUCUGAACGUACUUCUUGCACACAAUUUGUGCCCCUAUAAAAGAAAGGGCAGCAGGGCCGUUUGUUCAAAAAUCGAAGAGGCACCACUCUUCAGAUUUUGAGAAGCAGAUUUUCCUGAGUAAAAUAUGUCGACAAUCCCCAUACGCAACAUCAGCUCUUACCACCAAGAUUACUUUCUCAAAAAUCAAAGAAGCAGCGCUAUCCGAAUCUACAAAGCCAGACCCUUACCAGGAUCGCUUUCUCAAAAAUCGAAGAGGCACCACUUUCUAAAUCUUGAGAGCGAGAUCCCCAAUGGGAUUGCUUGUUCAAAAAGAGAAAAGACAACGCUCUCUGAAUCUCCAGAGCCAGAUCCCAAUAGGAUUGCUUGUUUGAAAGUCGAAGAGGCAUCGCUCUUCAAACUUCGAGGGCCAGAUUUCCUUGGAUAAAAUUUGUCUGCAAUCUUCAGACGCAACAUUAGCUUUCUAGAUAGCACAGACCACUUUUUCAAAGUGCUCUAACAAAGUUAAAACACGUGAAGCUUGCAGCUCCUACUACAUUGCUAUGACCAAGAAGGGUAAAGAAAUAGCAUUACUACUUGUUGUUAGGGAAACUUCUAUAUAUGUCUACCUCCACCAUCCACAGACAGGCAGACCUGCAAAAAUGCUCAACCAUUCCUCAUAUCUGAUAGGGCACUCCCAAUGAAACCUCUCAAAAUACUCAGCUUCAUUUCCCCUGAUAAUACCUCUGCAAACAAGCCACACCAGAGCAAGAGUAUCUCAUAUCAUCAGGGUUAAAAGCAAGAGUAUCUCAUAUCAUGCUUUUUCCCUGUCUUUUCCUUUGCCCUUGCUCUUACCUGUAAGACAAGGAGAAAGAAAGUAAUCAGUCGGAAACUGAAAUCAAACUUCCGAUCUGGAACUGAUUGCCCGGAACCUUUACCUGGUUGCUCACCUGGCAUUGCUCUCGAGUACUCAUCAUCAACUGUUGUCAAGGUCACGAAUCCUUUCGGUAAAUACUUCAGAACGGUUGAUACGAUAUUGGCUCCUUACACUGAAGCUGCCAAGCAUGGAUGAGUCGCUGAGAAGUAGUGUUCUGAAUGACCAUUCAAAUGCAAAGGUUGCGCACCACUUCCGCGAUGUAAAAGAUCCAAGCUCGGCAUCGCUGCCCUAUCUGAAGAGCUCAUGAAACUUCAACAACCUUUGGCUAGCAACGUCGCCAAAGAGCAAAGCCUCGCCAUACCACAUCCACUACUUUGUCAACAACAAAAGUAUCCCAUAUCAUCAAGGUCAAACGAACUCUUGAUUUGAUGGACUUGUUUUGAGUCGGCCUUAUACUCUGGAGGAAACUAGAAAACCCUUCAGCUCAGUUUAAGAAUAAGCCUGUGGAAAGUUACUUCUUCAAAAACAAAAGUAUCUCAUAUCAUCUCUUCUCAUUUUUCUUCUCUUUAUCCUUCAUGCUACCUACAAGAUAAGGAGAAUGAGAACAAUCAGUCGGAACUCGAAAUCAAACUUCUGAUCUGGGACUGAUUGCUUGGAGCUCUGAUUGCUUACCUUGUCUGUCACCUCUUUUGGCAGAUCUCCUAGCUCGACGACUUGGGGGACUCCUACUACAUGGUUUGUAUUGCGCUUGACCAAGCCUGAAACUACAAGUAAGCUUCAAGUGAAAUUGAUACAUUACCUUGUGCAUCUCCAUCAGUUAAAGAUACCAACCCUGGAUGGAGGAAGAGUACUUUCAGAGAAGAUGCCACUUCUACCUAUGAGACAGAUAAGGCAAGUGAAGACGAUACCAUACUUUGGUACUUAGAAGUUUCGUGAUUACUCAGUGGCUUGGAUCUUGCAAGUCCCUAACCGAGGAGCUUGCCUCACUCGGGAACUUAGGGGAGCAUUGUUUGUACCAUACUUGACCAAUCCCGAAACUACCGAGCACCGGUCAACGUUAUACCGUCAAGGACCCAGAAGGGUUUCCCUCCAACCAGAAGGCCAAUCACAGCGCGACACGUGUCGACAUCAGAGCCAAUUAUAGCGCGACACGUGUUAACAUCGGAAGCCAAUCACAACACGACACAUGUCAAUGUUAGAACAAAGCUAGAAACUUUCUUCUAUAAAAGGAGAUCAUUCUCCCACAAUAUUGUCUAAUGUCAUUUGUACUAAAUCAUUCACUAGUACUCACUAAAAGAGAGCUUAAACCUAUGUACUUGUGUAAACCCUUCACAAUUAAUGAGAACUCCUCUACUCUUGGACGUAGCCAAUCUAGGUGAACCACGUACAUCUUGUGUUUGCUUCCCUGUCCCUAUCCAUUUACAUACUUAUCCACACUAGUGACCGAAGCAAUCUAGCGAAGGUCACAAACUUAACACGUUCUGUUGUACCAAAGUCCUCAUUGAUUUUGUGCAUGCAUAAAGUGGUUCACCAAUUUGGCUACGUCCAUUGUUGCUUAUGAAUUUGUGUUUUCACUAUGUAAGAAAGAUUUACAAAUUACAAUGAAAAUGGCCUAUAGCCUUUACAUAAGGUAAAAGAAAAUGAUGGUGGGAAGAGUGGUCUAUGAAGAAGAUGAGGUUUCGUUUCUUUUUCCCCGUGUGUUGUUGAUGAUGACAUGUGUUGUUCUCCGCCCGUUUCUCUCCUCCCUCUGCUUUUAUGGAUGAAGAAAUGGAAUCCUCCAUUAAGCCUUAAGGACACGUUUCACUUUGUUUUGCAACACUUGGACAUCUUGUAAUUGGAAGUAAUCAUUCCCAUGCAUGUGGACAAAUACUCAAAAGCCACGUUCAAAGUCUAAGGAUUAUGAAUCCCACCUCUCCAAUUUUGUGAGGGGAUGAAUCAUCACCAAACAUUUAACUCUUAGAUUCCUAAUGAUUACAAACUUGCCAACUCCCUCUUAUUUGGUAAAAAUAUUAAGCCAAACUCAUCAUAAUUCCCUUCUCCAAUUCAAACUAAAACUAUCUCUAAUUACAUAUGAACAUGAAAUAAUACUAGCUAGUUUUUGAAAUAAUUUGUAGCAAAAAGGAUUUUACAUUGAAACUAUUUUACAUAUCGAAAGUAGGUUCUUUCAUAAAAUAAUAUAAUAAAAUCAUUACGUAAAAAUAAUUAUCCACACACACACACACAUAUAUAUAUAACCAUUUUUUUUAAAUACGGGGUAUUACAAAAACCCUAUCUUUUGAAAGUAAUUUGAAAUAAUCAACAAUUACCUCGAUUAGGGCUCGAGUUUUGCUCGAUCCAGAGAGAGAAUCAGAGAGAAAAGUAGUAGAUCGACUAGUGGUGGGUUACUAGGUCGUAAGUGGUGAGAGUGGUGUAGUGGAGGGAGACUAGAGAGGAUGGUUGUGGACUCGUAGCUGGGUGGAGUUGAGGUUUGAGACUGAGAUUCGAGAGUUUAGUUCAAAAAGGAGAGAGUCGCUGCUUCAAUUCCAGCAUUCAAGAAUAAGAAAGGAGUCUGAUUUAGGGCUGAGAAAAACAUUGGAUAGUUGAGAUUUAAUCUCAGCCGAUUCAAGGGUCAUCAAUUUUCUAAAUUUAAUUUUUUUUUAAAUAUAUAUAUAUAGGAAAACUAAUGAAAAUGGUUUGAAAACUUUGAAUUUUUAUCAAAAUGACAAAAAUGUGUUGUAAGUGAGUAGUACCAUGAGUGACUUUUUAGAGUAAAAUUGUCAUUUUUCGUUAAAGUGAACAAUGCCGAGAGUGUUUCGUUCAAACUCCAUAUAUAUAUAUAUAUAAACUUUCAAUUCAGUUUAGGAUUAAAUCCUCUUUUUGUUAAUCAUAAUAUUUCUUUCUAGUGGUAUAAAAUUUUUAAAUUAAUAUUUUUCCUAUUAUGUAACGGGUUACCCACGUAUGUACCGACUCAUUAUUUUAACAGAUGCUUAUCGGGUUACCCGAUAACGACUCGAUUCGUUAUCGUGUCAACUUGAAAACUUAUUGAUUUCGUAUCAUGUCAAAAAUUGCUAGGCCUCGAGAAAUGUUAUAAAUAGAUAGUAAUUUUUGUUUUGUUUUAUUUUGUCUUGUUGCGUGUUACACUUGGCACCCACGUCCCACUUUUAUAUCUUAUUCCCCUCUCAUUUCUGUCUCACUUCAGUCAUCCCCCUCUCUAGUUUUGACUUUUCUUUUUGUCUCCCACUUUCUGUCAUUUUUUGUCAUCGAGUCUCUCUCCUUAGUCUCAUUCUCUCUCAACGAGUUCGAUGUGUGAUGAGAAGGCACCACUGUUUUACACAUUAAUAUUACUGUGAUGAUAUGUGUGCAAAGAAACGUUGGACAACAACUCUACAAGCUGCUCUGAUAGAGAAUCAAAGCUCUUACAUGAGCAUAUAUUAUUUUAUUAGAAAACUAGAUUAACAUCCUUUCACAAAAUUCAAUUUUAAAAAAAACCGAGUGUAAGAUCUAAUAUUUAAUUUUGAUCCUUUGACUUUAUAUUCAACUCAGCAACUUUCCAUAUAGGAGUUAAAUAGUCAAUUAAUUAAAAGAAUUAUUUUUGUUUGUUCCUAAAUCGCCCUUUUUCUAUGAUUUAGCUAAUAAAUAUUGACUAUUAGGCCUUUGAGCUUUCUUGUUUAUUUUGAAAUCAAUAAAAACAAAUAUUUUUACUAAAUGUCUAUACGGGUUGCACAAUCAGGUCUCAUUUAUGAAGAGGAACAUGUCCAACUCACAUACACACUUCUCCUUUAUAUUAUCUCUUAUCUCUCUCAAUUGUAUAUUCUCAUGAUUCGUAUGUUUCUUGCAUUAUGGAAAAGCUAAGGCUAGCAAAUCUAUUUUUUACUUAUGAAUUGUGUUUAUUCGUGUAUGAUAAUUUUUUGUCUAUGGAGAUUGACAAGUACAUAUUUUUAAAUCUAUGAUUUGUGUACUGAUAUGAAGAUACAUGGAGUAAAGUUUGCAUACCGAAAUUACGUACCUAUGUUUAUGCCCUUAUACUUCCGUACCUAUGUCUAUGCAUUUAUACUUCCGUACCUAUGUUUAUGCCCUUAUAUUCUGUACCUAUGCCUAUGCACUUGUACUUCCGUACCUAUGCCUAUGCACUUGUACUUCCGUACUUAUGCCUAUGCACUUAUACGCUUAUACUUCCGUACCUACGCCUAUGCACUUAUACUUCCGUACCUAUGCCUUUGCACUUAUACUUCCGUACCCAUGUAUAGCACUUUGUUAAUGUACUUAAAAUUUUUAUGGGUGUUCUUCUUUUUUCUUAUGGAGAUGGGAAUUGUGUGUAGUGAUGAUGUUUUGCUUUUCUUUUUUAAUGUAUUUUUGUCAUAUCUUUCACUAUUAUGUUCACAAUUAAUCAAUAUAAAAAAUUUCAUUUAUUUUCUUGCACCUAUUAGUACUUUCCAAAAAUUUUAAAAUUUUAGAAUUUUGAUUUAAGUGUAUAAAUGGGAGAUUUGAGUGUGAAAGUCAAUUUCCAAUUUUUAGCCUUAAUUAUUAAUUGAAUAGGUGGAUGGCAAGUUUGUAAAUAGUAUAUGUGAUAAAGGCAAUUAAAUAUGACAUGACGUUAAGAUUUUAAAAUAGGGACUUAAAUUGGAUAGAGAAAACCAUGCAGGUUAUAAUCUAAAAGUAAUCUUAUUUAGGUCCUAAAAUCUAAAAGCCCCUUAUUUUAUUCUACAGAAAGAAAACAGAUAAACGCUGGUAAGCCGGCCGCCAUGCAUUUUCUUCAAUUGUCCUUGACCCGCAGGUGAUCCAAGCAAGGCAUCAUGUAGGCAGCGGGGCUUGCCUGAAGUUCCAUGAAUUUCUCAUACGUCAUUCCAAUGUACUUCGCUUUUUCACCUUCCUUUUCUAGCAACUCCGGGAUCGGUACAGCAGGCGUGUCGAGUGCCGGUCCAUGUGGUACGGCGAUCGAUACCCUAGUAGCUGUGUUGUUCACAGUUGCUCGAUGCCAUAUGCUCUUGUACUUGUCGUUUGUUAGAAUUUGCAUUUGAUCACCAACGUUAACAAUAAAAGCACCCGGGGCGGCAUUCACCAAGACCCACUGAUCAUUGUGCUUGACUUCAAGGCCACACAUAUCAUUUUGAAUCAGGAGCGUCACCAGUCCAUGAUCUGUAUGAGGAGGAAUACCGAUUGCCAGGUCGGGCUGUGGGCAAGCCGGGUAGUAGUUCGCUGCCAGAAUUUGGCAGCCCCGAACCCAGUUCAUGGCCUUGGUAAUGUAAUCGGCCUCCAGUCCCAAACUCUCCGAUAUUCCAUUCAAUAUUUCGGUUGCCACUGCACGGGUUCUUUUGCUGAACUCCAAUGAAACUUCACUGUACCCAGCAGGUUUGUAGAGUGAGUUGAAUUUGGGGUGUGCGAUGACCUUGAGAUAAUCCCUCCAGAGACGAACUUUGUCAAUUGCGACGUUGAAGCUGGUGCCGCACUUGAUUGGGUCCAACAGGUUCUUUGUAUGGAACUCCUUCUUCUCCUCCUCCGGUAGCUCAAAAAAUCUUUGGCACGCGUCGAUCAUUUGUUUCAUCAGGCUCUCUGGUACACCAUGGUUGAUCACCUAAAAGACAUCAAGCACAUGAAAAUAUUAAUCCAUGUUUCAUUAUUAUUAGCAAUAACCAUUUCGUUUGUUUGCUUUUCAAUUUUCAUUUUUUAAGUUAAAAUCUGAAAGCUUGUAACUAUUUCAAUUUCCAAUUUAUAUAUAUUUUUUAAAUAAAAAGUUGAUACGAAAUAGUUAUGAAACUACUAUUCUAUUAGUUAAUUUUACACGUGUUCAAGCAUACAUAUUAAUAGUAAGUAUGAAUAUACCUGAAAGAAGCCCCAUUCUUGGCAAGCUUUUCCUAGCUUCUGGAUCAUUUGUGCCCGUUCAUCAGGGGAGGCAGAGGUGAGAAGGGCAAAGUCAAUGAUGGGGAUUGAGUGUUCAGGGUCGUUUGCAUCUCCCUUAUCGUUGGGAUCCAUGAUGUAGGCGUACUCGGAAGGUACAGAAGUGAGAGCAUCUGAGUCGGCUAAGGUUUUGAUGCUUGCUACCUUGGGUUCAGAUGCAUUCACUGAAGUCACUGUAGCUUCCAUUGGUGGAGGGAGACUGAAAGAAGCUGAAAAUUCUGGUCUUUAAUUUGUAUGUCCAGAAGGAAAGUUAAUUGUUUGAGUGGUGUGGAGAAAUAUGGAAAAGGGAGUUGGUAUUUAUAGAGAAGGAUGGCAGGAUAAUAUAUGACCGACUCUACACGUGAGAAGUAUUCACAACGCAAGUACUCCUACGGUCUUACCCCCAUAAGCUGGAGGUUUUUGAAUAAGUUGGCCAACGAUGACCUAAGUUUCAAAUUUGUUGUCCUGCAACAAUAAAAUAUAUAUUAGUUUGUUGUUAACCUCCAUGUAUAUGCGAUUUAUUGUCCUGCAACAAUAAAAUAUAUAUUAGUUUGUUGUUAACCUCCAUGUAUAUGUGAAAUAUUAAUUCUUUAAAGACCAUGUAACUACAUUUAAAUUAUUUCUCUAAUAGAGAUGAGACACACUUGUAUUAAGGACCUUAUAUCUAUUCAAGAGAUGAUUUAUUGUGGUCUACAAAGAAAAAUGUCAUAGGGAUAUUUUAGAACAUAUUUGUAAAUGAUAUGAUAUGUCAACAAUAAAAAUAAGUUCAUUAAUCAAACACUAAAGUAAUAGAAUAAGGGGUGUGAUAUCACACACCCCAUUUUACUUCUCAUACACCCUUUUAAUUUUCGGCCGUCGGAUCGGAUGAAUUGAAGAAAAUCAACGGAUAGAAAUUAACAAGGCGGUGUGGAUAGCAGACCCCUAGAAUAAUCAUUGACAUUGACAAGCACAUCAUUUUUAUAUAUAUGGUCUCUUUAGCAUUACUCAAUCUACAAAUUGUGGUCUUCUUAGCAUCACCCUCUUUGUAAUAGAAGUGGAGUCCACCAUAUGUACUAGGCUGCACUUCUAUUAUAAGGAUGAUAUAAAUGUGGUCUCCAAAAUAUUAGCUCCCCAGCAUAUUUCUAUGCAAUAAUCAGAGUCCCACUAGAACAUAGGAAAACCAAAAUUUGACAAUAGGGAACUGCCUAUGGAUAUGUUAUAUAAUACUACUACAAAAUUUGACCGUUAAAUGGUGAACAUACUAAGUAAAUUUACAUGUUGUAAGUAGUUAAACUAAUAAAAUAGUGAAAAUAUGCUUCAUUUUGUUUUAUAUUCCUAAAGAUGAAGGAGAGAUGGGAAGAGUGGAUGCAUGAAUGUAUAGUUGAUGAGAAAAUUAGAAAAAUGUAGGAAAGCAUUUGGCAUGGGGUUUAAGGAAAUCCAGUGUCGCGUCCAGUUUGAGACUUUGGCUACGGCAGAUAAGCCACUGAAGGUAGCACUACAUCUUCAUGUGCCCCACCCAUUAACCAACCAAUGUGUUCCCCCGACGACGUGAAUAAUCCGUCUCACAACAAGCCGGUCACCACAGCCAAGUAAAAGAAUAUGAAACGAAAUAUGGUUCAAACUAACAAACACACUAGCAAACACAAUCGCGCAUCGUCAUCUGGACGCAUCUACAAUUCCAAAUCUAAAUUACCCACCAGUAGGUAACAGAUUCUUUAUGUGCCAAGCCUAACAUUAGAAUUUCGUUUUAUUAAACCUCGUUAAUUGGGUGCAAUUAUUAACACUUUAAAAAUUGUUGUGUACUUUUUAUAAGGUUUUUUUGUUACAAAUAAUAUUUUACAAUAUUCAUAUUAAAGGGAAAAGUUUAAACUUUGGACGAAAUUGGUUGAGGAGGAAGACCUAACUAUUAAGAGCAUCUCUAAUGAAGGCUUUAUUCUCCUUUUCUUUUAGGGCUACUAUAAAUUUAGCAUUAGUGAGAAAUUUCAUCCCAAUGAUCUGGAAAAUGGGUCUACAUCUACCACAUGGACUAGUAUCUUCCUUGAACAACAAAAAAUUAUACUGCAUCUAGUUUCAAAAAGCAGGGAGACCCACAUCAAAUUGAGGGCGUAGUCUUGGUUUGUUUAUUUUUUUUUUAAUUUUUUUUUAGUUUAGAAAUUGGUAGGCUCCAUUUUUUUAUUCCAAAACACCAUUUUAAAGGUUUAUUUUUCAACCCUUUAUAAUUAAGGGUAUAUUUUUCAACUGUUUGUUUGAUUGAAAAACAUAAACAAACAAUGGCUAUUUUUGUAUGUGUUAUUGAUUAAAAAAAAUGUUGUGCUUUGUGAUGAAUCCGGAUCCUCUUUGUGAUGAUUCUGGGAAUUCGUGAAUCAUAUUUGUUCAUCAUGCAGUUAGAAAUCAUUUUAAUUUUUUUUUUAUUUAAAAUUGAACACAAACAAUACCUAACCAAAAUUGACUGCACGAUCUACGAUGAACAGACAUGAUUAACAGAUUCUCGAGAUCCUCACAAAAAAGAUCUGGAGAGGAUCUUGUCAGCUUUGUGAUAAGAUAAUCCAAUCAAUGGUUCAUAAAAAAUUAAAAAAAAAGUGAUGAAAUUUAACAUAGGUAGUUUAGAGACCUAAACCGAAAACAUAAACGAAUAAGAUAACUAAAGUGUGAUAAGAUAAUCCAACCAAUGGUUGUUAUGAAAUAAAAUCUUGUCUUGUUUGAUUUUGAAGAAUGUUCCGAUCAGAGAAAUAAACUAACGGAUGAGAUUGAGAUAAGAAAACCUGCAACGGUGCAUAAGUGAUGAAAUCUAACUUUAUCAAAAUUUUAUUUUUUUUUAGGUUGAAAAGUUCAUAAAUAAAAAUUAAAGACAACACUCCAAAAAUCAAAUCAACUUAAUAAAAGUUAAGACAAAAAUAAAUUUACCGCGUAAUCAAAUUACUACAUAAAUAAAUAUAUAGCUCCAUAUAGAACCCGAAAGGUAUAUAGCCCCUCAUUGGGAGAAAUUCUUUUUUAGAGCCCCAAAUAUUCGUUGGAGUGCUAAAUUGGGCUAUAUGCACCAUGUUUCCGGCCCUAUAUAGAGCCCUUCAUUUGGAUGCUAUAAAAGGCAAUCCACUACUCGUAAGCAGUGGCGAAGCCAUGUGAGGGCGAGGAGUGGCGGCUGUCACUCCCCUCGCCAGAAAAACAAGGCUGGAGCGCUGGCCAGCCCUUCCCCUCUUACUGCUGCUCUUCAUCUCCUCCGGUGCUGUCUCUGUCUGCAUCUGCUCUGCGCGCAGCAGAGCUGCAUUCAAUUUUUUUUUCAAAACACCCAAGCCAAAACGACGUCGUCAAAAACCGCCACUGAAAGUGAGAAUUCUGACCAAUUUUUUGAACCUGAUGCACUGAGCUGCGCUUCUGGGCUUUGAUAUCAAGGGAAGACGACAAUCCUAUUUUGUUUAGAACCCAACGGCGUCGUUUACAUUAUUAUAUGCUUUGGUUAUAAAACUCAAUAUUCCUUUAAUGAAACGGUGCAGUUUGGCUCCUUUAUUUUCAUUUUUACUUUUUAAUUCUAUUGAUGUGGUUUCUUUUCCAACUGCAGUACCCUUGCAUAAUUAAAAUUAUCUUCCCUCUCUCUCAUUUGUUUAAACUUUUAGACUUAAGAAAAACAAAAGGUUGUCACUUGAUACUACGGUCUGGUGAUAUUCAUUUUCACUUGAAAGUGAAAAGUUUUAGGUUCGAAUCUUGUACAUGGAGAAUUCGAUACCAAAUUAGAUUAUCCAUCAUGUGGCUUAGCCGAACUCCCCCUCCAUUAGGUUGUUCAUCGUGUGGCUUAGCAGAACUCUCAUUCCCUUUACUGUAAAAAUAUCGAUGUACUCAAAAAAAAAAACCAAAAGAUUGAUGUUUGUUAUUGUUCUUUUUUAAUUCUUGUUAUUAUUUCUAGUAUUUAAAAUUAUUUUAUCUUAUUUUCUUUUAAUUCUUGAGAAAUAAUGACUUCAGAACUUGUUUCAUAUGUACAAAAAGUUUUGUGGGGAAAGGUAUUAGUGUUCAUUUUAUGUGAGAAAUGUUUUUGUUUUUAUUGAAAGAAAUGUUUACAUAGAGAGAGAUGUACAACAAUUGUGUAAGAGUUUGGUUGUUUAUAUUGAAAGAUGAUCUUGCAUUUAUUGAUAAUGAGCUUAUUAUGUGACAUCAUGACAUGAAACCUUGCCGAUAACAAUUACAACUUGUUUGUAUCGAUAAAUUAUGAACAACAUUACUAUUGUUUACUAUCUAAAAGAAUUUCAUUGUCUAUUUUUUUUCUUCAGAAUCUACUAACGCUUUUAAAUUUGGCCCCUUCCCUUGAAAAUUCCUGGUUUCGCCACUACUCGUAAGUAUAUAUAUUUUUUCUAAAUAAAUAAAAGUUUAGAUUGGACAACAAAUUUUUCGAGAUGCUAAUAACAACAUCCAAUCAACUUUGAUAUUCAAUAGUCAAUCAUUAAUACAUGUUGGUGGGCUUGGUUUUCAAGAAUGUGACAUAUAUCCAAAUUCCAACUAUGCUGUGAUUCUCCAUUUUGUUAUUUUGAGUAAUGCUAAGAAGAUUAUACUUUUAUAUUGCAUUUAGUAUAUCAUCUCAUGUGGCAGAGAUAAUCAUAUAUUGAUUUAGCGUGUACACAUCAUUUGUCAUGGCACAAGAGCUUUUACAUAUUUUUCUUUCUCGAACAUUAAACUUAGAACGAGAAUGAUGCAAUCCAUAUCUAUAUGAAACCUCUCUUUUGUUUGGUGAACCAUGUAUAUGCCUAAAACCUUUUGAAUGUGAAUGUGUACGUAAAUCAACUAGAUUCUUGAAAUUUCAUUUUCCACAAUAUCUUAAAAUAAUAUUUUGGAGAGUAGGCUUUCGUGGUUUGAUAAACACAUGAAAAUACUAAAAAUUUGUAUAAAUUAAACGUAAAUUUGACUUUGACUUGUUCACCCAAAAAAAAAAAAAAAGAAAAAAAGAAACGGAAAUCUGACUUUUACCUUUCGUUCAAAGGAAUUAUCCCUUCCAGAAUGUAACCCACACAAGUCAAAGUGACACCAUUUGCACCCAUUUCUCUAAGUAGCAACGUCAUCCGACCUUUUAACUGUUGGAAAAUUUAAUAUUAAAUUUAUUAAUUGAAUGGAAAUUAGAAGUGGAACCUUUUGGUAGAAAGAUGUGUCUACUCAAAUGAAUAGUAGCAACUUUUGACUCUUCAUGAAUAGUUACAUAUUUUCCAAAGAGGUAUCUCAUAUUCUAUAAAUAGGGAAGCUCCCUAUAGUCACAAAAUAACUUUUCAUUGUUUCCAUAAUCAUACAUAGAGUGCACUAAAUAUUAGAGAGUUUCAUUGAGUCCAUAUGAGAGUUUUCAACACAAUCGUGGUUCAUGGAGCCUUGUGAUUUGGAGUGCUACUAUUACAAGGACGUGGUCGUUGUAUCUUGGGAGACAUGUGCCGAUCAACCAUGAGCACUGUAGUGGGACGUAAACUUGUCUUAAGGAUAAAAUGUCCAACACUUGCCUCGACCGUAUUUUCAAGGUUUUUCUAAUUCAUUAUGUCAUGUUCAUUUAGCAUUGGUUACUCAUGUGCAUGCAUUAAUUUUGAUAUAUAAUUAUGUGAUUUAAUAUAGCAAUUAGACCUAAUUAUUCCAACAUUAACUUUUAACUUCUGCUUUAAGUCUUUAUGUGGGUUGACUGAAAAGGCGCGAAUCAGACAAAAUGACCGCAAAUACGCCCAUAGAAAAAGCAACUUCACAAAGAGAUUUUUCAGUAUGACCGGAAUAUGGAAUGGUACUCCACUUGUACAUUAAAUUCCAGUCACGUGUGUGGUUGACUUGCCUCCAACUCAAAAAAAAUCAUCUUCACUAGUGGCAAAUCUAGAAAAUAUUAUUUGGGAGGAGGGAGGGGGAGGGGAAGCGGGAUGGGGUAGGGGAUCGAGAGAAGGGGUUAGUAAAAAGAGAGCACGCAGCGCACAAAAUCUUUUAAACAAAAAUAGCAUGCAAAUUACCAUUUCAUCAAGUCUUAGAAGACUUGAAGUCAUUUGCAGAGGCAUAUUGCACACCUGUUAAGGCCUCAAUUGCAUGGGUGACUACAUGUUCCAAGGCUGCUCUCAUAUGAAUGCUUAAUUAAGGAACACACUUAUCUUGAACACAUUAACAAAUUGAUUGAUAUCAUUGCAUCUCGUUAAUAUGUUUGUUCAAGAAUGAGAUGCUUUGUUCAUUCUUUGAGAUUACCAUUUCAUUUACUUUGUAUUUUUUGAUAGUCUUUUACUUCAUUCUUAUUUUCAUCCCACAAUUGUAAUCACAACCAACAAACAAGUCAGAGGUAAACAAUAUUAGGACUAGACUGUAAACCAAAACUUUUGACCAACUAUAAUUAGGGGUGGAUUUUUUUGCCAAAUUGUCAUGCCAACCGAAUUGCCAACCGUGCCAUACCGAUUUUGUGCCAAAUUUUUUGUACCAAUCGGUAAUGGUACGGUAUUAUACCGUACCGAAAUUUCAUGGUACGGUAUUGGUAAUGGAUACUAUUACCACGGUAUUACCGUACCAUACCGAAAAUACAAUAUAAUUUAUAAUUUAUAAUUUAUAUAAUACAUAAUUAUAUAACACAUAUUUAUAAUAUUCCAAUCAUUUGAAAAUAAAACCCUACUUAUAUUAGCAUUGUUGUUGGUGACUUUGAUCUCUUAGAAUUGUGGAAAUCAAACACAAAAGAGUUCCUAAUUCUUUCACAAAUAGCCAAAAUAUUUUUGUAACUCUCACUUCUAUUGUUGCUAGUGAAAAUGCAUUUAGUCUGGGGAUGAGGGUUGUGAACCCUUUUAGGGUAUCAUUGACUCCUAAAAUAAAGGAGGCACUAGUGUGUACUAGUGGUUGGCUUAGGGCAGGUGAAGUAAACUUCGACAAGGACCAACGGAAGAUAUGUUUCAAUUUUACAAGGAAAUAGAAGAAGAGAAAACAAGAAAGAUAUGCUUUAAUUUUUUUAGUAAAUUUGUUAUUAAAUGGUUUUCAACUUUAAUUCUUCUUGCUACUAAUUAAUAUGUUUUCUUUGUUUGUAAUGUAGGCUUGACACAAACUCAAUCUUCUACAAGUUCAAUGCCUCCUCCAAAAGCUUCAACAUCUCAAGCUUGAAUAACUGAUCAAUGAAUUCUCUUUUUUGAAGUUUACUUCCAAUUUUCAUUUGGUUUGAAACUUUAAUUUCUAUUUGGAUUGUUAACUUCUGGUUCGUAACUUCUAUUUGGAUUGUAAGCUUAAUUUUCAUGAUGAAUCUUGAUGCUUCAUUUGAAUUAUUAUGUAUGUGAAUUGUGAAUGAUGAAUAAUAGAUGAAUUUAAGCUAUAAUGUAUGAGAUAAAGGUACAAAAAAAAAAGUUUUGCCCUUGAAUUGGGUUAAAAAAACUAAAACAUAUUUUGUCUCAAAACAAAAUGGCAAUUACCAUUGCCAUACCAUGCCAACCAAACUUUUGACAAUACCGAACUUCGGUAUACCGAAAGUUUGGUACGGUAAUGGUAAUAGAUUUAACCAAACCGAAAGUUUGGUACGGUAAUUGGUACAAGAGUUUUGGUACGAUAACCGUACCGAACCCACCCCUAACUAUAAUUAUAAAGAAGUAUAAAAUACUAAUAAUAGGAGUUGAAAGGUGCUGCAAAUAGCACAACUGCUGCGCGCAAAACAUCCCAUGUGCUAUGCCUAAAUCUAAGCAUGCCCUGCAGCCGAGUAGUCCAAUCUCCUCUCUAAGGCAUUUUAUCAAGUAGUUAGAAGACAUAUAUGAAGGGCAACUCCAACCUUCAAAAUGACAGCACCCAAGUCAUCCAUGAAAAUUCAAUGGAGUUUGGAGGAUCAGCUAACCUCCUUUGCCCCUAAGUCGGUUCGCCCUUGAUCUCCACUGGUUCAAAAUCAUUGAGACAAUUAAAGCAAGUGUAGCAGCCCAGCUUGUUCAAGCUUGACCUUAUGCGUACAGACAAUUGGAGCAAAGGCAGCAGCCUAGGGCUGGCAUUUUGAACCUAAUGGGUCAACCCGUUAGUCACCCGUUAAAUAACGAGUCAUUUUGGGUCAACCUGUUAACACCCAUUAGGGAGGACUUUUGUGUAAUUUUAUAGUUGUAAUAGAAAACCUAGCUCUCUGUCUGUUUUCUCACAUUCAAAACCAGAUUGUACAUUCCUCUCCGGGGCUGAUGUUCUCUCCCUCAUCUUCUUCCUAAAAAAUGAAGGUUUCAUUGAGUUCUGCCACCCUUUCUCUGGUAAGUUCCAAUUCCCUUACACAUCUUCUUCCAUGGCGAUUACUUUUUGUUUCUGCAGAUUAUAUUUUUCAUCUAUUUUUCUCAGUUUUUGCUUGAGCUUCGAAUUAAUUUGGAAUUAGUUAAUUUGUGUUUGAUGAUUUAAAUUGCGAUUGUGCUUUUGUUGUGCAAAUGGUGCUUUCUGUGUGUGAUUGUGUUUUUAUUCUCUUUCUUCGCAAGUUAGAUAGAGAGAGAUCUUCCCACUUCUCCAUCCCGCACACACUCGAUUCAUACACACACACACACACACACACACACACACAUACAUACGAUAUUCUUCCAUCUAUCCGUUUCUAGUUCUACUAUGGGCUCGAUGGCGAUUGAGGAGGAGAAGCAGGCGGCGACCAAGGCUUUCGACGAAGAAGCCGCCCCUUCAGAUAUAUAUAUAUAUAUAUAUAUAUAUAUAUAUAUAUAUAUAUAUAUAUAUAUAUAUUGUUGAUGCACAAAACCGGAGGUCUUGGAACAACGUAAAUCUGACUGUGAAUCUGCAUGAAAUGUAAAUAACACAAGAUGUAUUGUGGUUCAUCCUAAGGUUUGGGCUACGUCCACACUGAUUAUGUAUUUAUCUGAAGGAGAGAGAGCUCUGAGAGUGAGAGCUUUGAGAGGGGGUGAGAGGGCCUAGGAAUUGGCCUCAGAAAUGGUCUCCCCUAAUUGUGAGGGUGAGGGGUCCUUUUAUAGAAUAAGGACUCCUCACUUAUUACAUAUUUGCCCCUUCCUUUAUCACAUAAUUGCAUUUAAGUCCCCCGAGUAUUUGUACGAGAUCUAAAUAUGAGGCCCUAAAUAUGGUAUAAACAGUAGUCCUCCAAGUCUUCAGUCAAAAGAGUCUUUUGGUUAGAGACUUGAAAUUCAAUCCAUAUGUGGGCCGAAGUAACUAGAUGUUGUAUUGAACUGAUGCUCGAUAUGAGGCGGUGCUCAAUCUGAAAUGUUGCUCAACUAGAAGUAGCACAUGCUGCUCGGCUGCUCGGCUUGUGGCUUAUGUUGCCUUGGUUGGCUCGGCUUGUGGCGUUGAAGGUGAGGGAGUCCCUUUUAUAGAAUAAGGCAUCGCUUCUCAAUAUAUAAGUGAUGGGCUAAGAGUUAAUGCUCGCGGUAAGGCGGUUACUCAACUAGCGGCGAUGCUCUCUAAUGAUGGUGAGGGAGUCCCUUUUAUAAAAUAAUGGCUCGCUCCUCAAUACAUGAAUAAUGUGCUAGAGUUGAUGCUCGCGACGAUACGGUAACUCAGCUGGCGGCGAUGCUCUCUAAUGAUGGUGAAGAAGUCCCUUUUAUAAAAUAAGGGCUCGUUCCUUAAUACAUGAAUAAUGUGCUAGAGUUGAUGCUCGCGGCUAGGCGUUUGCUCAGCUGGCGGUUAUGCUCUCUAAUGAUGGUGAGGGAGUCCCUUUUAUAAAAUAAGGGCUGGUUUCUCAAUACAUAAAUGAUGGGCUAGAGUUGAUGCUCUUUAAUGGUGGUGAUGGAGUCCCUUUUAUAGAAUAAGGGCUCGCUCCUUCACUACAUGGAUAAUGUGCUAGAGUUGAUGCACGCGGCGAAGCGGUUGCUUAGCUGGCGGCGAUACUCUCUAUUGAUGGUGAGGGAGUCCCUUUUAUAAAAUAAGGGCUUGCUCCUCAAUAAAUAAAUGAUGGGCUAGAGUUAAUGCUCUUUAAUGCUGGUGAGGGAGUCCCUUUUAUAGAAUAAGGGCUUGCUCCUCAAUACAUAAGUGAUGGGCUAAGUCCCCCAAGUAUUUUUUUUAUGAGGCCCAGUUGAGGCCCAAUAUAUGGUACAUAAUGUAGUCCCCCAAGUCUUCGGUCAAUAGAGUCUGUUGGCUGGAGACUUCAAAUUGAAUCCAUGUAUGAGCCGAAGUGGCGGUUGUUCGGAGGUGGUAUUUGUAUAUCCUGCACUGAAGCUUUGUAGGUGAAGUUUUGCAAGUGAAGCUUUGAAGCUAGAGCUCUAUAAAUGAAGCUUUCGAAGCUGGAGCUUUUGUAAAUGAAGCUUUUAAAGCUAGAACUCUGUAAAUGAAGCUUUUGAAGCUAGAGCUCUGUAAAUGAAGCUUUUGAAGCUAGUUAACAUGAGUGAUGCUCAUGAAUAUUUAUGUUGAUUAACAUGAGUGAUGCUCAUGGAUGUUGUCAUGAGUGAUGCUCAUGAAUGUUUAUGUUGAUUGACAUGAGUGAUGCUCAUGGAUGUUGUCAUGAGUGAUGCUCAUGAAUGUUUAUGUAUGAUUGUUAUGAGUGAUGCUCAAGAAUGUUUAUGUAUGAAUGACAUGAGUAAUGCUCAUGUAUAAUUUGGAGUACUAGAAGUACUUUUGAUCACUUGGUUGGUGGCAUGAAGGAGAGUACGGGUUGUACAUUUCAUCACCUGGUUGGUGGCAUGAAUGGCUAGUUGCCAGAUGAUAUUAGAGUACAGGUUGUACAUUUAAUCACCUAGUUGGUGGCAUGAAUGGCUAGUUGCCAAAUGAUAUUAGAGUACGGGUUGUACAUUUCAUCACCUGGUUGGUGGUAAUAACAGCAGGUUGCCGAAUAAUUUUGGAGUACAGGGCGUACUUUUGAUCACCUGGUUGGUGAUAAUAGAGGGCUUGGCUCUUUUGGGCAUAUGGGCUUUCGCCCUCCACAUAACAUUGCAGCCCAUUUAUUUUAGGCUUUGCCGUUUUUUUUUUAAUUACCCUUUAAUGGGGUUUAUACAGAUAUCUCCGAAAGAUCAGAAAAAUAAAUUACAUCAUACAAAAACCAAAAAAGUAAAUCACAUCAUUCUGGUGGGGUGUUUAUUCCUUGCUUUUGCAGUGUCCCCAUGUGCCUCCCUUUUGCUUUCUGUUUUUGCUUUUAUUUUUUCUGCUUUGCUUUUCUUUUACUUUCUCUUUUCCCUUUUGUAGAUGGCAGAUAAGGAAAUCAUGUGAAGUGUCUCUUUUUCCUUUCUGCUUUUGCCGACAACAUCAGUGGAGACUUAAAUUGCUAAUGGCUUUUACUUUCUCAGCUGGCUAGGGAAGUAAUAAUGGUGAGGCAAAAAUAAUAAAGAAAAAGAAAGAAUCUUAUCCUGUGCCAGACUGACAAAGUAAUAACGAUGUGCGUCGGAGACAGCUGGAGAACGUGAUUCUGGUCCUGAUUGAAGCCAUUUUGAACCUUCACAAGUGGACGGUGCCGCGUAACCCCAGCAACAGAAUCGAGAAAUGCAGCUAUUGAGUGGAACACAUGUCUUUGUAUCUCGAUAUCGACACACUGCCUCUUUUUUUUUAAUUUUUUUUUAUUUCUAAUCUCACAGUUAGCGCACUAGUUCCAGAUGCUCCAACGUUUUUUUCUGGAUCAUCCGUGAUAGGUGAUGCUGUGUGAAAAACUCCAUCAUAACCGUUAAUGGCUUCUUUGAGGCUCUCAUAAUCAAGGAGAUCAGCUCUGCACAAAGUCUCUCUGCAGCUCAUUCAAGCUCUCCCAAAUGAGCAUUCUUUGGGUCAUCGGGGUUUCUCAAGGUUCCUCUAACAGUACAGCCUUUACUCCCAAAGCUUUUACCCCCAAAGCAAAGUUCACCUCGUGGGAGCUAACCCUGAAUCCAGAUUCCAUAUGUGAUAUGUUCGUCAAAGGGAGAAGGCUAACAGAACCUAUAAUUGGUGGAGGUUUUUAUACCUAAAACCAUAGGAGAAUCUCCAGGCUUCAUGCCCAGAAAAUCAUGGGUGAUGGUGUGCUUCCCCUGUUGUUGCUCCUCUAGCUUUUGCUUAUACGGUUGCUGCUUAUCUCAUUGGAAUGAGUGAAUCAUCUCAGACCAAACUGAGGAGUUGAGUCAGACUCAGUGAGCCGAGUCAAGUAACAUGUCUCAGAGAGAUUGAACUCGGCGGCCCCGGCCUGUAACCACUGGUCGUCUCUCUCUUCCUCCAGCAAGUAAACCGCUGCUGGGUUCCUUUUGAAAGUCAGGGGACUUUUGCUGGGCCCUGCACGGGUUCUUUUGCUGAACUCUAAUGAAACUUCACUAUACCUAGCAGGUUUGUAGAGUGAGUUGAAUUUGGGGUGUGAGAUGACCUUGAGAUAAUCCCUCCAAAGACGAACUUUGUCAAUUGCGAUGUUGAAGUUGGUGCCGCACUUGAUUGGGUCCAACAGGUUCUUUGUAUGGAACUCCUUCUUCUCCUCCUCUGGUAGCUUAAAAAAUCUUUGGCACACAUCGAUCAUUUGUUUCAUCAGGCUCUCUGGCACACCAUGGUUGAUCACCUGAAAGAAGCCCCAUUCUUGCAGAUUCACGUAUAUCGUCAAUGUGGGUUUUUUGUUGGCCCACGAGUCACUAAGUUAACAUAGGCUAUGGAAAUGAUCUCAAAUGUAUAAUGGAGGGGAAGAUUGCGGAAGAUUCGAGAGAAAGAAAAAAAGGGUUUUUGGAAGGUUUUUUUUUUAACUGCACAGAGUCUGUGAAGCUUUUCUGGAAAAGAUUUGGGUUCUUGGUUUCUACAGAUUCAUGGUGGGGAUGA